UACUAAUCAUGACACAAUGGUCUCAAGAGUCAUGGAAAAAACAAGUGCAUUCUAGAAAUUUUUUAGUAAUAUUCAAAAUAAUAAAAAGACAUUUGUAGUUUUUAUAUAACUUUCAGGGGACAUAUAGCUUCUUAGUUGGAAAACAAGUGCAUCCUUAUAACUUGGAAAGAGGCUCAUUAACUGAAAUAAGAGUUGGAAACAGGCUGAGACAAGGUCUGAAUACAUAGGCAGCAGCAGUAGGGGGAUUCCUAAUGUUAUAAUUAUUUUUUGCUAAGCAAUUACUGCUAGAGUUAGUAGAAGGAACUUACAGUUCUAUGUUUUCCCUGAUCAAUCACAUUUUUUCAUGAACAGGUUGACUUUCUACACAUGUCAAUGCAAACUUUUGAAACAUUUGAACAUGCUUAUUAUAUAUUUUUCUGUGUGUAUACAACUUCUAUAUGCAAAAAAAUAAUUUCCUCAUACAAUAAUCAACAGAAACAUAGGCGAAUUAGCUCUAUUGCCUAUAAUAUCAACUUAUAGCCAAAUUAACAAUUACAUAAGUUAAUAUUAGUGGUAGAGUAUGUAAUAUAAUUAACAUUUUUUCCUAAUUAACAUGAAGAGUGGUGGGAGAGGCGUGGAGCUUUGUGGUUAAGCCCCACUCAUUGAGCACCAUGCUUUGGGAUGAUGUGAGUCAACCACAGAGCUCCAUUCAACUCACUUUUCUUAAAUUAGAUGAGAUUUUUCUACUCCAUUCUUUUAUGUCACUGACUCCUAAUUAGAUUAACAGGAACAUAAAACAAGGAACUUACUAAGUUCCAGCAAUCUUGGUGCUAAUAUGUGUGUUGUCUUCCUCAUCAAGUUUUGCUAAACCAAAAUCUGAUAUUUUAGAGUUGAGAUCCUUAUCCAGUAAAAUAUUAGUAGCUUUAAUGUCUCUAUGCACAAUCUUUAGCCUUGACUCUUCAUGAAGAUAUGCCAACCCCCUGGCAAUACCCACACAUAUCUUGUGUCUUGUCCCCCAAUCCAGCUUUAACUGAAAUUCUUCAGGACCUUCAAUUGUAUCAGAAGACAUCAAAACUGCUUUACUGCCAUGUCAUUAACUGAAGACAGUGAAGCACAAUGUGAUAUCAAAUUACCAAAUAAAGCGCGAGCAAGACAGUUAUUUUCCAUGUACUCGUAAACCAGCACAAGUUGAUUUCCUUCAAUGCAGCAUCCAUAGAGUUUCACAAGAUGUGGAUGUUGAAGAGCAGAAAUCAUCCCAAGCUCAGUCACGAACUCACGAUUUCCUUGCUUUGAUUUGGACGAAAGCUGCUUAACUGCUAUAGUGGUGCCGUCUGACAGAAGACCCUGCAAUUGAACUUUGGCAUAAGAUUUAUGCUGUGAAGAUUUAGAUACAUUGAAUGCUGCUUUCUACAAUUCUUUUCUGUUGGGAAUUGGAGGAAGUUAGUUCACCGAUUUUCCAGCAUACCUUGUAUACAGAACCAAAACCACCUUCUCCAAUCUUAUUGGCAACAUCAAAAUUGUUUGUGGCAGCUUUAAUCUGUCGCAAGGUAAAUGAACCAAUUUGCAAUGCUAGAACCUUCAAAUCUACACAACAUUUUGGAGCUUUUAAGAAUUUGGAGGAGUCAACAGCUAAAGUGUGCAAUCUACUAUCUAACAAAGACAUAGCAAUUCCUUCUCAAUGUACCAGAAAACCUCAUUGUAACUAUUUUGUCUGAGCAAGUUCAGGACAAUAUAUCCUAACAUCUUGAAAUUUAUUUUCUAGGAAACUCUGGCUUCGGUUGGCAGUUUGUACUUUGAAAAAUGAAAUGAGAAUGUCCUCAGGGUAUUUAGUAGUGGGGGGAAAGGAAAAUCAUAGAAAAUACUCACUUUGGAAAUGUGAGGCAAGGUUGGUAUGCUUCAAUAUCUUGUAUAUCCGAAGUUCCAGCAUUUUAUUUCAACAUCUUGAAACACAUACUUAGUAUAUAUAUGGUCGAUUGUAACCCCAAGGAGGCCCAAUACACACACACACAUCUAAGAAACAAUCUAUUGUCCUCUUCCUAUAGCCAUCUAUUUCUUCAUUUUUAAGUUUUCUAAAUAAAAAUUUAGUUCAUUAAGUGUAACAAAUGGAUUGAUGACACUUUAGCUAUACUAUGGCUUAACAAUAAAUUGUUUUCUUUUUGUGUCAAAUAGAGUUUCCAAUGCAAUGCACAAAUGUCGUGCAUCAACAGUUAUACAGGAGAAUUGUGCAACCUAGUCCCAAUCCCAAUAUUGAUGAUGCAUUGUGAUUACCCCUUCCCCAACCAGAAAGGUAGAAGAAGCAGGAGGAGUCACGCACCAACAGUUUGACAGGGACAACUGUGUGAAAUAUAAAUGAUGAGAUGUGAUUACCCCUCCAUUACCCCCCCCCCCCCCAAAAAAAAAAAGUGAUAAACCCCCGCCCCCAACAGAGAAAAAAAAAAGGGAAGGGAGAAAUAUAUUCAGAAUGCAUAACAUUCUAUUUCUAGACAGAUAUAUGUGAACAAUAUAACAGAGAUUCCAGGUAUGCAAUUACCUUGUGCCGUUUCAUCUUCACGUCCAAGACAUCCUCUCCACCAAAGGAUAACCAGGAAAAGAAAAACUACAAAAACUAUAGCAGCCACAAUCCCGACCACAGUGCCAGCAGAUAUGCUGGCUGACUCUCCUUGGAUUUUAAAGCCUGCAGUGAAGAAAGAACAACAUAUGUUUACCCACAACUGUUCAAGUAAAUGGGGUAGACAUGCAUGCAGAAAAAUAUUGGUAGCUUCUUGGUGAACACAGAAGCCAACAGAUGGGACAGCAAACUAAUUGAGAAUCAAGAGGACAUGAGAACUGCUCAGAACACUCCACAGAAACUAUCAGAUUAAGGAGCACCUCGGAACAUGUGAUGCUAAAUACAAAGGGAAAAAGAAAAGAACAAGAAAUAUAUUCUUCAUUCUCCACGCUGUUAUAAUACAGGUGCAAUGGUCGUUGAUCUGUAGCAGAAAAGCAAACGAGGCUAUCAUUUCAUAGUAUGAAUGGAAGUGAUCAAAGAUACAUAGAGAAAACAUUCUAGAUAGAAAGAAAACAAAGGCCAAUUUUCUCCUCCUAAGAGACAAAUAAUAGAUAAUAGUCAGCCACUAUGGAAAUUUAUCUGAUCAACUGUAACAGAUGCCAAUGGCUUGAAUCCAACAAUGGACAUUUGCAACCAAACCAAGUAAUUGAAUAGCCUAUUGAUGACUUCUGGUGCAAGACAAAAAAAAGAGAGUACUUUUUUCCAAUAUGAAGAUGAGUAACUCUUUCAACAGAGAAGCACCAAAAGAAACAUGGAAGCUUCUGUCUGCAUACCAGGAUAAUAGACGGAGAUAGCAGAUAUAAGAGGACCAUAAACUCCUCUGGUUGGUAUAGCAUUGGUUCCUUUCCCAGCCCAAUAUAAGCGUAUCUCCAGAGUGCCCUUGGUCACAUUGGCAGUAAAAUUUCUUAUGACCUCCUUUCCCACUCCACCUGCUUCAAUCACAAUGUUGAAAUCUUUCCACACCAAUUUCCCCUGAAAUAAUGUUUAAUUUGAUUCAAGUUGAGUGUCUCCACACUGAACAAGGUGAAACUUUCAGUCUUAACAGAAUGUACAAAUUGUGAAAAGAUCUUGAUUUGCAAAUACGAGGUAUUUUGAUAAAACAACCCAACCAUAGCACAUUGAAUGCUUUAUACGCUUUACACAUUAGAACCAGCACUACAUAAUGCCCAAAAUUUACCUGUAUAUAAACAUUAAAAGCUCGCCUUCCAAGGCUCUUAUAACUGUUGUUGCCCGUGAAACUUAUCUCCGCAAAAUGAAGUCUUACGUUGUAGAUCCCAUUCACCAGACAAAAACCAUAAUAAGUUAGAGAGAUAGCAGAACGCCGUGCAUUCAUGUAAAGCUGGGCAUUAUCCUUGGACAGUAUGGAUAUAUUGUCAUUGUUAACUAUAUAAUUAUCUGCGUUAAUAGAGUCGUCCAGGAAGUGACCAGUGCUACUGUAGCCCCAGAACUUUCCAUCCGGGAAGGAACUUGAAGCAGGUGUAAGCGACGCCGAAUCAUCGGCGUAUAUGUUGUCCCCUAUUUCAACUUCGCCCCCACCGCAAUUUAUGAAGAGGUUAUGCCGAUCUGGAUGGAGUAAAGAAAUAGCCACAAAGAGAAAAAUCAAGUUUUCUUCUUUCUGUUAAUAUGGAAGGAACUUUCCAGACACACUAAAUAAACUAGCAUUGUUUAUUGGAAAAUCACAUAGAAACUCCCAAGUUUAUGAGCAACGCAUUAUUUCACAGAGGUGGCUUUUAGAAUUUCUAGAGUAAUAAUUAUGCAUUAACCAUCAAAGAUUGACACGAUAGCCAAGAGGAGAGUUGACAAGGAGAUGCACAGAGAGUAUGAUGCAAUAUCAGGAUCCGAUGAUAAUGAUAGGAUAUACAGAAGAUCAACUUACUUUCUGGACAAGGCCGAUUUUUCAAACAUGUGGCUAGCCCACUUGUGGCAGGGUAUGAGGUUCUGAGCAAGUCAACAAAGAUUUUAAUGUCACAAUCAUCAUCAUUCUGAAAGAAGUUCAAUAAAAAAUUAAAAUGCAGGUCCUUGGAAAUCCAAGACUCUUGGUGAAAUUUUUUAUCUCAAACAUACGCAUUGUCAACUGCCGAGCUUGCGAACAAGUUGCUGUGGAGAAAAGACAAAAUCAACAUUCAGUAGAGAAACGAAAAUUUUGUACAUCUGCAGGACUAUAAAUUACUUAUAACUGCACAUUCGAGGGGAGACCUCGACUUAGACUGAAGGAAGUAGUACAUACAUAGAUCGUUCUUCACAGUCUGUGUUUGUAGCAUCGAAGUUGUUGUAUGAUAGAUCACUACACAGAGAAAUAGUCAACCGUUUCCAAAAUCUCAUCAAUUUGGAAAAUACACGGAAAGUCAUUUCAUUAAAUGAUUAUAAUGUACAAAAAGGAAGACCAGUUGCAAAAUAUGGACUGGUAAGGCAAGUGGAAAGGCGAAAACAUCACAAGGUAAUGAAAGUAAUAUGUCAUCUUUAUUCAAGAAAUCUCAUCUUAAAAUAUUAAAGGGAGAAAGACCAAUUGGAGUGAAUGGAGACUUUAGAAACUAGUCGGAGUGCAUAAAUACAUUUUUACCCAGUAAGAGUACAACAGACAUGAUAUAUAAGGUAAAGAGGCACAAAUAGAACUUUGGUUCCAAUGACUCCUAAGUCGGAUCUUCUUAUUAGAAAAUAUAUAGACCACUAUUUAUUGUUAAAACUAACUCAUAAAAGCUUCAUCCUUAUGCCUGUAAGAUAAAAUCAACUUUCUACUAGAUACACUCAUUUUGGUUGAAGAGUUUCUCAAAUACACAAGCCUAUAAACAUGUCCAAACAACUAACCAUAUUGUGCAGGUGAUGUGUUAGACAAACUUUCAAAGAGAAUUUAUAGGAAGCAAAAUUUUUCCAAAUGUCAUUUUUAUCGUUCCCAGAGGUUUGAAAAAGAUCUAGAGCUGUGAAGGCUUUUUAUGUAGGGGAAAGUGGGGGCUAACUUGGCACUUCCAAUAAAAUCCGAUUUAUAUUCUUGCAUACAAUUCAGCCUCUUGUCUUACAUAUAACUUUCCAAAAGACAGAUCCCAACAAGGAGAAAGGUACUUAUGAUAUCUCCAUUUAACUCCAUAGGCUACAAAUCAGAAUGAUGCAAGAUGGGAAUGCAAAAUUGCUUACUAUAGUGCAAGAUUAGCGAGGUAGAGCUAGACGCAAAUUCGUAAUUAAGCAAGACAUUUUCUUCGGGCAGCAAAGCUUACACUGUUUGUGCUUUCUGCAGGAUCCAAGGAUGCACUGCUCCAGUCAAUUGGUUUCCAGUCAGAUAGCUAAACAAGAUUAUUGGAAUUGAGUCAGUUCCUCAUGUACUUUUUGAACUCAAACGAAAAAUUAUAGAGCAGAUUAUAAGCAUUUCAUUAUUAGAGGUCUAGGAAAAAAUCUGUUAACUCAUGAUUAUAUAUAGAGCUUUCAGCUGGAGAUGAAAGAUAAAGGAAAUCAAUGACAGAGGAAAAACUUGAUCCUUGCAAAACUUGGAGAACAUGGAUUGCCAUAACACUGGUACAGAAAGCUGAACAUUAUGAAGGAUACUAUCAUACUAGCUUAUUAACUAUUUCCUAGCGAUAAUGUUCUUGUCCUUCUAAGACAUAAAAUAAAUAAUGAAGGAAGAUGUGCCAAACAGUCAAUCGUUGAGCAAAAAGAUGAAAAGAUGCACCAUUGUUAAACAGUCCAAGAAGCUUAAGACCAUAGUUUCUCAUCAUUUUCAAGACUAGGGACAAGACAUCAAGGUCCAAUCUGCAGACCUUUUAGAUAGCACAUAAGAACUGCUCCCACCUAACAACUUAUGGCCCUUGUUGUGGAAAGAACCAAAUAGAGAGCCUAAGGACUUUUGCUAUCUUUAAUCUCCUAUACAUCAUAAAACUGGUGCACAGGACAUGCAUUAAGUACAUACACAUACAACUGUCAAAUAUUUAAGUAACACCGAUCCAUUCAUCUCUUACAGCAUAAACAAGUAACUCUAUUGAAACUUGUGAAUCGUGCUCUUUAAGCAACAGAAUAUCAUUGAUCUACAUCUGCUCCAAGACUAGAGUCCCACCAAAAUAAUCAGUCGACAACAAAUAUAAAUUCAUAACCCAAAUCAUUGUAAAAUUCGGAUGGUGAAAUAAUAAGCAUUCAAGACACAAGGACUUUAAGGGAUAUAAACUGGAUGUGUUAUCGCGAUCUAAGUUUUAUUGAUAGCUUAACUACUUUACAGUAGGAGUUGCCUAUAGCUUGGCAAUUGGAACAGCUUUCGAUUUUAGAUUCUCAUCUAAUAUACCAAAAAGAAGCCUAAGUCCAGCAUCAAAGUACUUACAUAUAAUCUACAUCUGCCAGGCUGCUAAAGUUGUCAGGGAUUUCGCCACUCAAUUUGUUGAAGCUGAGGUCCCUGCAGAACAAUUGAAUGGAAAGGAGACAAAUAUAAUGAGAAGAUAGUUUUAACGGACUCCAACUGGACACUCUUUGAGUAUACUUUGGAGGAUUACAGACAUAGACAACAUCAAUGAACCUACAGGUCCAAUCAAUGAACCUACAGGUCCAGUUCAGUUGUUUAGACAUACAGGUCAACUGCCUGGUGCCUUUGCUUUCUACUAGACAUUCCUUUCCAGAGGCAUUCAUUGCAUAAAAUCCAUGUGCAUCAAGUUGGUCGCAUACCAUACAUAUACAAAAAUUCUGCCGUAAAUCAAAUUUGCAACUUGCAAAUUUCAAUUUAUAUAACUAGAAAUGCUAUUCCCGCAAUAAAUUGAAUGCAUCCCAUGGAAUGCAACAUAUUAUAGUUCAAAUUGGGAGAUUCCAUUUGUCUAAUAGAACCAAAACUAAAGCUAACAAUAAUUUAUUGAACAGAUCUCCUUCGUCACAUUUUAUUCAUCAUGAAUAAAGGAAUGAUGACUACAUACUAGGAUGCUAAAAGAGUAGAAUAUCAGCUUGAGUGAAUAAUAAAAUAAAAAAAUAAAAUGAGGAUUNNNNNNNNNNNNNNNNNNNNNNNNNNNNNNNNNNNNNNNNNNNNNNNNNNNNNNNNNNNNNNNNNNNNNNNNNNNNNNNNNNNNNNNNNNNNNNNNNNNNNNNNNNNNNNNNNNNNNNNNNNNNNNNNNNNNNNNNNNNNNNNNNNNNNNNNNNNNNNNUGGCUGAUGAUGACAGAAUGGCAAAAAACUGCUGUUAAAUGGAGCAUUUAUAAAAUCUUACAGAGAUAACCAGAUGAAUAAAAAGAAUUGACUUGCAUAAAGAUGCAUUUGAAGCCAUGCUCUCCUUCAUACAAAGAAUGUUAUGGCUGACAAAUAUACGACAAUCAAGCAUGAAACUCCAGUUAGAUAUUGUGGGGCUGAGACUCGAGAAUGCAAGCCACUAAAAGGAAAGUUUCCAAAUGAUCAACCACUGGAAGCCUCCAUUGAAGUUAGUAAAUUACACAAAAUGGGAAACACAACCAAGGCAAGAAUUCUUGUCGUUUCUAUUCCUGGAAAAGUGAAAACAAAGAGAGACAAGGUCCAUAUACUUUUGCAAGAAACUGUACAUUCUACGGCAGAGGCCCACAAUCACCAGGCACUUAAAUGCCACAUCACAAUUCACAAUUCAUCAAUAUCAACAGAAAAGAUCAAAACACCAUUGAAGUUGGUAAGGGACCUUCAAGCCAUCUUAAAUGGGUUCCUAACUGCAGCCAAUAGUCAACCAUAAACUAGUAGAAAUUUCAGUCAUUGAGGAUAAAAUUAUCUAUUAUGCUUGGAAUAGGAAAAGGAGAAAGCCAUUUUCCACUCACAAUAUUUUUAGCUUUGUCAUUCCUGCUAGAUAACCAGGUAGCUCUCCUGUGAGAUUGCAGCUCCUCAGAAUCCUAUAAGACAAAAGCAUUGAUGUUGUCACAUUGCUAAGACGAUUUGGCUUUUUGCAUAAAGUAAACUAUUUUUGUAGGAGCAUCGGUCUCACAGUCUUUUAAUAUUUGUACUGCUAAGUUGUGGAACUGGGGACUCAGGUCCAUCAAGGUCACUUAUGCUCCUGCAUAUCACAAUCAAAUAAGGAAAUUUAUUCGAUUGAUACCAUAUUAAAGAAAGGAGAGAUCAGAUCGAAAUGCCAAACUUCCAUACUGACAAUUCAGACAAAUUCUUCAAAAGUGUGAUCCCGGAGGGAAUUGGCCCUUGCAAUCCACUUCCUUGAAUAAACCUGAUGAUACAAUUCAUAGAUUGAAUUAGCUUGGGGGUAUAUCUAUAGAGACCGACUUAAAAGGUGAAGAAGCAUUAAGCCUUACAGUCUGGUGAGAUUUGUCCAGUUCUGGACAAAAUCGGGUAUCUUUCCCGUGAACUGAUUAUCACCAAGUCGCCUACAGUGCAUUGAACAACAAGAUUGAUAUGAGGAAGAAAGAAUAGAAAUAUGUAAAUAUUAGCAGAUUUUGUGGAAACUAAAAACUAACAGGUCCUGUAAUGCCGUCAAUUCAACAAAUCUCUGAGGCAGCUCCCCGGUGAAAUUAUUUGACGUAAGGCACCUGAAACAAGAAAACCCAAUGGUAUCACAUUGGUCAAAUGAACUUGAAUGAUGAUAUCUCAACAGAUCACUCCAAUUAAUAAAUUCCCCUCGCCAGACACAAAAUCAUCAGCGAAUAAAUAACUGGAUGAAUGAUACAGGAAUUUGCAUCCAGAGACUCACAAUCGGAGUAACCGGGACAAGUUCCCGAGCUCGGGAGGCAGAGGUCCAGAGAGCUGAUUGAUCUCGACGACUCUGAGCAGAAUGAGAAUGUUAAAAUCUCGAAACAUCAAUCAAAUUUAAAACAGCGAAGAGGCUAAACGCGAGCGUCGGGAUGAGGGGUCACUUACAAAACUUCUAGUGUGGAUAUGUUUCCCAGCUCCUUCGGGAUUGGACCAGUCAAUCGGUUUCCGAGUACAGAACUGCACUCCGCGUUUCCCCCAAUCAGUAGAAGAUACACUCGCAAUAGAGAGAGAGAGAGAGAGAGAGAGAGAGAGAGAGAGAGAGAGAGCACAUACAUGUUGAGCAACUUCGUAGAGCCCCAUUCUUUAGGAAUCGUGCCGUUCAGGUAGUUCCGGGUGACGUCACUGUUUACAGAGACAGGCGACGGCGACGGCGAAGAUGAUGAAGAAGAAGAAGAAGAAGAAGAAGAUCGAAAAUGGAGGGAGAGUGCUUACAAGUUCUCGAGAAAAGGCAAUCUGAACAGUCGAGUCGGAAGAGUGCCGGAAAGAGACUGCUCCUUCAGAACUCUGUUUUCACAAUGACACCAAGGCUUUAUUCUAUUGUGACUUGUUUUCAAUAUAAAAAAACAAUUAUGUUAUUCUAUUUUCAAUAGUAAUUGAUGAAAUAAAUAAUAGCAUGAUUGAAAUGAUAAUUAUAUAUAAAUUUGAGCAUUUAUUCAUUUAAUUAGCAAUAAACAUCAUUGUACAGGGAAUAAUACAAAAUCAAAUUACGACAAUUUGGAUAAUCCUACUUAAUGAUAAGCAAUUGUUAUUAGUGUAUUCACAAUUUUAAUACAAAACAUGAUCAUCUAUUGUCAAGAUGAUAUUUAUCUAUUAUUUAAUAUUUUAAUACAAAAUCAAGCAUCCACUUCAAAAUUCCACUAAUUUAAAUUGAAAUUUUAUUGCUUUAUCAAAAACUUUAAAGAUCUCCUAACCGUUCAAAAAACACUUUUAGCCAAUCACCCUUAAUAAAAGUUAACAUCAUUAUGCGAUAAAUAAUACAAAAUCAAAAUACGACAAUCUGAAUAAUCGUACUUAAUGAUAAGGAACCGUUAUUACUAUGUUAAUAAUUUUAAUACAAUAAAUGAUCAUAUAUUGUCAAGAUGAUAUUUACCUAUCAUUUAAUAUUUUAAUACGAAAUCGAGCAGCAGCUUGUAAAUACCAUAAUUUAAAUUGGAAUUUUAUUGUUUUAUCAAAAAUUUUAAAGAUCUCCUUACCGUUCCAAAAACACUUUUAGCCAAUUACACUUAAUAAAACUUGCCCUAUUAUUCAUUGUCAAUUGAAAGUUUGACAAGAAAUUGAUCAUAUAACUAGGAUAUGAUAAAAAAAAUAGAAGUGGCGACGCCUCUUCUAUUCUUUCUCUAUGUAUUUCAUUUCAUCUGUAUGAAUUUGACUUACAAAAACAACAAUAACUAUUAGCCAGCAUGGAUUAUUUUCACGGUUAAGUUUCAACGGCGAUCCUUGAAUUCAGUGGCUUUUGUAGGCCGAAUUUCAUUUCGAUUCCCCAAUCUGAUGAAUUUCCACUUUCUUUUUUGUAUUCAAUACAUUUUGACCUAAAAUGGUGCCCAGAAUAUUGGCUCCGUGUUCGCCACGUUAGCCAGCUAACCUUCUAAUGAGACAAAAAAAAAUUGUAAAAUUCAUGAAAUAGAGAUACUUCUCUCCAAUUUAUUGAGAGAGAGAGAGAGAGAGAUACAUGCUGGUGACAUGGCAAGCGGUGGUGUUGUCGAUGUCGCAGGUGGAAGAGCAAUUGCAGGCGACGUCGUUAGUAGUGUCAUCUAGCGGUAGUUGGUCACUCCAUACUCCUGUUCUGCUACAUGGAUCUAAAUCGAAAUCCCAGUUGCUUUUUCCUAAUGUCUCUGCUAUUUCUUUCAAUGCAGCCACUGGAAGAGAAAAGAGGUCGUCAAGCCGAAGAGACCGCCCAAUAUAUCAUGCGUAGCAAGCACAAAACGAUGUCAGAGAUUCGCCUGCGUGCACUUGGGGUUAAAUGCAUGCAUGAACAUCUUUCUAUCCGUUAAAAAAGGAAGCACAAGCAAAUACAGCUUGGUGAAGGCGCCAGCCAAAAACAGGAGGAGGAACAAGGAACGGUACGAGGAAAGCAAUACAAAGAUUGGUGGGUUUCACCUUCGUCAUCCGGCAGACAAGUGGUGGCGGCAGCGAAGUUAGUAGUGCAUAGAAGGACGAGCACUGAGAAGAGAGAUCGAGCAGAGAAGAGAAUUGCCAUCAUUCCGAGAGAGAGAGAUGAUUGUUAAGUGAGUGGUCUAGUUUCAUGCAUUUAUGUAAAGAGGAUAAAGAUUCUUCGCUCUUGUACGUCUUUAGAGAAGGAGCAAGAGUGAUGUGUGAAAGCAAGAGAGAUGACCCAAAGUCUUCCCCUUAUAGAUAUUUAUCUAGGAAGAAAAUGUCAUAAAUGAUCCUGAAUAUUAAUUAAUUUAUUUAAUAUAGCCCUAAAAUUUAAUUCAAUGUGUAAUGCCGUUUAGUUUAGCUCGUAAACUAUAUAAGAAAUGUUCAAUAUUACCAUUUUAUCAAUUUAAGUUUAGUGAUUAUAUUGAACAAAUCAUAAGUUCAUUGACUAUAUUUAACAUUAUGGUAAAGUUUAUGGAUCACAUUGAAUAAAUUAAAAGUUCAAGGGUUACAUUACAUAUCAUUUCGGUCCCAAGCUCAACCAACAUAGAGAGAUGAUUGUUAACUGAGUGGUCCAACUUCACCCAUUUAUGGAGGAAAAGAGGGAGGGCGGACAAAGACUCUCUGCUCUUGUACAUCUACAUAGGAGAGCGAAAGUGAUGUGUGAAAGCAAGAGAGACGACCCCAAGUCUUCCCCUUAUAGAUAUUUAUCUAGAGAGAAAUGCCAUAAAUGAUCCCUAAAUCUUAGCUUAAUAUGUAAUGUGGUCUAUUUACUUUUGAUUUGUUUAAUAUAAUCGCUAAAAUUUAGUCUAGUAUGUAAUGUCGUUCAAUUUAGCAUCGAGCACUCUUGCGCCAAAGAUGAACGGGUCUAAGCAAUAUGCCGAAGCUAUGGGAUGUAAAAAUACAUCAGUAGGGGAGUGUUCCGCCUUAGAGGGAAGCACCCGCGAGAGCAAGGUGGACAAAGCGGAAGCGAGAAUGUCGGCUUGAGUAAUGCAAACAUUGGUGAGAAUCCAAUGCCGCCAAAACCUAAGGAUUCCUCCGCAAGGUUCGUCCACGGAGGGUGAGUUAGGGCCUAAGAUCAUGCUAAUUUUUCAUCCUCAAAUCCGUCCUUAUGGAAAUGUUCAAUAUUGUUCUUCCAUCCAUUCAAAUGCAGGAACAACAUUGAAUAUUUUUAUAUAGUUUAAAUAAUAAAUUGAAUAAGUAUUAAAAAAAUUCAGAGAUCACAUUAAACAAAUUAUAAGUUCAUAGACUAUAUUGAACAUUAUGGUAAAUUUCAAGGACCACAUUAUACAUUAAGGUAAAGUUUAUGAACUAUUUAUAUCAUUAUUCCUUUAUCUAAAAUGGAGUAGCAAGCUUUUAUCUAACUCUUCUCAUAUAAUAACCUCUUUUUUUUUUAUAUCAUCAAUAUACCUAAUAAAAGUCUUUUCUUUCUUUUCAUUUUCCCUCUCCAUUUUGUUCUCCCAACGGCAACGGUCCGUUUUCAUUUUUCUAUGAACACAUCUCAGAUUUGGGCUAGUAGACCCUCCAUCGAUAGUAGAGUCCAAAUUCCACGAUUGUCUGAAAACUUCAUUAGUUGAUUAAGUUGUCAUGUAAAAAUUAGAUUCACCUUUUUGGACAAUUUUAUUUUCCUUUUUUUGUUAGUUCAAUCGUAACCAAUUAUUAAUUUCUUAAUAAUUCAAAAGCAAUGGGGAUGGAGACUUGAUUAUUUGUAAGUCGAUGAGACAUCUCGCAAGCCUUGUGAACCAUCAAAUCUAGCAUUUUGAUAUGCAUAAAUGGUCUCAAUUUAGAAUAAUGCACAUGUAAUUGGUGAGAUUGAAUAGGUCGAAUAUGGAUGAUGGAUAUAUUGGAUAGAUUAUCUUGACAGUAUGUUAAUAUCUCUUAUCGUCAAACAAUAAUUGAGUUGUACGGCUGUAGAAUAAGAAAAACAGUUCGUCCCUUACUCUAUACCAUUCCAUAAUGGUUGCUAGAGGUGUAAAUGGUUCGGUUCGGUUCGGUUUUUUUGAAAAACCGAACCGAACCGAACCGUUAGAAAAAUCUUCCGAAUCGAACCGAAACCAAACCGAACCAAAUACGAACCCAACCGAAAUUUCAGUUCGGUUCGGUUCGGUUCGGUUUUUCAGUUUUCGGUUUUUAGCUUUUGAUUUCGGUUUUUGUUUUUUUUUUUCUGUUAAACUUAGAUUUCUCCACUUUUAUUUAUCCAUUUUUAUUUGUUGGUUCGGUUCGGUUCGGUUAACCGAUAAAAACCAAACCGAACCGAAAAUUUUCUGUUUUUAAUGAAAAUCGAACCGAAAAAACCGAAUUUUUUGGUUCGGUUCGGUUCGGUUUGGGAACUGACACCCCUAAUAUUGGUUGCUUGUACGUCAACAUAUCUAAAGUCUCUAUAGACGUUGACAAGAGUUUCACUUUCACCCACUCACUCUCGAAAUAGAUUAAUCCAAGUCGACUAUGCAACUCUCUUUCUUAAGGUGCCCAUGAAAGAAAUACUAGAAAAAUUAUGAGUUAAGACAAUGAAAAAUCUCAACUUAAUAUCCUAAAUUAAUUUUUUUAUCACAAAAUAUAUGAACUGGUAUAUUUAUGGAGUUUUACUAUUUGAGCCGAGAAGAGAAUUGUCAUCAUUCUAGAGAGAGAGAGAUGAUUGUUAGGUGAGUGGUCUAGUUUCAUGCAUUUAUGAAGGAAAAGAGGAAGGGGGACAAAGACUUUUUGCUCUUGUACGUCUGAGAGGAGCCAGAGUGAGUGAGUGGUCUAGUUUCAUGCAUUUAUGAAGGAAAAGAGCAAGGGGGGACAAAUACUUUUUGCUAUUGUACAUAUGCAGAGGAGGAGCGAGAGUGAUGUGUGAAAGCAAGAGAGACGACCUAAAGUCUUCCCCUUAUAAAUUUUUAUCUGGAAAGAAAUGUCAUAAAUGAUCCGAACAUUAAUUAAUUUGUUUAAUAUAAUCCCUAAAAUUUAGUCUAGUGUGCAAUGCCAUUUAGUUUAGCCCGUGAACUAUAUGGAAAUGUUUAAUAUUAUCAUUCAAUUAAUUCAAGUUUAGAUAUUACAUUAAAUAAAUCAUAAGUUCAGUGACUAUAUUUAACAUUAUGAUAAAGUUCAUGGAUGACACUGAAUAAAUUAAAAAUUCAAGGGUUAUUUUACAUAUUAUUUUGGUCCCAAGCUAAACCAAGACAGAGAGAUGAUUGUUAGUGAGCAGUCCAACUUCAUGCAUUUAUGUAGGAAAAGAGGGAGGGAGGACAAAGAUUCUUUGCUCUUGUACAUAUGCAUGGGAGAGCGACAGUGAUGUGUGAAAGUGAGAGAGACGACCCGAGUCUUCCCCUUAUAGAUAUUACUACUAAUCUUUGCUUUGGCCUAACAUGGCCCUCUUUUAUAUCUGUUCCACGUUAGAAGUUGUAGCCACGACCGUAGAAAAACCACGACACAUGAUAUAAAAUUUAGAUUUUUAAGUUAUGCUAGUUUUGCGAAGAAUAAGUAUUUUAAAAAAUAUUUUUCUAAAAAUAAUUGUUUGUAUCGUUUGAAAUAAUUAAUCAAUGAAAAGCAUUUUCUUUAUUAACAACAAUUUAUAUCUAAAUACGUUUUUGGGCAAUGAAAAUAUUCUUUGUUUAUACAGUUUUGUAAGUGAGAGCCUUAAGCAAGAUGUCAUCUUGUACGCAUGUCUGGUCAAAUUAACGUCAAGUCAUUGAGGGUUGUUUUAAUAUUGUCAACCAACGCAAUUAUAUUUAAAACGGUUUAGGAGAGUUUUGAAAAUUCCAUGUUUUGAAAAUUCCAUGAAUUCUAAGUAUGUGAGGUGUGUUUGUUUUGACAAAAUAAGUGAUUUAGAAAAUAUAUUCCGAAAAAUGAUCACUUAUAUCAUUUAAAAAAAUUAAUCAAUGGAAAAUAUUUUCAUAAUUAAUAACAAUCUAUGCCUAAUUAUUUUCGUAGGCAAUGAAAAAAUUUCUAUUCAUUUAUUUUUCUAAAUAAUAUAAACGAUCAUUUUUUGACAAAUAUUUUUCAAAUAACUCAUUUUUUAUGAAACAAACAUGUAUGUAAUAUCAUGUAGAUGUAGACAAUUUUCAAGCCCAUCGUGUUAUUCCUAUGAAGUCGAUCGACCAAUGUAUCUAUGUAAUUGAUAUAUCUUGAGCAAAAGGUCAAACACUCACAAUGUAACCCUCGUUCCUCUGCAUGACAUUUGUUGCGAAAACCGCACUUGAACCCUGUUAAAAGCCUAUGAUGUAUAGCUUCGAUAGCAUCCAUGAAUAAAAGAUAUGAGGAGACUGCUAAAUUGAGAGAAGGAUUACCUUUCAAUAGGAUCCAUGUAUAAAAAUUACACCGGUCCGUCAAGCUUGCUUCAUCUACUAAGAGAAUAAUCAAGCGAACCAUAAUGAUGAAGAUUCCGGAAGGAAUAUUUUUUUGUGCAUUUCAUCUACUAAGCAACGGCGAUGAAGAAGAAGAAGAAGAUUGAAAAUGGAGAAAGGGAAGAUGGAGAGAGAGGGACUUACAAGUUAUGGAGGCGGAAGAGCGCCGGAAAGAGACUGCUCAUUGAGAACUCUGUUUUCACAAUGACACAAAAGGCUUUGUUCUAUUGUUAUUUUUAUUUUAUAAAAAAAAAUGUUAUUCUAUUAUUAAUAGUAAAUGAUGAAAUAAAUGCUAGCAUGACUGAAAUGAUAAUUAUAUAACAAUUCGAGUAAUAAUUCAUUUAAUUAGCAAUAAACAUCAUUGAAUAAUACAAAAUCAAAUUACGACAAUUUAGAUAAUCGUACUUAAUGUUAAGCAACCAUUAUUUCUGUAUUAAUAAUUUUAAUACGAUAAAAUGAUUACAUACGGUUAAGAUGAUAUUUGCUAUUAUUUAAUGUUUUAAUACAAAACUCGAGUGGCCAUGGAUGCACUCGUGAAGACGACUAAUUUAAAUCGGAAUGUUGUCGCUUUAUCAAAAACUUUAAAGAUUUCAUUUCUAUUGGAUUGUUUAGAAAACACCUUUACCUGAUUACCCUAAUAACACUACCCCUAUCAUGUUUAGAGGUAAAUCAUUGUCAAAACUGAAAGUUUGGCAACAAGUUGAUCAUGUAACCAUGAUACGAUAGAAAUUACAAGUGGGCGACAAUUCUUUUAUUAUUUUUCCUUCCAAUUUCAUCUCGAUGGUUUUGAAUUUCAAAACGAAAAUAACUAUUUGCAAAUGCGGUCUUAUUUUCACGGGGUAAGUCUUGAUCACGAUGUUUGUAUUUAGUGGAUUUUGCAAUCGAACAGCCGAAGGGAACCCAAUGAAUUUCCAUUUUCUUUUUGCACUCAAUACAUUUUGACGCAAAAGUAUAGGCCAAUGUUUCCGGUGUCAAUUGAUAUGUAAUUUUCGUGGAUGUUUGUGGAAUACCCAUUGGACAAGAGGAGGGGACAGGGAAGGACGUACGAGGCUGAGCAGACGCAGGAACCGUCCGACCGGAAUUGGUGGUCGGCGCCAAGCCGGCAGGACAGCUGGCGGUGGCAGGAGCCGUGCCCGCCCAUCGGUCGGCCAAGCUUAAAAGCGAGAGAGCGGUGUGAGUUGAUGAGGGGUUCGGACAGAUUGAAAUCGGUGGGAGAGAGUGAGCCUAGAGAGAGAGAGGCAGAUGCGUAGAGAGCGAGAGCGGGGAACGAGAGGGAGCCUCGGCCGAUACCGCGGUCGCGCACGAACCCUGUCCGACGACCACGGCCGGUCGACAUCCUCAAGCCAAACAGCUAAACCUUUCUUUUUUCCUCUUUUUCUGCCCUGUUUUUGGGCACGACGGGCCGGAGCUCGCGACCGUCCGGCUCACGCGAACUCCGGCCCCAACCAUCCUUGUUGGCUGCUGCGUGUGUCGCUGUUCAUUUGGCGAGAGUCUCGGCCCAGGUUGAGUCACGGUCAAGCCGAAAACCACUCGUUUUCGUAGCGCACUCCACCUGUUCGGUAAGAUGCCUGAAUGAGAUCCGUUUCAAUUCGCCCUUUUUGGUCGGAGCCAUCUGUACUGAGCCCUACCUUGUCGAGUUGCUCACGAGGUGUCGGCACUCCCGGGCGUCGGCUGCUUGGCCGGUUCAACACGCCCGCGCCGUCCCCUCCGCUGUUUUUGUUUUCAGCCAAGGAGAGGAAUGUCUCGGUCGGCUACAUCACGAGUCAGGACCGAGUGAAGAGAGCCGCCAAGGCCAAGGUGUCUCAGUCGGUUGACCGUGAGGUGGCCGGUCCGUGGCUGCCAUCCGGUUGUCCGCGGAAGCCCCCGGCCAUCGUGGCUCGGGUAUCCCACGAGAGCCUGCCGCCGCGUCACUGGUCCCAUUCGGGCUGAUCACCCAUUCCGUGUCACCUAAGGCGACGCCUAGGUACACCGCCCGUUUGGGCGGAGACGAGCGGCGUUGCCCAGCGUCGUCGUCUCCGUCGCGGCGGAGAAGCUGCGAACCUGGUCGGUUCGGCCGAAUCCCGAUCGGGCCGGCUCGCGGAUCUGACUGAUCCGGUUCGUCUAUUUCUGUGUUUUUUUUUGGUGGGACUAUUUCUGUGUUGGUUUGAGCAUUUUGGGCUAGGGCUUUUUUUUAGAUGGGCCGGGCUAAAAAAUUAGAGUAAGUUGGGCUGGGUUUUGUUUUUUAAAAUGAGUCCUGGCUUGGCCGGACUGGGCCCGUGCGCUAAGCCCAGUCUGGCCGAGGGCCUAGUGCCCUGGGACCCGGGCCGACGGACCCGGGUCGGAUCCGGAUAUCGGACCUGGCUCCUUAUUAUCGGAUUAAAUUAAUUUUCAUUUUUAAUAUCUAAAAAGUGAAAAAGUGAAAAAUUAAUUAAAAAAUUAUUUUUUGAGUAGUUUUUCUAGGAAAAUCCUUGAUAAAAAAUCAUGCUCAAAAUUGAACAAAUUCUUUAGAACUUUAUAAUAGGGUUUGCAUAUUUGUUUUUCCGAGAUGAAGGCUCUUGACUGUGCACUUAAAUAUGAUUUUCUUUGGCCAAGUUAGGAAUGGCAUUUUUUUUUUUUUUGGUUUCUUAGCAUUAAAUUAUUGUUCUUCCUUGCAAUUUAUUAAUACUUCUUUAGUUGCUGAUUGAUAUUUUAAUAAUUGUACACUUGCAUGAUCACUUAAUAUGUUAGUGAAUAUGUUUAAAAUCAAUCCAUAUUGUUUAAGCUACCAAUGACUCUUCAUUAGAAAAUUUUUAUAGCAUCAAAGCUAAAAUUGAAUAUUCAAUGUCACAUGGAGAUGGGUUUGGGAUAGCUUGUGUCUAAUUGAGGAGCGUAGGCUCGCUUCUUAAGCAUUACCUCUAAACUUUUGUCUUUUCCCCUCGGGACGGAAAAGAUUGAUUGCGAUAGGUAUAUCGUACAUAUACUUCGAUUGGUUGUGGAAAAUGCCCUUGGCUAGAAAGUACCAGCCCAAAAGUUUAAGAACAAUUGGCUGCCCCUAUGUUAAAGUAGGGAGAUGGAAGUCUAGCUCAAAAUCUUUUCUAUUGGAUAAAACUAUUAAGAUUGAACUUACAUGAAAGGUAAUUCACUAAAUUAUCUAAGCUAUAUGUGAUAAUUAAAGAAAACUAAGAUAACCUAAUUUUAAAGUCUUAACAACUUAGUCAAGCCCGUUUUCCAGAACCAAUAUCUAUUCUUUAAAAAAAUUAGAUUAAUUUUUUAAUUCCAAAAAUGUAGACUUGAGUUGGGCCCUCGGACUCAAUCUGUUAAUGGGCUAGGAUCUAGUCUCACGUAUUUGCUGCCGUUAAUACCCAAACUGGGCUCUUCCACCAAGCCCUCUCAAUUUCUCUAGACCCGUUUCAUUUUUGUUAAAAAAACACACCAACCCACGCUCAUCUUAACGGAACUAAGCUCAUAUCUGUCAACUAAAGACCUAAAGCCCAUCUUAUUUUGUCUUCCACAUUUUGCCUUCUUUUCCUAUGAAGUUAAUUUCUAUUUUCUACUUUACCUGUUAUUCCCACCAUCUAUUCUAAGAACGUUCCUUGUUGCCCAACCAUAUAGCCCAAAAACCUUCAAUAAUUGCUAGAUAACCACAAAAUAACUAAAGCUUAAGCAAAGAUCUACUAGAAAUCGCACAGUUUAUCUUUGACCAACACCGAUCUGUAGAACAUGAUUUGCCAUCAUUGCUAGAUGAACAUUCGAUUCAUUGGUCGCCACCAAAGACUUACCUGACGUCCGUACUAACUCUACCGUGAAAGUGCGCUCUAAUAUUGUUUCUUGCAACUUAAGAGAGCUUAAUUUUUGUCUUUGUUGGCUAUGUCGGGUGCUUCUUGGCCGUCUUCUGAUUUCGGAAAGUUGUGCUAAUGAGUUUUCUUUUGCUACAUAGACACGAACACCUCAGAGCUUGAUAGCACCCUUUUGAGAUAUUCUGACUUCAAAUCAAAAGAAGAAGUAAUCUUUGGUGGAAGUUUGAUAGAUCUUAGUCUGGCUUCUUCUUCACCAUAAUAGCAACAAAUCAUGAUUAGACAAAAGAAAAGGGACAACAAUAAAUCAAGAUGAUCAAUGACUACAAACAAACAAAUUAUCACAGAACACGGCAAACAAAUAAGAUCACACCUCGAACUACUUACCAUCUAGUGUGCGCAAGCAUCUCACUAUAAGUAUCAAUGAUCUCAUACUUAGUAGGAAUGCCCUUUGGCUUCUACAUAAAGAAGAGCUAGUGCUUAUCAUGGAGAGACAUCCUCUCCCUUGGGAGGGGGACAUGUUGCCUUGAGGUGGAGGGUUUGCAUCCCUUGGUUGUGCACGGGUUACAUGUCCCAACACAAAUGCCUUGUUGUAUUUAAAUUACUGGGUCGGUCAUUAAGAGCUUUCCUCUCGUUAGCUCAAGCAUUACUUCUCACCCAUUCACCAUGGGACUUGGUGUCACAAAGAACUUGUUUGUCCAUGUUGUGACCUACUUGCCUCGAAGGCCAAUUCCAAUGGAGUAAGUUCAGACAUAUUUGUUCAUAAAACAAUCUAAGUAGCAUUUCUAUGAGAGAUGACUUUAACGCAUCGUUUAGUUGGUGAUCCACACCGGACUCAUUAAUUAUGAAUGGGGGUUCUUUCAAGUUCAUACCUCGCAUGACAGGUAUUUAUUUUAGAGUUCUUUAGACACUCUAAAUAUCAAUUAGGAGUCGCCACUAGCCUUGUUUAUGAAGAUUAGGUAGAUUAUCCAAUCAAGAAAUGGGAGCAUUUUCUCGAUUCCUACAGAACUAGAAAUCAAUAAGUUUAGGGACGGGGUUACGCUAAUGUUUUUAUUAGUGCAUUUUCAGUACCUAAUCAGUUGAGUUAUCUAAAUGAUCAUGCAUUUGUUCUUUACCAUUUUCAUGAUAUUUAGAAUCUCAUUAGGUGAUCACGCAUGGAUAGUUCAUUAAGGAAUCUAAACUAGUUAUAAUUCUAGCAUUUAAGAAAGGAAAUGAGUGAAAAAAGGAAAGUGCAUUGCGUAAAGUAAACUAUUCAAAGUGCAAGAACAUAGACAACCUACACCAUUCGAAGUGCAAGAACAUAGACAACCUACAGCUUAUCGAGUCUUUAUUACAAACUUGAAUUAAAAACCUAAAACAUGAUUAGGCGACAAAUUGGGUACAAAAAAAGAUCAGAUUCAAUGAUAAGAACUGCAGCCACCUCCUUCGUAGUUUGCCUCAAUCGCGUUAACUUCGCACUUGAGCCAAUCAAACUAUAAUAGCAAACAAGUCAUUGAUUUGAAACAAUAGCAAAAAAGAACAAACGAGUUGUUGAUUUCAAAAUGGACCUUCGAAUUGGCCUUUGUAUUGCAUACAUAACGACCACCCCAAAUUACUUAAUUGGUUAAUUUGUGGUUAAUGAUAAUUAGUCAUCAUUUGUAUUCACAACACGGUGGUCCAUAUCAAUUAACCUUAAAUCAGGAUCUAAGCGUUCAUUGAUUUUCCGUUGAUCAUGCACCAUAUCUAGCCAUUCCUUCAACAAGUACACAAAUACACAUGAAAUUGAGUAUGUAUUCAGGUUAAUAGGCCUUGUUUCUCAAAUAAUCAAACAAAAUUAAGUGAAUUAAUAAUAGGUCACUUAAUUAAUUUACUGAAAAUGGGUCGAUUAUGUUUAAAAGUGAUUCAUUAAUCAAAUUACGUUCAAUUGACAUGAUUCGGGUGUCAUUGGAAAGUCUAAGAGUCUUCCUAAUCGAAGUAUUAUUAUAUAUAUGAUCUAUUGAAAUUUUUUUUGUUUAAAUAUAUUUAAUUGUUGAAUUUGGUGAAUCUCACGCGAAAUACCACAAAUUUAAAAUGAAAUUUUGUCAAAUUCAACCAGCAGCACAUGCUGCUGGUGACCAACCGUGAGCUCGACGGCACUCACCCACCGGUGAGUUUUGUGUUUCCCAGGGAAAACAAAUCUUUGUCAUUUUUUGGCUUAUCUACUCCCACGCGCUCUGCCACGCGUGGAGGACGGCCCAAUCAACGCUCGAGAAGCUUCUAUCAUCCCAUUGCCGUGGCGGACACGCGCUGCUGCUCCGUGGAACAGAGUAGGCGUGGAAAUCAUUAGCUUUGUCGCCACCCGCCGCAUUUCUCACGAGAUCAUCCCCGCCCCCGGGGCGGCGGACGUGGGAGUGAUUGGAAAAAUGAAGAAAAGAUUUUGUUGAUAAAUCCCUUACUAGAAUAAAAAUAAAAUAAGAAUAUUAAUCACUAAUUUAAAAAUAAUGUUCCUAACGUAAAUAGUUAAUAAAAAACCAAUGAAUGAAUGUAAAUAUAUCUUACACGUAACAUUAAAAAAAUAUGAAUCAAGAGCAAUAAACUUUUCGUAUUUGGAGCAUAAUCUAAUAUCAAAAUAGCAAUAUAUAUUGAAAAUCGAAAAUUCCUCUUUACUUAAAGCUUUUGGGAUAUGCUAUAUAAGAAUAAAAAAUCUAUCUAUUUUUUAAUUUUUUUUUGAAAAUAGUGUUUAAUAAUAGUCAAUAUGGCAACAUAAGAUUAUAUUGACAAAUUGAGAAGCCAUUUUACAAUGGGGUGAACUUGUCAAAUAGAAAGCAAAAUCUUUAUUUGUUGUACAAUUUUAUUAAAGACCGAAUGUCAAAUCCGCUACUUAUUAUUGAACCUGGAGUAAUAUAUACUUUGUUAUAAGAUUUAAGGUGAGUGGCUUCUACAAUGGGGUGCAAAAUCACUCGAAAGUUUAGUAUGAACAAAUUGUUUCUACUGUCUGCUGUUGGCAGGCACAUUUGUGUGCACAAUAAUCUUUGAAAAGACAGAUUCUUUUUUGGGUCACGAAAUAAGUUGUUGCGAGGGAGCCGUGCAGCCGCACCGGAAUGGGACCAUUACAGAACAUAGAGAUGCCCAUCGACUAAUCAAAUCAAUGCCAUUUCCACUUUUUCUGCACCUAAGGAAGCGAUAGAAGGCAAGUAGGGAGAGGGAGAGUAGUACCUGGACAAGGAGAAGCCGCUGCUGAGGGGCUGCCACUGGUACUCAGCGAAGGCAACGUCGAGGCGGCCGUUCGGGAGGCAGGCAAACUCGCGCUCGAUGAGGGGGCAUAUGGAGGAGUCGUGGAGAGGGUAGGACGGGUCUGCCACCCAGCUACCCCGGAACACAUCACACCGGCCCGGGGGGGGGGGGGGGGGGGGGUUNNNNNNNNNNNNNNNNNNNNNNNNNNNNNNNNNNNNNNNNNNNNNNNNNNNNNNNNNNNNNNNNNNNNNNNNNNNNNNNNNNNNNNNNNNNNNNNNNNNNGGGGCUAGGAAUUUAUAUAGGAUUUAGGAAUUGCAACAGAUCUGCUUUUUUUUUUUUUUUUUAAAUUAAAUAGCGGUUUGGCUUUGUGUUGACACCUAAAUUUUGGUGACCUGUUUAAUCAUUUAUUGCAUUAAAAAAUUAGGGGCUAAUUUUAUUCCUGAAAAAAUAUUAAUUGCAUAACAUAUAGAUUUAUGUGUAUUUAUUUUGCAUUUUUUGCAUUUAUUUAUUGGACCGGCGAUGGAUAGGUUUGAAUUAAUGGUUCUGAGCUUUAAAUUGAUGAGUCGGGCUAAACCUACGAAGAGAGCGAAUCGGCCUAAGCCCAUAUCCUCGGAAGAUUUUACGGGUUUAUUUUUGUGAGAUUUCAAUUCAAAAGCAAAUAUUGUGUUUGGAAUAGAAAUCUUCGUGGAUAUGGUUUUGGAAAAUAAAAAAAUCCUAAUUCGUGGCCUAUAAAUAGGUUAAUUCACUAGGGUUUAGGAGGCCACACAAUUGAGAAUACAAGGCCACAUGGAAAGAGGGAGGUCGGCAACAUACACUGAGAGCAAAGAAGCCGAGAGGGAGAGAGAGACAUAGGAAGCCUUCGUAGAAGACGAAAGGGCGAGGCCGAUCCAUCAUCAGUAUCUUAUAUUUGCAUCCCACUAUCGUUCUUUUCCUAAUUUUUUUAAGGGUUAUGCCUACAUCUUCCACAUCAUAGAAAACGCCAAGGAGAGACCCCCCGCAUUCUGAUUACUGACAAUCCUAAGAGGCUUUACGGCGAGUGAUCAGGGAACAAAUAGCAAAGCUCGAUGUUUAGAGUGAUUCAAGCUUAUUGCCAAGUUUCCAGUGACGCCCUCAUCAGUUGCGGUGCUGGUCUUUCGCAAUAUUGCCGCGCCAAGCGAGUUCCUCCAAGCCCUGCCGCACCGCCUCGACAAGCUGCUGUCCCCAACGAGAGUCGCCUGUUGACUUGACGUUAAGCCUGAGCUGUCGUCGAGCUGGUCCUAUUCCCUGCGAAGUUUCUGUUUUGUAGGUCCAUUGGCACGAACCGCUGUCACCACUCGCUGCCAUUGUUCACCGUUGCCCUGCCAUGCUGAGCCGUGAAAAUCCGACGUGAGAUGCUCUGAUGCCGUCCUUUGGCCCGAUGCCAAGACAAGCUGCCGUCCCGUUGAGCUUGGUCAAAAUUCAGCAAACAUCCGAGUCACUAAAAUCUGCGCAAGAGAAGGGCACACGUUCUUUGAGUAAAGGAGGACGUAUACACUGAAAGGGGGAGGAUUUCGCACACUUAUUUUAUAGAAAUUUGGAGCCACUUGGCUAUUCUAUCACGUGUAGAGUUUUUUUAGCAGGACUUUUGGUGAAUCCGGAGCAAGUGGCAGCCCCUGGACGUUCCUCCCACAUCAGCACCAUGUCCUUGUAACAAUCCAAGUGCUUCAUUGAAUAGUCCGGGAGAACUUCACCAACACGUUUGCCGAUCCGACGAUCCCUGUAUUGCCGCAGCCACCACCUUGACGAAAGUUAUUGUUUUGCAGUCGCCUCUCGAAGUUUACGUGUAGAUGUUGAACCAAUCACACUUUGUGACUACUCGCGGAGCUAGAACCUUUGUUGCGCGUGAUUCGAGUUGCAGUCACGAGCCCCAUCGUGNNNNNNNNNNNNNNNNNNNNNNNNNNNNNNNNNNNNNNNNNNNNNNNNNNNNNNNNNNNNNNNNNNNNNNNNNNNNNNNNNNNNNNNNNNNNNNNNNNNNNNNNNNNNNNNNNNNNNNNNNNNNNNNNNNNNNNNNNNNNNNNNNNNNNNNNNNNNNNNNNNNNNNNNNNNNNNNNNNNNNNNNNNNNNNNNNNNNNNNNNNNNNNNNNNNNNNNNNNNNNNNNNNNNNNNNNNNNNNNNNNNNNNNNNNNNNNNNNNNNNNNNNNNNNNNNNNNNNNNNNNNNNNNNNNNNNNNNNNNNNNNNNNNNNNNNNNNNNNNNNNNNNNNNNNNNNNNNNNNNNNNNNNNNNNNNNNNNNNNNNNNNNNNNNNNNNNNNNNNNNNNNNNNNNGAUUCGUCAAUUUAUUUUCCCAAAUUAAAUGGACAUGGAUGAUAUCUUGAUUGAUUUGGUGCCGUGCGAUUCUUGAUGCCUUUAUUUAAUUGCUCCCGUAAAGGAAAAACCCAAAAAAAAUAUUUGAGUUAGGUUAAAUGCAUGUUAGGAUAUUACUUGUUUUAAGGUUAUGUUGCAUGUUUAGGAUAGGAAAUUUAUUUCGAAUUUCUUAAAUAAAAAGACCAAAAACAUUAAUUUAGGAUAUCAUAUUUUCUUCUCAUUAAUUUAAAUUGCACGUUUAAUUAUUUGGCAAUUUUAAUCUCGAAUUUUAUAAAAAAAAAAAAGAGAAAACCUAGAAUUAGGGCAUUCUUUGCACGUCAUUGUAUGUUAGGAUAAAAUUGCACGUAAUUUAAUUUUAGAUAAUAUUUUUUAAUUUAUUAUAAGUUUAGAUAAAUUUUUUAGAUAGAUUGCAUCUUAGGUUAGAGAUUGCUAAGUGAAGAUAAUAUCUUAGUUUAAAUUAGGAUUUGACCUAGCCCAAUUCUUAAUAUAAGUUGGAUAGAAUCUUAAUCUAGCUAGUUAAUCUUUGUAUUUUUCUUAAUUUCGAAAUUUUAUGGAAAAUACCAAAAAAUUGUCUCUAGAAUAAAUCAAUCCCAUUCUUUAGGAUAGACUGCAUUUUAUUUAUGUCAUAUAGUUUAGGUCAUAUUGCCAUGUCAUACCAUUCCAUGUUAGAUUAGUAGCAUCUAUUGCAUGAAGAAUGAUUCCCAUUAAAUAAGUGAAAAAGAAAAACAAAAUUUGCGUGUUAAUUAGAGAUUAUAUCUAGGACCGUCGAUGUGAAUUCUGAUUUAACACUGCAGAUGUUUUCGUUACUUUGAGGUAAGUUCCUGUAAUUUAUUCAUUGCUUUCCUUGGAUGUUAAAUUGGUGAUUUGCGCACUCGCAUGAUCACCUCACAUGUUAGGGAAAUAGAUUUAAAAUCAAUUCAAGUUGUUUGCCAAACAUUUUUUGAAAAUAAAAGAGAAAGGUACCGAAAGGGCGUUAGAGAAAUUUAACGUAACCAAGCUCUCGAAUUUACAAUCUCUGGUUUGUAGAAGUAAAAUAAUUCUCCCAUUAUUUUACUUAGGUGUCUAAUCGAUCUACCGUAAAUUGAUUAGUAGCGACUCUUAAAUAAAAUAUGUCUGCAUGUUAAGAAUUUAAACAUAAGUCGCGAAUUGGUAUGGACUUGAGAGAGCUUGAGUUAAGUCUAGGCUUAAUAAUCCAUUAACGAAACUCUAGGUGGUUCACUCGAAAAAUUGGUCAUGACACUUUGCUUGGCUGAGCUAUAGUUGUAGGGAGUAGUAGCCAAUCACUACCAUUGAUGUUGACAUUUCGAAUUGGUGAGGUCAACAACUCGCCGUGGGACAACAAGCUAGUCCCCUCGGAUCUCAAGGAGAGCAAACAAAGCCAUUGAGAUUUUUAACUUGUUUAAUUCUCGACAUUAACGUAACACUGUUUUGGCUACCUAAGCAUAUGUCCUUAAAAGAUUUCAAUUGGGAUUUAGUUCACACAUUAAGAUCCCUAAAUUUAAGAUUACCAAGAAGGCAAAGCCAGGUAUAGAAUUUGAUAAAGAUAUUGACCAAUUGGGAAUAUAGGAUAAUGCGGGUACUAACAUGCAAAAAUAAGAAAUGCAUCCAUAGAGUCCAACAUCUCUAUAAAUCAAAUGGACAGGAAGUGAAGACCUUGCUGCCUUCCUUUGGUGAGCCUAAACGCUUAUGUCACGGGCCGACAGUUCCCUUGGCCGCGGAAUGACCCGUGCAGCGCUGGCAAGCGGAAUUCGCCAGGCAAGCCUUUCUUCUAUAGCGGUUCUAGUGAACAAUACGGUGAAUGCUUUUUUGUACGAGAUCCUACCACGCCCAACUUCGCUCGGGCGUCUAGUUCAUUAAAUGAGACAACAGAUCUCUUUAGGCUCAACAACUGGUUUCGGCCUGCCAUAGCCUCGUCAAGAGAGCAGCAUUAGCUCCCGACCAAUUUGUGCACGAGAGGCCAACUCCACCUUCAAAGCUUCUAAGUGAUAUAAUCCUUCUAUUUUUAGCAUCAACCGUCCUGAUGCCACUCCCAUGGACCAGUUGUAUUUAUCCCUUUUGCCUUCUCACUCUUCACUUGAUAACCCCAAGCACCACUCACAAGUAUCACAAGUACGGGAGGAUUUACGGAUUGUGACAUUCUCCCCCACUCAAUUUCGCAACGCCCUCGUUGUGAUCUAUUAUGUCGCUUCCUUGCGUCCCUUAACCAUUGAUACGCCACUUUUGGGAUUUCACAUCGAAUGGUCACGCUCGCCUAACAAAACAGGUUUUCCUCCAUUAGUAGCCUCUUUUGAUCUCCACUGUUCGGCCAUUCUCGGUCACUUGCGCUUUUUUUGGCAAGUGUGGUAUUUUUCGCUAACUGGCAUCUUUUGGCAAUACCAUUUCUUUUGCCUACUCAGCUUCUUUGACCUCAGCAGACCAAAUGGAGAUUUUUUCUUUGUUGUAAACGUGGCAGUAGACCCCUUCUUUGAAUUUACUGAUCGAUCCAGGAACGUUAUCCUUAUUCAGCAAGGGUUCGGUUCUUCUCCAACUCCCAAGUUGCUCAGUGAGGAACCGACUCAUCCUAGCACCCAUUGUCAUCCUAGGAGCAAAGAGCCUAGCUUCGUUUGAGCAUCUUUUGCCCCGGCCAUUCACUUUUCGCCCACUAGGACCGGUGUCGCGACCCGAUCUCGCCGCCCCCUUUGAAAUGAUAUCUAAAGAUGGGAAAGGUUGGGUUUAGGGGUACUUGAUCUCGAGAUCACGAGCUCUCCGAAGCUCGUACCUGCGUGACAGUAGGUUGUCGCGAUCCAUACCCACAUAAGCGACACACCUAAAAAAGGGAGUCGAAUGUGGAUAUCGAAUUUAAGGGUACUUUUACCAUGGUAGCCCUCUCGAUAGUACGCUCCACCCAUUAGGAUGGCAUCACUUCAUCCUUUGGGCUACCCCCACAUCGAGUAUGCUAAACCAUAGUGAGUUUCAUCGAAACUCAUACCCCGCGUGACAACGGAUUUAUUUAUAUGAUCUAGGUAUUUAACAACCUAAAAAAUAUACAGGAGUCGCCACUAGCCUCAACUUUGGGGGUCGGCUAGAAACCCAAUCGAGGGUCGGGAGUGUUCCCUCGAUUCCUACGCAACCAGAUAUCUAGGUUCGGGGACUUGGGUUACGCUAAUAUUGCUAUUAGCGCCCUUUCGGUACCUAAACAGUAUGUUGUGCUUUUCCUAACAUGUCCAUACGUUUCUUUUUAUAUAUUUUCAGGAUCAUCAAUUCCUAUACUAAGUGAUCAUGCGUGGUUGAUCAUUUUCAUGCUAUUCUAUUUCUAAAAAAUAAAAUAAAAAGGAAAACAACCAAUGAAAUUGAAAUUACAAAACAUGAAGUAAACAAUCAAGAAAAGCAAUUAAACCUAUCAGGCAGUCCUAAAAAAAAUAAAAGAGAAAACAAACGAGAAAGAAAGGAAACCCGCAACUCGUCGGGUUUUAUACAAUGCAUAGAACCCGAGACAUAUGUCGGGAAAACAAAAAGUACAUAACAAUGGUCGGAAUGGACAUCGACCUCCACCAUCUUCACGCCUUACACCUUCUCCAUCUUCGGGGUCCUAAUCUAAACCUAGCUUAGGAAACUUCUAGCUAAAUGCAUACAAUGGAAAGAGACGAGCAAACGCAUCAAAACAAUCAAAAGCAAGACAUUUUUUAUAUUAAAAAAAAAAAAGAGUAACUAAAGUCACAAGGUCUCUGGAUCAAAUUCAAGGUGAUAUCCCAAGAUUCAUCAUUAUUAUAUGUCACAUCUAAAUUCUUCAUCACAGAAACUAGACACUCAACAUAAGCUCAAUAAAAACGCAAUCAAUGGCUAUCUCAUUCUAAAAUUUCUAUGGCAGGUGAAUCAGCAUAUGAGGAACAAACUUCAUGAAGAAACAUUCUAAAAUUCUAGGCACGUGAAUUUAUAACAUCCUGGAAGAGAUCAAAGUCAAUCAAAAGUAGAACAGAGCGGCAAAGCAAACAUACAACUCUUUUUUUUAAAUUUUUAUGUGAAGGACAACUUUCAUGAAGGACCUAAUCCCAAACUUCUCACAAAAAAUUCAUACCAAAUUCACAAGUAUUUGAAGCUAUAAAAACAAAGCAUGUAUUCUAAAUCAAGAGUAUUUCCAAAUUUCAAUAUCAGCAAAUUCACGCAUGAACAACAAAUAUCAAUUGCAAUUAGCCAAAUGGGUGCAUGAUAUUCACAUCAAACGGGGUUCAAAUAUGAUAAUGACUCUCAUGAAAGAUUCAACUCCAGCAAAACAUGUUUACUAACUCAAAUUUGAACACAUGCAUCAGGUCUCAAACAGGACAGAUUCUGGACUGAACUUUGGACAUGUGAAAAUCAUAUCAAAUGAGAUUCAAUCAGGGCAUUCUAUAGCUCAUUGGAAAGAUUUUCGAACCAUCUUCGACUUGCAUGAAGACUUCGAACACAGAAAACCACAACAACCAGCUCAUAUUAAGUCAUUUGCACAGAAGGUCAGAUCAGCAAAAGAAACAGAAUAUCAGAGCAGAAUCAACAGACUUUGUAAGUGGUUUUCAGCAAGCAAACGACGUCAAUUAUGGGCAUGUGACAUAUCAAAUCAAAGCUUGAGAAGUCUAUUUUAUAUGUCUAGAAGGGCUCGAAAUCAAAAAAACUCGUCUAACACCUAGUUUUAGUCAAAGCAGUAAGUGACAGAUCAGGUAUACGAAAUUGCAGAUCAAGACAAAUCAAGCUCAAGUUCAUGAUCAUUGACUAUCAAUUCACAGAAAAUCAUCCAAUAUCGUUGUAUAGAAGCAAUGAACAAAAGGAAGCACUCACAAGAGAGGCAAAGUCAGCAAACAUAACCUCUGUUCAAGUAUACUUGGAGUUUCCUCAAUCAAGCAUGUCAAUCACUGUUAACGAUAUAAAAGACUCAUUCACUACCAUCCAAUUUUCAUUAAAGCAGAACCAUCAAUAUAUUUGAAAUGGAUAUACAGUUGAUGAAUCAAUUAGUAACACGGCGCACCCAAAUGAAUGUGUACAUGACGACUAGAGCAGCAACUUAAUGCUCUCACAGCAUGUAUUCGGUAUUCGAGAUGGUAGCAUUCGUUCAAUAUGCUUGUGAUCUCAACAUGUAUAAAGAACCAACCCAGUAACAUUUUUUAUAAUAUGUUUGCAGUUGGACACAGUAAACAUAGAUCGAUAUAUUGUGAUGCAUAAGAAGGGAAUGUGCAUGGAUCAAUUCAUUUUCGUUCAAGAUGCUAUUGGUCUAAGUUCUGGAAUACUUAGAUAUCAGAUUUAUUUCAAGUACACGUUGGAUAUGCACCUAAUCCAAGAAUUUCAGUAACAAAUCCUAAAAAUGAAUAGCUACUAAACUCUAAAACAAAAGGAAACGAAAUAUGAGUAAAGUCUAUACGACAAAACUAAUGUAUCAAUCAAGCAAAGUGAAGCUCUCAAUCAGAAUCUGAAUUGAAACACACAUUGAUCUAAUUCAUGAAUUUUAUCAAACAGAUGGUAGAUAUUUCUGUCAAAUGAGCUAGAUGCAGAAAUUAGAGAGACAUCUUAUCACAAAGAGGCAAUGCAGCAUGCUCAAGGUCAUUAGGAAAACCUCACACGUGACUAGAUUUCGCUGGUGGAAUUGAGUAUUCGGUUUUUACCUUUAGCAGAAACAGAGCAUGUGGAUUUACCUUGACGAAGAGUAAUAUCUGACCACGAUUGGAGAAUGGAGGUCCUAAACACGUCGGCACCUGUAGCUUGAGCGAAAGAUCGGAAACCGUCGCUCUAGUAGACGCUGUCGCCGUUGGCUUCAGAGCUCAAUCCCUGGAAUCGAAUGGAUUCCUCUGAACUCAGCGAAGUAUCGAAAACUAUCACUCUCCGAGCUCCUCGAUUGGCUGUUCCGUCCUCUAGGGUUUGAGAGAGCUCGGAUCUGCAACUUCAACUGCGGCAUCAAAGAACGGCACUCGGAUUCGGAGAUCCGCUAGGCUGAACAUCAGGUCUGGGCCGAGGUUUCGGAGACGGGGCUGCGACGGAUUCGAUGCGCUCAACCAUUGAAAUCGAGUGUCUGCAGCAGAUCCCUAAAGCGAGAGCGAGAGGGAGAGGGAGCGUCCGUCGCCAUCGUUGCUAUCAUCGCCACCGUCUUCGUCGUUGUCACUGCGAUGAGGAAAAAAAACCCUCGCGAAUCUCCGGUGAUAAUCCUCACUGAUCGAGCUCCGAUCCCCCCGAACUCCCUCAAACCAAAAGCGAUCAAGAAGUAGAAACCGAUUCCAGAAAGAAUCCCCUUUCGAGAGAGAAUCCUCCGCGUCCUCAGAUCCCAGAGAGAGCUUUUUUUUUUUUUUUUUUUUUUUUUUUUUUUGAGGAGCUAGAGAGAGCUCGCGGGCGUAGAGAGCUUCCGAGUGAGAGAGCCCGUGUGAGGAGAGAGAGUCCUUCUGAGGAGAGAGAGUGCGUCCGUGGAGAGAGCGUGCGUCCGUGGAGAGAGCGUGCGUCCGUGGAGAGAGAGAGAGAGUGUGCGAGCGUUCUUCCCCCCCUUUUCCUUUUUUUUUCUUUUAUUCUUUUCAUCCCUCCUUUUUCUUGUUUUCUUUUUCAUUUUCAGUUUUUUUCUUUUGCUUUUCAUUUCGUUUCAUUUUUGUUUUGUUUUCAUUUUCAUUUCAUUUUUUAAUCUUUUGGGCUCUUUAUUCUUUUUUUUUUUCUCUUUUUCUUUUCUUCUUUUUCCUUAUUUCUAAUUUUUUUUUCAUUUCAAACAAUUUUUUUAACUUUUGCGAAUUGAAUGUUUAAAAUGUCGACAAAAAUUUCGGGUGUCAACAACCGGUACCACUAAUAUUUAUCAGUUUGACGCACUGGUGCGAGAAGUUUGAUUCUUCGACUUACUCACUUACUAGAGGGAUUCAUACUCUGUUACCACUUGUCAUGGACCGACAAUUCCCUUGGUCGUGGAAUGACCCGUGCGGCGCCUGGCAAGCGUAAUUCACUAGGCCAGACUUUCUUCUAUAACUGUUCCAGCGAACAAUACAGUGAAUGCUUCUUCAUACGAGAUCCUACCACGCCCAGCUUCGCUCGGGCAUCUAGUCUAUUGAGUGAGAGUGCAAAUCUCUUUAGGCUCAACAACUAGUUUCGGUUUGCCAUGGCCUCGUCAGGAGAGUGGCAUCAGCUCUCGACCAAUUUGUGCAUGGGAGGCCAACCCUGCCUUCAAAAGCUCCUAAGUAAUAUAAUCCUUCUAUCCGAGAAUUUAGAGCACCAAUUGUCUUGAUGCCACUCCCACGGACCAGUUGUGUUCGUCAUUUCUGCCUCUUUGCUCUUCACUUGAUAACCCCAAGCACCAUUCACAAGUGUCACAAGUACGGGAAGAUUCACAGACAGUAACAUUUAAAUGUCACCAAGAAUCCAAGGCAAGGACUUAGAACACGGAGACAAUUAAUAGAAAUGUAGUGUGUUGACGGGGCAGUAAUCUACAUUUGUACGAAACAGUGACUAGACGUGCAAGUUUUUACAGAUUUUUUUUUUUUUUUUUGGUGGAUGUAGUAUUCUGUAUUAUCAUUUCUCACAUAUGGGAUAGAUGAAGUUGGCGGAGCAUCAUCCACACUAAAGAUAAAAUUUGACACUUCCUUCAAAUAAUUCUUGAGGAGCAACGUAUAACAGGCCUAGCUCAGGGAGUGAAACACAUUCGGAGCAAGAAUCUGCCACUUCGCACAUCUCGCCAUUCAAACAAUGAAAAGCUUCCAUAAUAGAUUCCCACCCUGGCAAUGGCAACCAUCCACAUCAUAAUUGCAUAAAGAAGUCUCAACAUCGUCUUUGUAUGAUUAACAAUAUCGAAAGAAAUGGCACAAAUACAACCAUCAAACAACAAGCCAUCGUCUUUUGGCUUUCCCCAAUAAGUUGUUUACAAUACAAAAUUACUGCACCGCAUAAUAGUCGUCGUAUUCUUUAUAGUAUCCAUUUCAGUUUCAAACGUGAACAAAAGACAAACUUCGAAGCAAAAUUUAGGAGUUCCUUUCGAUGGAUUACCAAAAAAAGCCCUAGUUCUUUCAAAACCAAAUUAACUCGAAACAUAGCAAGCCAUUUCUUAUUUUCAGUUCUGCCAGCAAUCAGUAUCCGGAUUUAUCGGAUAGAGUCAUUGGCGGAUGUAGAAGAAGCAGUUCCAGUCCACGGCCCAUCAGUGAGCAUGCUCUUGGUGAUAUUCUCAUCAACUGCCUGAUCUUCGUCACCUUAAAAAUGCUUCCUCAUGGCCUCAAUUGUCUCCUCCGUUAUGAUAGCGCCCUCAGAGUCCAGCACUGGAACAGCAGCCUUGCCUUCAAGCAUGCUAACCACAGAUGACAUCGGCGGCCUGAGUGCUGGAGUUGCAUUAGUACACAGCAGAGCUACCUUUAUCAUCGCCAGCACCUCCUUUUCGUCAAAAUGAGAACCCAGCCUCUGAUCAACUAGAUCCAUCAAAUUUCCUCUCUCCUUCAAAACUCGUGCCUAGAAACAAAAAUGGAAAGGAAGAUAAUUUCCCUCAAGCUACAGGUACCGAUCAGUUGUAGAAUAUGCUCAGAAUACUAAAACGGGAGGAAGGAGAUAUAUUCUGCCCUUGAUAAUUUCAUGACAAAUGCAGUUGAUAAACACCCGCUAGUUUUUCAUCUUCGUUGUAAGUUAUAUUUGACAGGGACUAAUAAUGAUUAUUUUAGCUAAUGAUUGGCUUACUUAAAGCAAAAUAAAAUCUAUUUUUUUGACUCAAUUACAUGGAUGUGAAGAAGUCAAAUCUAAAUUGAAAAUAUAUCAAUAUUUGGGUCAAGCAUGGUCUUGAAAACUUUUUAAAUCCAAUACUAAUUGUCAAAACUGCAAAGUACUCGACCAACUUGUUUGGCGCUAAUGAAACUACGGGGAGUAUGAAUGUCCCGCAUAAAACUAUGAAGACUAAAACAAAAUCAACCCAACUUUUAAGAACCCCAAAUUUCAAUGAAUAGAAUUGUCUUCAAUCCAAAAAAGAAUCUACAUGAUCCCUUCUUUCAGCAGGCAGCCCAUUGUUUCAAGUUUCAUUGUGUCACUAGGUAAAUUCCAGUUUCAGUUUCUUAGAACCAGACUAAUCCAUGACCACCCCCACCCCAAGUCGCUCAUCUUGAGCAGGAACACCAUAGGCCGGCUACUGCAAGGAUUACUUGCUCCUUUUAAAUUUAGUAUAGACCAACAUAACAAGAAUAAUUGGAUUAAUUUUAAAUGACAAAUUGCACUUAACAGCAUGACAAUUCGUUAAACAGGUUUCAAUAGCUGGUAACUGUAACUCUCAUUUGCAACCAUUAAAAGUGCACAUGAGUAGUUCUAUUCUAUGUUCACACUUCCUUAAUCCAUCUCUCAAUCGGCACAAGCAGAGAUUUAAAUAUCAUAAUAAGAAACUUUUGAAUGCUAGAGUUAAUUACCCAAUUGAGUAGAUAAAAGCAUUUCUCCUUUUGGUAACUGGUGUUGUUGCUCCGGCCACUAACAACUUCUAAGGCAACAAUGCCAAAACUAUAGAUGUCAGCUUUUUCAGUGAGGUAACCAUGCAUCGCAUACUCUGGUGCCAUCCACUGCAUAACAAGAAAAGAGCUUGUGUUUGCAACAUGACAAAUGUCUUAAAUAGCACUUACUUAAUAUUUUAUUCCAAAGACCAUCCCUCUUAUCUUCCUAAAAUACAAAAUAAGGAGAUAUUCCUAAUCAUGACACAAUGGUCUCAACAGUCAAGGAAAAAACAAGUGCAUUCUAGAAAUUUUUUAGUAGGAUUCUGCUGAGAAUAUCCAAAACAAAAAAAAAAAGACAUUUGUGGAUUUUAUAUAACUUUCAGGGGACAUAUAGCUUAGUAGUUGGAAAACGAGUGCAUCCUUAUAACUUGGAAAAGAGGCUCAUUAACUGAAAAAAGAGUUGGAAACAGGCUGAGACAAGGUCUGAAUACAUAGGCAGCAGCAGGAGGAUUCCUAAAGCCAAGCCCAGGGGCAAGAAAACUUCUUAAUAUUGUUGUUGUCGACGUUGCUCUAGCAAUAGAAAAACAGCCUUACAUUUUCUCACUAGCUUUCUAACCCUUGUGAUUCAUGUGCUUGCUUUAUAAUUUUGAUUUUAUUCUUUUUCUGUGUGUAUACAAGUUCUAUAUGCAAAAAAAUAAUUUCCUGAUACAAUAAUCAACGGAAACAUAGGUGAAUUAGCUCUAUUGUCUAUAAUAUCAACUUAUAGCCAAAUUAACAAUUACAUAAGUUAAUAUUAAUGGUAGAAUAUGUAAUAUAAUUAACAUUUGUUGCUGAUUAACAUGAAGAGCAGCGGGAAAGGCGUGGAGCUUUGCGGUUAAGCCCCAUUCGUUGAGCACCAUGCUUUGGGAUGAUGUGAGUAACCACAGAGCUCCAUUCGACUCACUUUUCUUAAAUUAGAUAAGAUUUUUCUACUCCAUUUAGUUACUGUUGGCACGGUGAGUUUUGAACUUGACAAGGACUGGCCAGUCAACCACGCAACGAGGGGACAGUCUUCUAUGACGUUUGCAUGCAUUGGCUGUGGGAGUCUCUAGAGACAAUUAUUCGUUCUUGCCAACAUUGAGAACCCGACCACCAUGAUUUGGCAAUUUGCUUUUGCGUUCAUACUCCAUAAGGCAGAAUUUAUGCUAUUGAGCUUCAUUGAAUUUUCCGUGUCCCUCUUUUUUUUCUUGUGACAAGAAACUUUCCACGUGGACUUUUCAUCGUGUUCACAAGAAAUGUCGAUAUUUCACAUCUACACGAUAGUUCCAUGAAUGUCUUCACACAUUACACUAUGAAUGGAUCAAUACAUGCAUUAAUGCAGCUGAGAGUUGAUUCAGAUGACAAUUAGAGUAAGUGCGGGUUGGGUUGAAGAUCUUCAUUCAACUGCAAAUGUGUCAAAUGCAUGAAAAUUAUCAUAUUAGAAAGGCGGAAUAUGAUUUUCAGCAUAUAAAUAGUAUGAGUCGAAGUGUCUAAUGUGAUCUAUCUUGAAUUUUGGGAUGACCAACACAUGUUUAAAUUAUAUAUUCCUUUGUUAUAGUCCAUCAACUAGGACAUCGAUAUGUGACAAAGGAAAGUCAUCCUUAAGACUUGCUUUAUUUAGGUUGCCAUAGUCAACACAUACUCUGACCUGUCUGUCCUUCUUCAUGACUGGAACUAUGUUGGCGAUCUAGUUAGCAUAGUGAGUGAUUUCAAUGAAAUCCACUUUCAAUAGCUUUAUGACUUCCUCCUCAAUUUUCUUAGACAACUUAGCUUUCGUCCUCCCGAGUUUCUAUUUCACAGGUAGAAUAUUAGGAUUGAGUGGUAGUGCAUGUUCCACGAUCUCAGGAUCUAAAUUGACAUGUCAGUAUAAGACCAAGCGAAAACAUCUUGGUAUUCCUUUAGGAGUCUAAUUAAUCUAUCGGUAUCUGUUUGAGAAAGACCUAUCCUAAUCUUGAUUUCAUUAGGGUUUUUUUGGGAAAAGUACCAAAAAAAUCUUAAACCUAUUGCAUUGGUACCAAUUCAGUCAAAAACUUUUCAAUUGGACCAAUUCAAUCCUAAACCUUUUAAUAUUGGUACCAAUUCAGUCAAAAACUUUUCAAUUGGACCAAUUCAAUCCUAAACCUUUUAAUAUUGGUACCAAUUCAGUCCAUCCGGCCAAUUUUUUCCGGUCGACGCUGACGUGGACGUUGGCUGGUGACCGGAUGCUAACGUGGCAGUUUUUAUUAUUAUUUUAUGAUUUUUUAUGAUUUUUUAUGAUUUUUUAUUAUUAAUUUUUUAUUUUUCAUGUUAUUUUCUACCUUCUUCCUGGGGAUGGCCGGCGAGGGUCGUGGCCCUCGGCCGGUGACGCGGCUUCGCCCAGAUCUGGGCAGGGCCAGCCUCGCCCUGGCCUUGCCAUGGGAGGAGGGAGAGGAGGAGGGACGGGAAGCGAGCGAAGGACGAGCUGUGGGACUGGCACCAUCAGAAGAAGGAGAGGAGUGUGUUGGGGCGGCGGGCUAGGGUUUCAGAGGCGAAGAUCGGGCGGAGGAGCGGCGGUGUGAGGCGUGGGAGGUGGGAGACCAGGGCCUCGAAUUGGGAUUUCAUGGAGGUGAGGGCGGCGGUGACAAGGACGAGAAGCUCUGGGGUCGACAGCGAAGGAGUCGCCGGGGACUCAACGGCAAGGCUAGGGCAAGGCUAGAUCUGGGCUAAGCCAUCUCGCCUGCGGCCCUGGGCGAGGCCGAGUGAGGGUCGCGACCCUUGCUGGCGGCUGGCAAGGGCUUCGUGGCCCUCGCUUCCGCCUUGGUGAUGGCUGCCAUGGCCUUGCUAGCUGCGGGCGAGGCUGGCCUCGCCUAGAUCCGGGCGAAGCCGCCUCGCCGGCGACCCUGGAGAGGCCGGCCGAGGGCCGCGACCCUUGCCGGCGGCAGGCGAGGUCUUCGCGGUCCUCACCCAGUGGCCAGGGAGCCUCACUGGAGUCUCGCCGGCCACCGCCAGGAAGAAGCCAGAAAAUAACAGGAAAAAGAAAAAGAAAAAGAAUAAAUAAUAAAAAAAUUAAUAAAAAAUUCGAAAAAAUCAUUAAAAUAUUAUGAAAAUUGCCACGUCAGCGUUCGGCCACCGGUUGACAUGGCAGUUUUUAUUAUUCUUUUAUGAUUUUUUUUGAAUUUUUUAUUAUUAAUUUUUUUCUUUUUCCUGUUAUUUUCUACCUUCUUCCUGGCGGUGGCCGUGAAGCCCUCGCUUGCCAUCGGCGAGGGUCAUGGCCCUCGGUUGGCCUCUCCCAGGGCUAUUGGCGAGGCGGCUUCACCCAGAUCUGGGCGGGCCAGCCUCGCCCUGGCCUUGCCGCGGAGGAGGGNNNNNNNNNNNNNNNNNNNNNNNNNNNNNNNNNNNNNNNNNNNNNNNNNNNNNNNNNNNNNNNNNNNNNNNNNNNNNNNNNNNNNNNNNNNNNNNNNNNNNNNNNNNNNNNNNNNNNNNNNNNNNNNNNNNNNNNNNNNNNNNNNNNNNNNNNNNNNNNNNNNNNNNNNNNNNNNNNNNNNNNNNNNNNNNNNNNNNNNNNNNNNNNNNNNNNNNNNNNNNNNNNNNNNNNNNNNNNNNNNNNNNNNNNNNNNNNNNNNNNNNNNNNNNNNNNNNNNNNNNNNNNNNNNNNNNNNNNNNNNNNNNNNNNNNNNNNNNNNNNNNNNNNNNNNNNNNNNNNNNNNNNNNNNNNNNNNNNNNNNNNNNNNNNNNNNNNNNNNNNNNNNNNNNNNNNNNNNNNNNNNNNNNNNNNNNNNNNNNNNNNNNNNNNNNNNNNNNNNNNNNNNNNNNNNNNNNNNNNNNNNNNNNNNNNNNNNNNNNNNNNNNNNNNNNNNNNNNNNNNNNNNNNNNNNNNNNNNNNNNNNNNNNNNNNNNNNNNNNNNNNNNNNNNNNNNNNNNNNNNNNNNNNNNNNNNNNNNNNNNNNNNNNNNNNNNNNNNNNNNNNNNNNNNNNNNNNNNNNNNNNNNNNNNNNNNNNNNNNNNNNNNNNNNNNNNNNNNNNNNNNNNNNNNNNNNNNNNNNNNNNNNNNNNNNNNNNNNNNNNNNNNNNNNNNNNNNNNNNNNNNNNNNNNNNNNNNNNNNNNNNNNNNNNNNNNNNNNNNNNNNNNNNNNNNNNNNNNNNNNNNNNNNNNNNNNNNNNNNNNNNNNNNNNNNNNNNNNNNNNNNNNNNNNNNNNNNNNNNNNNNNNNNNNNNNNNNNNNNNNNNNNNAGUGGCUUCUGUUUUCCCUUGUCGGCGACCCUAGGAGAGGUCGGUCGAGGGCCGCGACCCUCGCCGGUGGCAGGUGAGGUCUUCGCGGCCCUCGCCCAGUGGCCGGCGAGCCUCACCAGAGGCUCGCCGGACACCGCCAGGAAGAAGCGAGAAAAUAACAAGAAAAAUAAAAAAAUUAAUAAAAAUUAAUAAAAAAUUCGAAAAAAAUCAUUAAAAAAUUAUGAAAAUUGCCAUGUCAGUGUCCGGCCACCGGCCGACGUCCACGUCAGCGCUGGUCAGCCAAAAUUGGCUGGAUGGACUGAAUGGGUACCAAUAUUAAAAUGUGGGGAGACUGAAUUGGUCCAAUUGAAAAGUUUAUGACUGAAUUGGUACCAAUGCAAUAGGUUUGGGACUUUUUUGGUACUUUUAUCAGGUUUUUUAAAUCUCUUAAAUUCACGAUGAUUGAUUGUUUAGUAGUGGAAGGUUUGAAUUUCUCAUGUCUGAGUCAUAGGGGUGUGCAACGGAAAUCACCCGAACCGGGACCUGACCGGACCGGACCGGACCGGCCGGUUUUAGGCGGUUCCCACCGUUGGCGGUCCGGUUCCUGGUUCCUAAUCUUGGAACCGGAGGCCGGUUGGUUUGGUUCCCGGUUCCAAGGUGGGAACCAGACCGACCAGACCGGACCAAAUUUUUUUAUAUAUAAUUUAUAUACAUAUAAUAUAUAAACACAUAUAAUAUAUGAAUAUUAUAUAUGAAACUUAUUGCAAUUACAAUUGCAAUUGAGGUAACAAUCUUCUAUGUGGCCAAGAGACCACCAAAGCUUUGUUGUUACUCUUUAUUUAUAGAGAAAACUUACUUGUUAGUUUCAUUUUUUACUAGAUGUGAGACAAGGCUCUAGGAGUUCCUCGUUCUCACACUCUCUCUCUUGCUCCCCUCACUUGCAAACAACAAGGCACUUCAAGCCUCAAAGAGUCUGAUAUCGACUAAACAUUCAAAGCAUAGAAGAGAGAUUGUCUAUAAAACCUAAACUAAGCACAACCUUUAAUCAAAUUGUUCAUGGCUUUUAUGCUUAAAAUUAAGCGUGAAACACAUAAACUGUGAUUGAUAUUCACGCAAGUGAAGUGUGAAUAUUUUGCACGUGGCGCAUGGAAACAUGUGUGAGUAGUUUUAUUAGAACGUCUGGGAACCGAAUUGGAUUGAUCGGUCCGGAGCAUGAUUUUUCUUUAGUGAAAAAGGAAAAUGCCGAUUGUGGACCCNNNNNNNNNNNNNNNNNNNNNNNNNNNNNNNNNNNNNNNNNNNNNNNNNNNNNNNNNNNNNNNNNNNNNNNNNNNNNNNNNNNNNNNNNNNNNNNNNNNNNNNNNNNNNNNNNNNNNNNNNNNNNNNNNNNNNNNNNNNNNNNNNNNNNNNNNNNNNNNNNNNNNNNNNNNNNNNNNNNNNNNNNNNNNNNNNNNNNNNNNNNNNNNNNNNNNNNNNNNNNNNNNNNNNNNNNNNNNNNNNNNNNNNNNNNNNNNNNNNNNNNNNNNNNNNNNNNNNNNNNNNNNNNNNNNNNNNNNNNNNNNNNNNNNNNNNNNNNNNNNNNNNNNNNNNNNNNNNNNNNNNNNNNNNNNNNNNNNNNGAUCGAUCACCCCUACUGAGUCACUCCCUUUCAAUAGCUCUGGGAUCAUCUUAAUCUUUUGAAUCGGAAUAACUGAGUUCUAAAGAAUCUCUUGGAUUCAAAUUCGAGCCACAUAUAUAACUAUGAUGAUAAUGCAAAGUGUCAUGCCUAAGAUGCAACCGAAAAUGGUUUGUAAAUAUAAUAAAUGCAAUGUAUACAAAUGUCAUGAAAAACUUUUUUUAAAUUUCAAGGUUUUGAAAAAUUUAUUGAGAACUUACCUUCAUGUCAUCGGACAUCCUUAUACUUACAUGCACCUAGUCUUGGUAUUUUCUAAAUUAUUUUGAUCUUAAAUGCACAUGUCAUCAUUUAAUGACAAGGAUUCAAAGACAAUGGGAGAGGUCCGCCACUUAUUUUGAGGGAGAAUUACCCAAAAAGUUUUAAUUUUUUUUUGACUAAUUUAGUCAUAAAUAUUUUACACUGGUGCUAAUUUAGUCUAUUCGACUAGUUUUGGCUGGCUGACACUGACGGUAUCGCCAAUACUAAUGCGAACAAUUUUUAAAUGAUAUUAGAUUUUUAUUUUAUUUUUUUCUUAGUCCUUUUUUUUUUCUCUCUUUUUUUCCCUACUUUAUUCCUUCUUCCUCUAGCCGGCCGCCACUGGCCAAUUGUGAGUUUCGCUCCCUCUGGCCAUUGGCGAGAGAAUCGAGGUCGGAGUUGGGUCGGUGUCACACGCGCAGGUAAAAGCGGAAGUUUACGACGGUGGUGCCUCUGGGUUCAGUUUCCAGAGAUGUUGCCUGCAUUGUUCUUGUCGUGAUUUGCUCUGUGGUCUUCGAGUGCGAUGGUCAACUCUUGGUACCAGAUGAAGGUACGCGAGAAUAACUCAGCCCUUUGCUUUAACGGCUGUCUAAGUUUUUCUUUUUGACCCACUGUUUUUGGAAUGACUGCUCUGUGAGUUCUGAUCGUGAAUCUCUUUCUUGCUUUUCUCUGUUGAGGGAUGACAAGUUAGUCAUUAUCCAUUUUGCCCUCGUAAAUGAGCCCCUUAAGGCUUUAACUUGUUUGAUUUUUUUUUUUUUUUUUUGACACUAACCUAUGACCUUUUUGGCUUUGACUCAAGAAUACAGAACCCAUCGAACAGAGUGAAUUACUGUGCUGAUGAGGUAGUAAUCCAUCUGAGGAGAAUAGUGACUAGAAAUGCAAGUUUCCGCAGAAAAAUUUUCAUGUGGAUAUAGUAUUGUCUUUUAUCAUUUCUCAAAGAUGGGGUAGAUGAAGUCAGCCGAUCAUCAUCCACACUAAAAGAGAUAAAAACUCAAAUUUUCUAAGAAUAGUUCUUGAGUAGCAAAAUCUAAUGGAUCGAGUUCGUGAACAAAACAAAUCCAAAAGCAAGAAUGUCCCACUUCGCACAUAUUGCCAUUCAAACAAUGGAAAGCAUCCAUAAUAGAUUCCCUCCGUUGUGCUGGCAACCAUCCACGUCGUUAUUGUUUGAAGAGGAAAUGUUGCAACAUUCUCUGUGUUUCAAUAACAAUAUAAAUAAAACCAUCAAACAACAAACUAUCAUCAUUUGGCUUUCCAAGUAAUUAAUUCACAAUACACAAUCACUGCACUGCAUAAAAGUCCCCGUUUUCUUUGUAGUAUCAAUACCUUCAGUUUCAAAUGUAACCCACUGAAUGGAUUACCAAAUAAAGCCCAGUUCUUUUAAGAACUAAUUAACUCAGAACGCUGCAAACCAUUUCUUCUUCUAUGUUCUGGCAGUAAUCAGUAUCCAGAGGUAUCCGAUAGAGAUCAAUAGCAGAUGGUAAAGAAGCGAUUCCGGUGCCCAGCCCUUCAGUGAACAUACUGUUGGUGAUAUUUUGACCAACUGCCCGGUCUUUGUCACCUUUAAAAUGCUUCCUCAUGGCCUCAAUUUUCUCCUCAGCCUUGAUGGCGCCCUCAGAGUCCAGCACUGGAACAGCAACCUUGCCUUCAAGCAUGCUAACCACGGAUGACAUCACCGGCCUGAGUGUUGGAGUCGCAUUAGUACACAGUAGAGCUACCUUUAUCAUCGCCAACACCUGCUCUUUGUCAAAAUGAGAACCCAACCUCGCAUCUACUAGAUCUAUCAAAUUUCCUCUCUCCUUCAACUCGCGUGCCUAGAAACAGAAAUUGAAAGUGAUAUUUCUUCCUCAAAUUUCAGGGAUCAUUAGCAGAAUACAGGAAGAAGGAAAUAUAUCCUGUCCCCCAAUAAUUCCAUCACAAAUGCAGUCGAUAAACACCUGAUAGGUUUUCAUCUUCAUUACAGGGAAUAAACAGAAGAAAAGAAUUCAAUGAGUCAAUACAGAUGAAACAUGAUUUUUUUUCACAUAUUUAGAUAAAAAGUUAGUAAACUUCAGCAUUAGUUGAUCUCUUAAUAACGGUUAUCCAGUUGCAAAAAAUUUACCAGCACCGCUUUAUAAUCACCAGCACUUAUUGAGUAUUACCAGCACGAAUAAUUUGUCAGUUUGUCAUUACAUGACAUGGUAGCAUCAUCCAUCAAUCGUUUACACCAUUAAUUGCAUUUUACUCACAAUUCCAGUUUAACAAGAAUAACUUGACUACGAAAAUUAGGUGAAAAUCAGAUUUAACAAGUACGAGCAAUGAUUAUUUUUGCUAAUGACUGGCUCACUCAAAGCAAAAUAAAUUCUAAGGACUUAAUUAGAUGAAUGUGAAAAAAAUCAAAUCUAAAUUUUAAGUAUAUGAAUAUUUGGGUCAAGAUGCAGUCCUGAAAACUUUUUGAAUCGACAGUAAUUGUCAAAACUCGAAAGUACUCGAAGGACCUUUUUGGCCGUAAUGAAACUACAGGGAGAACGAAUGUCAUGCAUAUAACUAUAAACACCAAAAUUGAACUACCCCAAAGUUUAAUGACCCAAUUUCAAGGAAUAUAAUUUUCUUCAAUCCAAAAUCUACAUGAUUCCUUUGGUCAGGAGGCAGCCCAUCGUUUUGAGUUUCAAUGUGUCACUAGGUAGGCUCCAGUUUCAAUUUCUUAGAACCAGACUAAUCUGUGGCCGCCCACAACCCCAAGUCGCAUGUCUUGAGCAUGAACACCAUAGACUGGUUGUUGCGAGGAUUGCUUUCUCCUUUUAAAUUCAGGGUAGACCAACAUAAUAAGAAUGGCAAAUGCACUUAAUGGCACGGCAAUUCAUUAUAAAUAACUGCGACGCUCCUCUGUAACCACUAAAAGUGCAUAAGAGAAGUUAUAUACUAUGCUCACAGUUCCAUCUUUCCACUGGCACAAACAGAGAACUUAAAACGGAUACGAUCCUAAUUGAAAACUUUUGAAUGCUAGAGUUAAAUACCCAAUCGAGUAGAUGAAAGCAUUCAUCCUUUUUUUGGUAACUAAUGUUGCACUGGCCGCUAACAACUUCUAAGGCAACAACACCAAAGCUAUAGAUGUCGGCUUUGUCAGUGAGGUAACCGUGCAUUGCGUACUCCGGUGCCAUAUAUCCACUGCACAACAAGAAAAGAGCUUUCAUGUGCAACAAGGCAAAUGUCUUAAAUAGCACGUACUUAAUUUUCCUAAAAUUCAAAAGAAAGAGAUAUUCCUAAUUGUGACACUAUAGUCUCAAGAGUAGAGGAAACAAAUAAGUGCAUCCAAGUGAAUCUUAAAAAUUUUCUAAUAGAAUUUACCGAGAAUAUUUUGAAAAAGACUAUUGUUGUUCCAUAUAAUUGUCAGAGUGCAUAUAUGAGUUUAUAACUCGGAAAAGAGGCACUCUGACCCAAAAAAGAGCUGGAAACAGGCUGAGCCAAUGUCUGUGAAUACCUGGGCAGCAGCCGCAGGAGGAUUUCUAAAGCCAAAGCCUAGAGGCAGAAAAGCUUCUUGUUGUCAUCGUUGUUGCUGUUCCAAUAGACAGCCUUUCACUUCCUUGCUAGCUUUCUAACCCUUGCGAUACAUGUGCUUGCUUUGUAUAUUUUGGUAUUAUUUUUUUGUAAUUCACUUGAAAGUGCAUCAUCUAAGUUGAUGUCAUGUGACACAUUUACUAAAAUUGUGUUUUUCAUACAAAGGAGUAUAUAUAGAUAAUUUAUAUUGAAAUUUCAACAUUAAGUAGUUGUUCAUUAAAUUGUUUUGCAUUGAAUUGAUUGCCAUUGGAAAACAUAAUAAAAAAAAUUAAAUUACAUAUCAAUAUAGUUCGUUAAAAUGUAUUGCAUUAUAAUUGCAUCAUAAUAAUUUCACAAGCUUUUUGUUUGAGGGGACACAUUAGGUAGGGCACACUAAAUUACCUUAUGAAAUGUUUAUCUUGAAUUGUUCCUAAUGUAGUAAAAGGAUCAUGUAGAAUAUUAUCAAUGUUUUGAGCAAAAUCUAGCAUAGGAGGAUAUGAAUUUUCCGGAAUUAUAUUAUAUUAUCUAAGUUAAUUGAGAAAACUGAACUUAAUAAUGUUGCAGUUCUUUUUUCUUUUUUUCUUUUUUGAUUGAAUUCAGGUUAGAGUUAGUAGAAUGAACUUAUAGUUCUAUUUUUUCCUAAUUAAUCACAUUAUUUUCAUCAACAAGUUUAAUUUUCGCACAUAUUAAUAAAAAUGUCUGAAACAUGUGAACAUGCUUAUUAUAUUUUUCCAUGUGAAUACAUCAGAAACAUGGGCAAACUCUACUGCCCAUAAUACUAAAUUUUUUUAAAUAACAAUUACAUAGUCAAUAUCAAAGUAUAAUUACUUAAUGGUAGAGUAUGUGACAAUUAACAUUUUUUUUCCUAAUUAAAGCGAAGAGUGGUGGGAGAAGCAUAAAGCUUUGUGGUUAAGCCACAUUUGUUGAGCACCAUGCUUUGGGAUGAUGUGAAUCCACCACAAACCUCCAUUCAACUCACUUUUUCUAAAUCAGACUAAAUGUCUCUAUUCCAUGCUAUUGUGUUGUCAUUGGCUCCUAAUUAGGUGAACAGGAAUAUAAAACAAGGAACUUACUAAGUUCCAGCAAUCUUGGUGCUAAUAUGUGUGUUGUCCUCCUCAUCAAGUUUUGCUAAACCAAAAUCUGAUAUUUUAGAGUUGAGAUCCUUAUCCAGUAAAACAUUAGUAGCUUUAAUGUCUCUAUGCACAAUCUUUAGCCUUGACUCUUCAUGAAGAUAUGCCAACCCCCUGGCAAUACCCACACAUAUCUUGUGUCUUGUCCCCCAAUCCAGCUUUAACUGAAAUUCUUCAGGACCUUCAAUUGUAUCAGAAGACAUCAAAACUGCUUUACUGCCAUGUCAUUAACUGAAGACAGUGAAGCACAAUGUGAUAUCAAAUUACCAAAUAAAGCACGAGCAAGAUUGUUAUUUUCCAUGUACUGGUAAACCAGCAAAAGUUGAUUUCCUUCAAUGCAGCAUCCAUAGAGUUUUACAAGAUGUGGAUGUUGAAGAGCAGAAAUCAUCCCAAGCUCAGUCACAAACUCACGAUUUCCUUGCUUUGAUUUGGACGAAAGCUGCUUCACUGCUAUAGUGGUGCCAUCUGACAGAAGACCCUGCAAUUGAACUUUGGCAUAAGAUUUAUGCUGUGAAGAUUUAGAUACAUUGAAUGCUGCUUUCUACAAUUCUUUUCUGUUGGGAAUUGGAGGAAGUUAGUUCACCGAUUUUCCAGCAUACCUUGUAUACAGAACCAAAACCACCUUCUCCAAUCUUAUUGGCAGCAUCAAAAUUGUUUGUGGCAGCUUUAAUCUGUCGCAAGGUAAAUGAACCAAUUUGCAAUGCUAGAACCUUCAAAUCUACACAACAUUUUGGAGCUUUUAAGAAUUUGGAGGAGUCCACAGCUAAAGUAUGCAAUCUCCUAUCUAACGAAGACGUAGCAAUUCCUUCUCAAUGUACCAGAAAACCUCAUUGUAACUACUUUGUCUGAGCAAGUUCCUGACAAUAUAUCCUAACAUCUUGAAAUUUAUUUUCUAGGAAACUCUGGCUUCGGUUGGCAGUAUGUACUUUGAAAAAUGAAAUGAGAAUGUCCUCAGGGUAUUUAGUAGUGGGGGGAAAGAAAAAUCAUAGAAAAAACUCACUCACUUUGGAAAUGUAAGGCAAGGUUGGUAUGCUUUGAUAUCUCGUACAUCCGAAGUUCCAGCAUUUUAUUUCGACAUCUUGAAACACAUACUUAGUAUACAUAUGGUCGAUUGUGCCCCCAAGGAGACCCAAUACACACACACACAUCUAAGAAACAAUCUACAGUCCUCUUCCUAUAGCUAUCUAUUUCUUCAUUUUUAAGUUUUCUAAAUAAAAAUUUAGUUCAUUAAGUGUAACAAAUGGAUCGAUGAUACUUUAGCUGUACUAUGGCCUAACAAUAAAUUGUUUUUCUUUUCUUUUUGUGUCAAAUAGAAUUCCAAUGCAAUGCACAAAUGUCCGUGGCAUCAACAGUUANNNNNNNNNNNNNNNNNNNNNNNNNNNNNNNNNNNNNNNNNNNNNNNNNNNNNNNNNNNNNNNNNNNNNNNNNNNNNNNNNNNNNNNNNNNNNNNNNNNNNNNNNNNNNNNNNNNNNNNNNNNNNNNNNNNNNNNNNNNNNNNNNNNNNNNNNNNNNNNNNNNNNNNNNNNNNNNNNNNNNNNNNNNNNNNNNNNNNNNNNNNNNNNNNNNNNNNNNNNNNNNNNNNNGGACCCAGGUAAUGGAUGAUGCAUUGUGAUUACCCCUUCCCCCACCAGACCGUCCAUUACCCAAAAAAAAACGAUAACACCCACCCCCCCCCCCCCCCCCCCCCCCCCCCAAAAAAAAAAAAAAGAAAAGAAAAAAAAGAAUAGGGAAGCGAGAAUUGAAUUCAGAAUACAAAACAUUCUAUUUCUAGAUAGAUAUAUGUGAACAAUAUAACAGAGAUUCCAGGUAUGCAAUUACCUUGUGCCAUUUCAUCUUCAUGUCCAUGACAUCCUCUCCACCAAAGGACAACCAGUAAAAGAAAAACUACAAAAACUAUAGCAGCCACAAUCCCGGCUACAAUGCCAGCAGAUAUGCUGGCUGACUCUCCCGGGAUUUCAAAUUCUGCAGUGAAGAAAGAACAACAUAUGUUUACUCACAACUGUUCAAGUAAAUGGGGCGGACAUCCAUGCAGGAAAAUUUCGGUAGCUUCUUGGUGAACACAGAAAACAAUAGAUGGGACAGCACAUUAAUUGAGAAUCAAGAGGACAUGAGAACUGCUCAGAACACUCACNNNNNNNNNNNNNNNNNNNNNNNNNNNNNNNNNNNNNNNNNNNNNNNNNNNNNNNNNNNNNNNNNNNNNNNNNNNNNNNNNNNNNNNNNNNNNNNNNNNNAAGUAUCAGAUCAAUGAGCACCUUGGAAAAUGUGAUACAUACAAAGGGAAAAAGAAUAAGAAAAAGAAAUAUAUUCUUCAUUCUCCAGGCUGUACUAUAAAAUACAGGCGCAAUAGUUGUUGAUCCGCAGCAGAAAAGCAAACGAGGCUAUAGUUUCAUGGUCUGAAUGGAAGGAUUAAAGAUACAUAGCGAAAACAUGCUCAGAUAGAAAGAAAACAAAGCAAACCAAAGCCAAUUUUCUCCCUUAAGAGACAAAUAAUAGAUAACAGUCAGCCACUAUGGAAAUUUAUCUGAUCAACUGUAACAGAUCCCAAUGGCCAGAAUCCAAAGGGGACAUUUGCAACCAAACCAAGUAACUGAAUAGCCUAUUGAUGACUUCUGGUGCAAGACCAGAAAAAAGUACUUUUUUCCAAUAUGAAUAUGAGUAACUUUCUCAACAGAGAAGCACCAAGUGAAACAUGGAAGCAUCUGUCUCCAUACCAGAAUAGAUGGAGAUAGCAGAUAUAAGAGGACCAUAGACUCCUCUCGUAGGUAUACCAUUGGUUCCUUUCCCAGCCCAAUACAAGCGUAUCUCCAGAGUGCCCUUGGUCACAUUGGCAGUAAAAUUUCUUAUGACCGGCUUUCCAACUCCACCUGCUUCAAUCUCAAUGUUGAAAUCUUUCCACACCAAAUUCCCCUGAAAUAAUGUUUAAUCUCACUCAAGUUUAGUGUCUCCACACUGACCAAGCUGAAACUAUCAGUCUCAAUAGAAUGUAGAGAUUGUGAUCAGAUCAUGAUUUGCAAAUACGAGGUAUCUAGAUAAAACAACCCAACCAUAAGAUAUUGAAUGCUUUAUAUGCUUUGCAUACUAGAACCAGCACUACAUGAUGCCCAACAAUUACCUGUAUAUAAACAUUAAAAGCUCGCCUCCCAAGGCUUCUAUAACUUUCAUUGCCUGUGAACCCUAUCUCCGCGAAAUGAAGGCUUACAUUGUAGGGCCCAUUCAUCAGACAAAAACCAUAAUAAGUUAGAGAGAUGGCAGAACGUCGUGCAUUCCUGUAAAGCUGGGCAUCAUCCUCAGACAGUACGGAUACAUUGUCAUUGUCAACUAUAUAAUUAUCAUCUUUAAUAGAGUCAUCAAGGAAGUGACCAGUGCUACUGUAGCCCCAGGAUUUUCCAAACGGGAAGGAACUUGAAGCAGGUUUAAGCGACCCUGAAUCGUCAUCGUAUGUGUUGUCCCCUAUUUUAACUUCACUCCCACCACAAUUUAUGAAGAGGUUAUGCCGAUCUGGAUGGAGUAAAGAAAUAGCCACAAAGAGAAAAAUCAAGUUUUCUUCUUUCUGUUAAUAUGGAAGGAACUUUCCAGACACACUAAAUAAACUAGCAUUGUUUAUUGGAAAAUCACAUAGGAACUCCCAAGUUUAUGAGCAAUUCAUUGUUUCACGGAGGUGGCUUUUAGAAUUUCUAGAGUAAUAAUUAUGCAUUAACCAUUAAAGAUUGACACGAUAGCCAAGAGGAGAGUUGACAAGGAGAUGCACAGAGAAUAUGAUGCAAUAUCAGGAUCUGAUGUUAAUGAUAGGAUAUACAGCAGAUCAACUUACUUUCUGGACAAGGCCGACUUUUCAAACAUGUGGCAAGCCCACUUGUGGCAGGAUAUGAGGUUCUGAGCAAGUCAACAAAGAUUUUAAUGUCACAAUCAUCAUCAUUCUGAAUGAAGUUCAAUAAAAAAAUUAAAAUGCAGGUCCUUGGAAAUCCAAGUCUCUUGGUGAAAAUUUUUCUCUCAAACAUACGCAUUGUCAACUGCCGAGCUUGCGAACAAGUUGUUGUAGAGAAAAGACAAAAUCAACAUUCAGUAGAGAAACGAAAAUUUUCUACAUCUGCAGGAUUAUAAGUUACUUAUAAAUGCACAUUUGAGGGGAGCCCUUGACUUAGACUGAAGGAAGUAGUACAUACAUAGAUCGUUCUCCACAGUCUGUGUUUGUAGCAUUGAAGUUGUUGUAUGAUAGAUCACUACACAGAGAAAUGGUCAACCGUUUCCAAAAUCUCAUCAAUUUGGAAAAUACACUGAAAGUCAUUCCGUCACAUGAUUAUAAUGUACAAAAAGGGAGACCAAUUGCAAAAUAUGGACAGGUAAGGCAAGUGGAAAGGCGAAAACAUCACAAGGUAAUGAAAGUAAUAUGUCAUCUUUAUUCAAGAAAUCUUAUCUUAAAAUAUUAAAGGGAGAAAGACUAAUUGGAGUGAACGGAGACUUUAGAACUGGUCAAAGUGCAUAAAUACAUUUUGUACCCAGUAAGAAUACAACAGACAUGAUAUAUAAGGCAAAGAGGCACAAAUAGAACUGUGGUUCCAACGACUCCUAAGUCAGAUCUUCUUAUUAGAAAUAUAUAGACCACGAUUUAUUGUUAAAACUGCCUCAUAAAAGCUUUAUCCUUAUGCCCGUAAGAUAAUAUCAACUUUCUCCUAGAUACACUCAUUUUGGUUGCAGAGUUUCUCAAAUACACAAUCCUAUAAACAUGCCCAAGCAACUAAUCAUAUUGUGCGGGUGAUGUGUUAGACAAACUUUAAAAGAGGAUUUAUAGGAAGCAAAAAUUUUCCAAAUGUCAUUUUUAUCAUUCCCAGAGGUUUGAAAAAGAUCUAGGGCUGUGAAGGGCUUUUUGUAUAGGGGAAAGUGGGGCCUAACUUGGCACUUCCAAGAAAAUCCGAUUUAUAUUCUUUCAUACAAUUCAGCCUCUUGUCUUACAUAUGACUUUCCAAAAGACAGAUCCCAACAAGGAGAAAGGUGCUUAUAAUAUCUCCAUUUAACUCCAUAGGCCACAAAUCAGAAAGAUGCAAGAUGGGAAUGCAAAAUUGCUUACUACAGUGCAAGAUUAGCGAGAUAGAGCUAGACGCAAAUUCGUAAUUAAACAAGACAUUUUCUUCGGGCAGCAAAGCUUACACAUUUUCUGCUUUCUCCAGGAGCCUAGGAGGCACUGCUCCAGUCAAUUGGUUUCCAGUCAGAUAGCUAAACAAGAUUAUUGAAAUUGAGUCAGUUCCUCAUGUACUUUUUGAACUCAAACCGAAAAAUUAUAGAGCAGAUUAUAAGAAUUUAAUUAUUAGAGGUCUAGGAAAAAAUCUGUUAACUCAUGAUAUCAAUAUAGAGCUUUCAGCUGGAGAUGAAAGAUAAAGGAAAUCGAUGACAGAGGAAAAACUUGAUCCUUGCAAAACUUGGAGAGCAUGGGUUGCUAUAACACUGGUACAGAAAGCUGAACAUUAUGAAGGAUACUUCAUACUAGCUUAUUAACUAUUUCCUCGCGAUAAUGUUCUUGUCCUUCUAAGACAUAAUAUAAAUAAUGAAGGAAGAUGUGCCAAACGGUCAAUCGUUGAGCAAAAAGAUGAAAAGAUGCGCCAUUGUUAAACAGUCCGAGAAGCUUAGGACCACAGUUUCUCAUCAUUUUCAAGACUAGGGACAAGACAUCAAGGUCCAAUCUGCAGAUCUUCUAGAUAGCGUGUAAGAACUGCACCCACCUAACAACCUAUGGCCCUUGUUGUGGAAAGAACCAAAUACAGUCCAAGAAGCUUAGGACCACAGUUUCUCAUCAUUUUCAAGACUAGGGACAAGACAUCAAGGUCCAAUCUGCAGAUCUUCUAGAUAGCGCGUAAGAACUGCACCCACCUAACAACCUAUGGCCCUUGUUGUGGAAAGAACCAAAUAGAGAGCCUAAGGACUUUUGCUAUCUUUAAUCUCCUAUACAUCAUAAAACUGGUGCACAGGACGUGCAUUAAGUACAUACACAUACAACUGUCAAAUAUUUAAGUAAUACUGAUCCAUUCAUCUCUUCCAGCAUAAACAAGUAACUCUAUUGAAACUUGUGAAUCGUGCUCUUUAAGCAACAGAAUAUCAUCGAUCUACAUCUGCUCCAAAGACUAGAGUCCCAUCAAAAUAAUUAGUUGACAACAAACAUAAAUUCAUAACCCAAAUCAUUGUAAAAUUCACACGGUGAAAUAAUAAGCAUUCAAGACACAAGGACUUUAAGGGAUAUAAACUGGAUGUGUCAUCACAGUCUAAGUUCUAUUGAUAGCUCAACUACUUUACAGUAAGAGUUGCCUAUAGCUUGGCCACUGGAACAACUUGCGAUUUUAGAUUCUUAUCUAAAAUGCGAAAAAGAAGCCUAAGUCCAGCAUCAAAGUACUUACAUAUAAUCUACAUCUACCAGGCUGCUAAAGCUGUCAGGGAUUUCGCCACUCAAUUUGUUGAAGCUGAGGUCCCUGCAAAACAAUUGAAUGGAAAGGAGACAAAUAUAAUGAGAAGAUAGUUUUAACGGACUCCUACUGGACACUCUUUGAGUAUACUUUGGAGGAUUACAGACAUAGACAACAUCAAUGAACCUACAGGUCCAGUUCAGUUGUUUAGACAUACAGGUCAACUGCCUGGUGCCUAUGUUUUCUACUAGACAUUCCUUUCCAGAGGCAUUCAUUGCAUAAAAUCCAUGUGCAUCAAGUUGGUCACAUACCAUACAUAUACAAAAAUUCUGCCGUAAAUCAAAUUUGCAACUUGCAAAUUUCAAUUUAUAUGACUAGCAAUGCUAUCCCCACAAUAAAUUGAAUGCAUCCUGUGGAAUGCAACAUAUUAUAGUUCAAAUUGGGAGAUUCCAUUUGUCUAAUAGAACCAAAACUAAAGCUAAUCAUAAUUUAUUGAACAGAUCUCCUUCGUAACAUUUUAUUCAUCAUGAAUAAAGGAAUGAUGACUACAUACUAGGAUACUAAAAGAGUAGAAUAUCAGCUUGAGUGAAUAAUAAAAUAAAAAAAUAAAAUGAGGAUUUCAAAAAACAGGAAAGCAUGAUUCUGCAGUCCAAUAUAAUUAUCAAUGGAGAAAUUACAACCUAGUCGAACCUAAAUAAAAGGAAAUGGAGUAUAUGAUAAGCCGCACAGAACCACAGAAAUUCGGUUAUUCAAAAUGUUAACAAAGAAUAAGCAUUGAUGGUUGAUGAUGACAGAAUGGCAAAAAACUGCCGUUAAAUGUAGCAUUUAUAAAAUCUUACGAAGAUGACCAGAUGAAUAAGAAGAAUUGACUUGCUUAAAGAUGCAUUUGAAGCCAUGCUCUUGUUCAAACAAAGAAUGUCAUGGCUGACAAAUAUACGACAGUCAAGCAUGAAACUCCAGUUAGAUAUUGUGGGGCUGAGACUCGAGAAUGCAAGCCACUAGAAGGAAAGUUUCCAGAUGAUCAAGCACUGGAAGCCUCCGUUGAAGUUAGAAAAUUACACAAAAAUGGGAAACACAACCAAGGUAAGAAUUCAUGUGGUUUCUAUUCGUGGAAAAGUGAAAACAAAGAGAGACAAGGUCCAUAUACUUCUGCGAGAAACUGUAUAUUCUAUGGCAGAGGCCCACAAUCACCAGGCACUUAAAUGCCACAUCACGAUUCACAAUUCAUCAAUAUCAACAGAAAAGAUCAAAACACCAUUGAAGUCAGUAAGGGACCUUCAAGCCAUCUUAAAUGGGUUCCUUAACUGCAGCCAAUAGUCAACCAUAAACUAGUAGAUUUUCAGUCAUUAAGGGUAAAAUUAUCUACUCUGCUUGGAAUAGGAAAAGGAGAAAGCCAUUUUCCACUCACAAUAUUUUUAGCUGUGUCAUUCCUGCUAGAUAACCAGGUAGCUCUCCUGUGAGAUUGCAGCUCCUCAGAAUCCUACAAGAAAAAAUCACUGAUGUUAUCACGUUGCUAAGAUGAUUUGGCUUUUUUGCAUUAAGUAAACUAUCUGUGAAGGAGCAUCGGUCUCACAGUCUCUCAAUAAUUGUACUGCUAAGUUGUGGAACUGGGGACUCAGGUCCCUCGAGGUCACUUAUGCUCCUGCAUGUCAAAAUCAAAUGGGGAACUUUAUUUGAUUGAUACCAUAUUAAAGAACGGAGAGAUCAGAUCAAAAUGCCAAACUUCCAUACUGACAAGUGAAACAAAUUCUUCAAAAGUGUGAUCCCGGAGGGAAUUGGCCCUUGCAAUCCACUUGCUUGAAUAGCCCUGAGAAGACAAUUCACAGAUUGAAUUAUUUUGCAGGUAUAUCUAUAUAGACCGACUUAAAAGGUGAAGAAGCAUUAAGCCUUACAGUCUGCUGAGAUUUGUCCAGUUCUGGAUAAAAUCAGGUAUCUGUCCCGUGAAAUUAUUAUCACCGAGUUGCCUACAGUGCAUUAAACCACAAGAUUCAUAUGAAGAAAAAAGAAUAGAAGUAUCUAGAUAUAUUAGCAGAGUUUAUGGAAUCUGGAAACUAACAGCUCCUGCAAUGCCGUCAAUUCAGCAAAUCUCGGAGGCAGCUCCCCAGUGAAAUUAUUAGACGUAAGGCCCCUGAAACAAGAAAUCCCAAUGGGAUCACAUUGGUCAAUUGAACUCGAAUGCUGAUCUCUCACUCAACAGAUCACUCCAAUUAAUAAAUUCCCCUCGCCAGACACAAAAUCAUCAGCGAAUAAACAACUCGAUGAAUGAUAUAGAAAUUUGCAUCCAGAGACUCACAAUCGAAGUAAGCGGGACAAGUUCCCGAGCUCUGGAGGCAGAGGUCCAGAGAGCUGAUUGAUGUCCACGACUCUGAGCAGAAUGAGAAUGUUAAAAUCUUGAAACUAUCAAUCAAAUUUGAAACAGCGAAGAGGCCAAACGCCAGCGUCGGGAUGAGUGGUCACUUCUCACUUACAAAACUUCUAGUGUGGAUAUGUUUCCCAGCUCCUUCGGGAUUGGACCAGUCAAUCGGUUUCCGAGCAGAGUUCUGCAACCACGUCAUCGCGUUUCCCCCAGUCAAUAGAAGAUACACUUGAGAGAGAGAGAGAGAGAGAGAGAGAGAGAGAGCACAUACAUGUUGCGCAACUUUGUAGAGCCCCAUUCUUUAGGAAUCGUGCCGCUCAGGAAGUUCCAGCUGACGUCACUGUUUACAGAGACAGAAGACUCCGACGAUGACGAGGAUGAAGAAGAAGAAGAAGAUCGAAAAUGGAGAAAGGGGAAAUGGAGAGAGAGAGAGAGAGUGCUUACAAGUUCUGGAGGAAAGGCAAUCUGAACAGUGGAGGUGGAAGAGAGCCGGUAAGAGACUGCUCCCUAAGAAUUCUGUUUUCGCAACGACAUAAAGGCUUUAUUCUAAAAUAUGUUAAUCUAAUAUUAAAGUAAUUGAUGAAAUAAAUAAUAGCAUGAUUAAAGUGAUAAUUAUAUAACAAUUCGAGCAUUAAUUCAUAUAAUUAGCAAUAAACAUCAUUAUAUGAUGAAUAACAUAAAAUCAAAUUACAACAAUUUAGAUAAUCGUACCUAAUGAUAAGCAACUGUUAUUAUCGUAUUAAUAUUUUAAUACGAUAAAUAAUCAUAUACUGUCAAGAUGAUAUUUAUCUAUCAUUUUAUAUUUUAAUAAGAAAUCGAGCGGCCACUUGUAAAUACCACUAACUUAAAUUCGAACUUUAUUGCUUUAUCGAAAACUUUAAAGAUUUUUUUAUUGUUCAAAAAGCACUUUUAGCCAAUUACCCUUAAUAAAACUAGCCCUAUUUUGUUUAGAGGUAAUUCAUUGUCAAAAUUGGAAGUUUGACGAGAAAUUGGUCAUAUAACUAAGACAUAAUUAAAAAUACAAGUCGCUACGUCUCUUCUAUUUUUUCUCUUAGCAAUUCAUUCUAUCCGUACGACGGUCACAAGAUCGGUUCGGUGUUCACAAGGUGCACAUUAACUCUAUGAAGAGAGAGAGAGAGUUACAUGCUAAUGACAUGGCAAACUUUCUUGUUGUCGGCGCCGGUGAAAUUGCAGUCACAAGUGACGGCGUCAGUAGCCAUAUUAAGCGAUGUGUCGUUGUCAUACCAUCCACUUUCUAUACUGCAUGGAUCUGCGCUGUAUUUCCAGCCUAAUUUCCUCAACGUCACUGCUAUUUCUAUCAACGCAUCCACUGAAAGAGAAAAGGGUCGACAAAUCAAAGGAAGGAACAGCAAUAUCUCAUGCAGAAUAAGGACAAAUGACGUCAAAUUCCCGUGUACUUGAGGUUCAAUAUAUGUGUAGCAUCUUUCCUUACCUCUGCAAAGAAGCAAAAACAAAUACAACUCGGUGUACGUGCGAGCCAAAAACAGGAGGAGGAAGAGGAACAAUAUGAAGAAAGCAAAACCAGAUUGUUGGGUUUCUUUAUUUUCUUUACCUUCGUCGGGAGGCAAAAGAUUGGUGGCAAUAGCUGAGUUAAUGGCGCACGAAAAGACGAGCACAGAGAAGAGAGCUCCAGGUGAGAAGAGAUUCGUCAUCAUAUCAGUCUCAAGUUCAACCCAGAGAGAGUGAGAGAAAUCUCACUCUCUUUAACCAGAGUCUAGGAAGGCAAAACUUGGCUAAGUGAGAGAGGAGAGAGAGAGAGAUGACUAUCAAGAAUGUGUGGUUUAACUUCAUGGCAUGUAUGUAUAAAAAGAGGGAGAGUGGACUUGGACUUUCGCUUGUUGUCCGUCUGUAAGUGAUAGCGAGAGCGAGUCAAGAGUGAUGGCUGAAAGUGAGAGACGAGCUGCCAAGUCUUCCUUAGAAUUGAUGUUUAUCGUGUACCUCAUAAAAGUCUUUUUAUUCUUAUCAUUUUUUCCUCUUUCAUUUUGUUCUCCCAAUAACAAUAGUCUUUUCAAUGGCUUUGAUUUUGCUAUGUCCAAGUCUCAGCAGAUUUAGGUUAUUUUUAGUCAGAAGAAGUACACUCAAGUAUCAAAACUUAACAAAAAGGGAUAUUUAAGUGCCAAAAAUUAGGAGUGGCAUUAAGUGUCCCACUUUAAAAAAAAAAAUGGGAUACUUAAGUGUCACUUCCGGUAAACCCCGCUGAAAAUCUUAAGUGACAAUUUUUUUUUUUCUCGCCUACAUGGCUCGCCGAAGAGCUAACUCAGUAAAAAAACGUAAAAUGACGUUGUUUUGGCACGAAUUUAAAUUUUAAUAUAAAAAAUAAUUAAAUUAAAUUAUAAUUUUUUUUAAAUAAAUAAUUUUUUAAAAAAAGGAAGGGAGGAAGAAGGUGGCUGAGGGCUGAGCCCUCGCUGCCAUCACCUCCCUCUUUUUUUUUUUAAAUUUUAAAUGCUUUCAAUAAAUUUAGUUUUAAAUUUAAUUAAAUUAAUUUUUAUGUUAAUUAUUUACCACGUCAACAACAAAAUGACAUCGUUUUUGUAUUUGUCUAGCCACAUUAGCGUGCAAAUCAACGUUGUUUUGCAUUUAUCUAGCCGGAAAUCACCACGUUAAUAGUUUGAUUGGAUUUUCUCACCGUCGGUAUUUAAAUGAUUCAUUAUGCUUCAAUUUUAGCAUUUAAAUGUCACUUUCCUAAUUUUUAGCACUUAAGUGUUUCUUCGUGCUAAGUUUUGGCACUUAAGGUGUCCGGCACUCUUUUUUUUUUUUUGGUAACGUUUAAUUUAUUCUUCUUUUUCAUUUCUCAGAUCAAUAACAUUGUUACAGGUAUCUGGCACUCUUUUUUAGUCUAUAAAUGGCGGAAUCCAAGUUCUCUAACUCUUCGGAAACUUCAUUAGCUUGUUGACUUAUUUGUAAAAUAAUUAGAUUCACUAUUUUUGGGACAAAUCUUUUUUCUCCUCUUUCUUUUUACUUUAGUUGUAAAAAACAGAGGUAUGGCUGCAGAGACCCGAUUAUGUGGAGGCCAAUGAAAUGCCUUGUAAUCUCUACAAACCGAUUAACUUCAAUCUUUUGGUAUGCGUGGAUAAUCUUAAAUCAUAGUUUGCACGCAAUUAAUGAUAUCAUAUAUGUUGAAUAUAAAUAAUGAAGAAAUUGUCAUGUCAAAUUCGAUAAGAAAAAAAGAAUCAUAUAUGUUGAAUUUGGAAUUCCUAGCCAGUGGACGGUAUAAUAAUCAUAAAUACUCGGACAAUAAUUGAGAUGGAUGGUCGAGGACUCCAAAACUUUCUUCACCUUGGUCUGUCCCAUUCAUUAAUGGUUGCUUGGACAUUAGCACAUCUCAAGUGUUAUCGAUGUUGACAAGUGUUUCACCCGCUAACAAUGGAAUGCAUUCGAAAUAGAUUAAUCCAAGUCAACUAAACAAGGCUAUCACUUGAGCCGCUCGCAAAAGCUAUUUUAACUAAUCCAGAUAUUACUCAAAAGUCAUACUAGAAUAAUUAUAUAUAUAGGUCAGACACGUGGAGAUGCAUGUAUCCAUGCACGACUUUGCUAUUUCUUUUUUUAUUUUUUAUUUUUUUGGGCUUCUAAAAAGUCAAAUAAUUCUUUUACCAUUCCCGGACUUUGUACAGUUAGAGAUUCGGAAAAAAAAUUAAAAUAAAAACUAUUCUGAAAAUAUCCCAAUAAACUUUUUUUUCCUUAAAUGAUGUGGUCUACAGUGUUAUCCUUUUUCGUAAAUCGGUACUAAUUUUAGCACGAUUAUUUAUUCGGCGAAUAAAAAUGAACCCAAGUCCUUGUCUCCUAGAUUUUCAGACUAAACGGUACAUCCGAGUGGAGUACUAAGCACACAAAUCAGUGAUUUUUCUGUACCUAGUCAUCAUAAAAAAGACUGAAAUUCUCCGAUUGCAAUGAAUCAUGAGUAUGUUCUAGAUUUUGGUCGAAUUUGAACCCACAUAAGGGGGUUUUGUUACUUCGACGGUAGAUACUAAUAUUUUCUUUUGACCUAACAUGGCCUCUUUUAUCUCCGUUUUUAUGUUAGAAAUAUGGACACCAACCGCAGAAAAACCGCAGCAUGUCAAAUAAAGUUUAGGCUUAAAGCAAAUAAUAAUCAUCCCUAGACUGAGCGCGUAGGGAUAUACACAAUCCCAAUGGAAUACUCGGACGCUCCACAAAUGUCCCAAAGAUGGGAUGUGCGUCUAGGACGUUAGGAAACAUGUGAAUUCACUUUUAUUAUUCUUGUGGAGUCCAUUGACCAAUGUAUCUUCGCAAUCACAAUAUCUUGAAAAAAAAGGUCAAACGCUCUCUCACAAGGUAUUCCUCAACAAUUGAUCCCUCCACAUGACAUUUGUUGCGAGCAUCGGACUUGAACCCCAUUAACAAGCCAUCACACAGAUGAUGUCCGUGUAUAAAGGAUAAAUUGAGGGAAGGAUUGCCUUCAGUAGAAUACAUGUAUUUAAUUGCACCCGUGCACCAAGCUUGACGAUUCGUCUAUUAGGUGCACCACAAAAGUAGCGAAGAAUCCGUGAGGAAAUUUUUUUCUUAUAUGACUAAAAACCAAGCUUACUUCUCGUUUCGGAAAGAAUGACGCAAAUUUAAUAAUCGCUGGUGUCUCAUACGAGAAAUCUUUCUUCUCUGGUUUCGUGUAGUGAAGAAAGACAUCAACUUUAACUUUUUGAACUUCACCAUCGUUAGAGUUUAACAUGGAACUUUCAAAGCUCACAUGUUGAAUUUAAUUGCAUUUCUUGACAAGUCUUGUGCAUGACGUCGUGCAUGGAACGGAGAUAAAAGAGGCCACGUUAGUCCAAAGCAAAGAAACGUAUUUUCCGUCAAGCACAAAACCCUCACGAAACCGUGCAGAGUGGGACAAUUUUCAUGCCUGUUUGGGACAUCUAAUAAUCAUCCCCGAGAUAUUAGGGACGGUUUGGGAAAUGGCCUGAGCAUGUUGGGAUUUAUGCUGUCCUAGUGGAAUACUGGUAUGCUCCUCUACAAACAUCCAACGAUGGUACAUGUGUAUGGGACGUUUAAAAACAUGUAAAUUCAUCUUGCCAUUCCAAUAGGAUUAAUCGACUAAUGUAUCUUCGAGAUCAAUAUAUCUAGAACAAAAGGUCAAACACUCUCUCACGAUGUAUUCCUAAAAAACGAUCCUCCGCAUAACAUUUGUUGUGAACAGCAUACUUGAACCCCAUUAACAAUCCCUUUACCCAAAAAAGAAAACCCAUUACAAUCCAUUACAUAUGGCUUAGACUAGUAUGCACGUGAAAAGGACAUCAAGAGACGAAAUUGAGGGAAGGAUUACCUUUCAAUUGGAUACAUGUAUCUAGAUUGUGUUGAUCCACCAAGCUCGCUUCAUCUUCUAAGCGAAUGAUUAGGUGAACCAUUACAUUUAAGAAUCCGGGAGGAAAGAUCUUUUCAAUAUGACUAAAAAGUAAUGCAACGCGAUCUUAGAAUUAAUCAAGCCACCAGGGAUCGAGCAUCUUGAAACAUGGAUCUCUAGAGAAUGCCGAUAACUCACAAACCACUGUCAACACUUGUUUCGGCGUGAGUUCUCUUAAAUUAGAGGGGGAUCACUACCCUUAAACCUUUGCCUUGCCAUAUGUGUUUGACAAGUUCUCAACUUGUAUACAAACCUCAACUCCGCUAAAUGUGGUUGGAGCAAAUCUCUCAAUUAAGAUAUUCUAUACUUCUGUAUAUUAUUCUGUGAUUUUGUAUAUCUUUUUUUCUUAUUGGUCUUGAUUUGUUAAUUUAGAUAGUUGUUAUGUAAAGUCUAUAAAUAAGUGCAUGUACUCUUCAUUUGAUGUUGUACAGAAUAUAAUAUUUUUCUGUUAUUAUAAUCAAUGGAUGAAGAAAAUCAAUUCGUCCAAAGAGGAUCUAGUCAGUUUACUUUGUUCUAGCCGCCUGAANNNNNNNNNNNNNNNNNNNNNNNNNNNNNNNNNNNNNNNNNNNNNNNNNNNNNNNNNNNNNNNNNNNNNNNNNNNNNNNNNNNNNNNNNNNNNNNNNNNNNNNNNNNNNNNNNNNNNNNNNNNNNNNNNNNNNNNNNNNNNNNNNNNNNNNNNNNNNNNNNNNNNNNNNNNNNNNNNNNNNNNNNNNNNNNNNNNNNNNNNNNNNNNNNNNNNNNNNNNNNNNNNNNNNNNNNNNNNNNNNNNNNNNNNNNNNNNNNNNNNNNNNNNNNNNNNNNNNNNNNNNNNNNNNNNNNNNNNNNNNNNNNNNNNNNNNNNNNNNNNNNNNNNNNNNNNNNNNNNNNNNNNNNNNNNNNNNNNNNNNNNNNNNNNNNNNNNNNNNNNNNNNNNNNNNNUUUUUAAUAACAUUUUGAUUUUUUUUAAUGGUUUUUCUUGUGACCUUGCCUAUGGCUAGAGGGAGUUGGCCAGCAACCCUUGCCUACCCUAGAUCCGAAAACCGAGAAAUAAAGUAAAAUAAAGUAAAAAAGAAAAAAGAAAAAAACCAUCUAGAAUGGAGUCGUAAAACUUUUGUCCAACUCUCUAAGAGAGAGAGAGAGGACCUCAAGUCUUCCUCUAAUGUAGGGAUAUUCCAUCUAGAAUGGAGUAGCAAAGCUUUUGUCCAACUCUUCUUACCUAAUUUUGUUCUUCUAGUGACAGUAGUCUUUCCAUUGCUCUAAGUUUCCUAUGACCAUGUCUCAAAUUUAGGCUAUUAUAUAGUUUAUUGAAGGCAGAGUUCAAAUUCCACGAUAAUUCCACGAUUCUUAGAAAGUUCAGCAACUCGUUAAGUUUUUCAAAAAAUAAUUAGAUUCACAUUUUUUUUUGGACAAAUCUUUUUUUCUCCUCUUUCUUUUGACUUCAGCUGUAACAAAUUACUAUUCUUUUGAAAAUAAUCAAGGGCUACAGCCACCAAGACCCAGCUACAUGGAGGCCAAUGAAACACCCCGCAAGUUCUACAAACCGGUUAAGUCCAAUUCUCCGGUCUGUAACUUGAUAUAAUUUGUGCGUCAUUGGUGGUAUCAUAUAUAUGGAACAUAAAUAAUGGAAAAAAGUUGUCCUAUCAAAGUUGUUACAAAAAAAAAAAACCAUAUAUGUUGAAUUUGGGAUCUAAUGUCAAUGGACAUAAUGAUAAUAUCUCAAGACUUUUUAGGACAAUAAUUUAAUUGUACAACCGUGGAAACUAAAAUAUUUGGCACCAUGGUCUAUUCCAUUCAUUAAUGGGGGCUUNNNNNNNNNNNNNNNNNNNNNNNNNNNNNNNNNNNNNNNNNNNNNNNNNNNNNNNNNNNNNNNNNNNNNNNNNNNNNNNNNNNNNNNNNNNNNNNNNNNNNNNNNNNNNNNNNNNNNNNNNNNNNNNNNNNNNNNNNNNNNNNNNNNNNNNNNNNNNNNNNNNNNNNNNNNNNNNNNNNNNNNNNNNNNNNNNNNNNNNNNNNNNNNNNNNNNNNNNNNNNNNNNNNNNNNNNNNNNNNNNNNNNNNNNNNNNNNNNNNNNNNNNNNNNNNNNNNNNNNNNNNNNNNNNNNNNNNNNNNNNNNNNNNNNNNNNNNNNNNNNNNNNNNNNNNNNNNNNNNNNNNNNNNNNNNNNNNNNNNNNNNNNNNNNNNNNNNNNNNNNNNNNNNNNNNNNNNNNNNNNNNNNNNNNNNNNNNNNNNNNNNNNNNNNNNNNNNNNNNNNNNNNNNNNNNNNNNNNNNNNNNNNNNNNNNNNNNNNNNNNNNNNNNNNNNNNNNNNNNNNNNNNNNNNNNNNNNNNNNNNNNNNNNNNNNNNNNNNNNNNNNNNNNNNNNNNNNNNNNNNNNNNNNNNNNNNNNNNNNNNNNNNNNNNNNNNNNNNNNNNNNNNNNNNNNNNNNNNNNNNNNNNNNNNNNNNNNNNNNNNNNNNNNNNNNNNNNNNNNNNNNNNNNNNNNNNNNNNNNNNNNNNNNNNNNNNNNNNNNNNNNNNNNNNNNNNNNNNNNNNNNNNNNNNNNNNNNNNNNNNNNNNNNNNNNNNNNNNNNNNNNNNNNNNNNNNNNNNNNNNNNNNNNNNNNNNNNNNNNNNNNNNNNNNNNNNNNNNNNNNNNNNNNNNNNNNNNNNNNNNNNNNNNNNNNNNNNNNNNNNNNNNNNNNNNNNNNNNNNNNNNNNNNNNNNNNNNNNNNNNNNNNNNNNNNNNNNNNNNNNNNNNNNNNNNNNNNNNNNNNNNNNNNNNNNNNNNNNNNNNNNNNNNNNNNNNNNNNNNNNNNNNNNNNNNNNNNNNNNNNNNNNNNNNNNNNNNNNNNNNNNNNNNNNNNNNNNNNNNNNNNNNNNNNNNNNNNNNNNNNNNNNNNNNNNNNNNNNNNNNNNNNNNNNNNNNNNNNNNNNNNNNNNNNNNNNNNNNNNNNNNNNNNNNNNNNNNNNNNNNNNNNNNNNNNNNNNNNNNNNNNNNNNNNNNNNNNNNNNNNNNNNNNNNNNNNNNNNNNNNNNNNNNNNNNNNNNNNNNNNNNNNNNNNNNNNNNNNNNNNNNNNNNNNNNNNNNNNNNNNNNNNNNNNNNNNNNNNNNNNNNNNNNNNNNNNNNNNNNNNNNNNNNNNNNNNNNNNNNNNNNNNNNNNNNNNNNNNNNNNNNNNNNNNNNNNNNNNNNNNNNNNNNNNNNNNNNNNNNNNNNNNNNNNNNNNNNNNNNNNNNNNNNNNNNNNNNNNNNNNNNNNNNNNNNNNNNNNNNNNNNNNNNNNNNNNNNNNNNNNNNNNNNNNNNNNNNNNNNNNNNNNNNNNNNNNNNNNNNNNNNNNNNNNNNNNNNNNNNNNNNNNNNNNNNNNNNNNNNNNNNNNNNNNNNNNNNNNNNNNNNNNNNNNNNNNNNNNNNNNNNNNNNNNNNNNNNNNNNNNNNNNNNNNNNNNNNNNNNNNNNNNNNNNNNNNNNNNNNNNNNNNNNNNNNNNNNNNNNNNNNNNNNNNNNNNNNNNNNNNNNNNNNNNNNNNNNNNNNNNNNNNNNNNNNNNNNAGGGGAAGUGCUUCUGCUAUACCUUGAUACUAUCGCUAUCUUUUUUUUUUUAGAUUAGAGGAACCGCCUCACAGCGAGUGCUCGGUGUAAACCCCCGGGGGCUCUGGCGCGGGGACCCACCUCCCAUGGCACCCCUCUUAAGUCGCGCUUUAAUGCGUACGUAGUGACUUGAACCUCCCCCUUCCACAAUUAGGGCCCGUUUGGUUCAACUUUCGGGAAAUGCACUUGGGAGAAUGCAAAUAUCUUUGAGAUAAAGGGGUUUCCCGAAAUGCUACACUGUUUGGUAAAUUACAAUCUCAAGUAGCUUUGAAAAGCAAAGACACCGUUUGGCAAAACUUGCAUUUCCAAUUAGCUUUUGCUAUUUUUUUAUUUUUUUAAAGUCUGAAAAUAAAAUCCGGUGGCCGGCAGACUGCCGGCGAACAGCCGGACGGCCAAUCUGGCCGCCGGACCGCCAGAUCUGGCGGCCUGAGGUCGCGGAGGCCAGAUCUGGCUGUCGGACCACCAGAUCUGGCCUCCCGACGGCCAGAUCUGGCGGCGUCGCCUGCUUGCGCGACCCAGGCGGUGCCGCCUGAGGUCGCACGGACGCAGGCGGCAUCGCCUGGUCGCGCGACCCAGGCGACGCCGCCUGAGGUCGCGCGGACCCAGGCGACGCCGCCUGAGGUCGCGCGGACCCAGGCGACGCCGCCUGAGGUCGCGCGGACCCAGGCGACGCCGCCUGAGGUGGGGCGGACCCAGGCGACGCCGCCUGGGUCGCGGGUCGCGACGCCGCCUAGGUUGCGGUCGCGCCACCUAGGCGGUGGUCACUGGGGACGCGCGACCCCCGCGGUGGUGGUGGUUGCUGGAGAAGCCGAACUCUGAGGCGGCGGAGAAGAAGAUGAGCCGAGCGGAGAAGAAGAUGAGCCGAACAAGAAGAUGAACAGUAAUUUUUGCAUUUCUGGAAUGCCCAAUGCCCAAUGCUGCCCUUCCCCAGCUUUCAGCAUUCAGCCUUCGGAAUGCUCAUAUUUGGGCAAAGGGGCUUUCAAAUAUUUUGCCAAACACUAAAAAUUUCCCCCGAGGGGCUUUGGGGGCUCAAAGCCCCUUGGGAAUGCCCAACCAAACCGGCCCUUAGAGGGGGAAAGGCCGAACCAACUCGUCCACAACGGGGUGGGUUAAUUGUAUUUAUAUCAAUUAAGUCGUAAAUUUUUUAAUUGUAUCAAUUCAAUUCUAAACUUUUUAACAAUUGCUAAUAUAAUCCUGAUUGGCAGAGGAAGAAGGAAAAAGAAAAGAAAAUAAAAUAAAAUAAAAAGUUAAAUAAUGUGGAUUUUAAAUUACAAAAAUUAUCUACAUAAGCGUCAGUUGUGCCACAUAAAAUGACUAGUGGGCACGUAUGAUAUCCACAUCAAUAAUUUCCUAUCGAGAUUAGCCAAUGAAUUUAAUUGAAAAAAAUUAAAGAUGUUUAGGACUCAAUUACCAUAGUUAAAAAGUUUAUGAUUAAAUUAGUAAUAGUCCAAUAUAUUUAUGAUUUAAAAAAAAAAAUUCCAUCUUUCUCGAGCUGCUCAUAAAAGCUCUUUUAACUCGGUCCACAUACUACAACAAUUAAUUACUACCAGAAAAAGUAAUAUGUAUAGAUCAGACACGUGUGGAGAUGCAUGUAUCCAUACUUGACUGUCAUUGUUUUUGGCUUCUAGAAAAGUUCAAUAAUUUUUUAACUCAAAUAUUUGAAAAAUUAUAAAAAUAUUAUAUGAGAACUAUUAUGACAAAUGAAAGGUUUCAAGUGCUUAUAAUUUUUUUUAAGUCCAAAUUAUGUGCGUAGAGAUUUAAAGAAACUUUUAACUGUUUAGAUAGUCAUAGUAAAAAAAAAAGGCUGAAAUUUUCCAACUACGGGACGAGUCAUGGAAUCGUAGGGCCGGCCCUUUUUUUCUACCCCCGGGCCGGAGGGGGGGUGUUGUGUCAAAAGUCUAAGACUUAGAUCAAAUAAUAAUGGUUCCACGGACGACGUCAGGCACAAGACCAUCUUCUAUGUAUGUCUAAUCAGAUUAAUGUUGAGUGGUUGGGGGUUAUCUUAAUACUGUCAACCAACGUAGUUUUAUUCAACACGCAAGUUUGGUGGCUUUGAAAAUUCCAAGUUAACUUUAAGCGAUGCAUUCUAAGCAUGGAAUCUCGUCACUUAUCUUGAAGUCUUUCUUGACUACAAGAAAACCAUGUAGAUUGUAACCAUUUUUUGUUGGAUGUUUCAAUAGUCUUGAAAUUUUGAAAGCCAUUUUAUUUUUAACGAUUUUCGACCGUCAUCAAUUUAUAACUGUUUUUGCCCGCCAUUAAUUUAUAAUGGGUUUAUAAUGUUUUCUAAAUGGUUGGAGCAGAUCUCUCAAUUAGAUAAAUAAGAAAAUAGUCAAAUCUCAAUCACCUCUCUUUUUUAUCUUCUAAUUAAAGAUAAGAGAUUUCUCGAGCCCUAAUUAGUCAACUAGAUUGUUAGAGAUAUAUUAAAAAUAUUAUGUGAUUCUGUAUAUUAUUAUGUGCUUAUGUAUAUUUUCUUUGAUUGGUCUUCAUUUGUUACUCUAGAUAGUUAUUAUAUUAAGUCCCAUUGAAUAGGCUCAUAUACUCUUUAUUUGAUGUUUUACAGAAUAUUACAUUUUUCAGUCACUAUAAUUCUCCAUUUGGAUGAAAAAAUUAAACUCCUCCACAGUAGAACCUAGUCAGUCUACUUGCCUAGCCGCCGAAGCAUUAUUAGUACACCACACUAUGAGGUCGCUUCCUUAAAGGUGAUUCGAUGUUUGACCUUUUAAUUACUUUUUUUUUUGGUCGAAAACCUUUUAAUUACUAUUGGCAUGGUGAUUUUUUAACUCGGCUAGAACUGCCCAGUCAACCAAGCAACAAGGGGACCAUCAUUUAUCGAUGGUAAUGUUCUACGAUGAGAAACAUGCAUGCAUGCAUUGACGACUGGAGUCUUUGGAGACAAUUAUUCGUUCAUGUCGACAUUGAGAACCUGACCUCCAUGAUUUGGCAAUUUGCUUUUGCGUUCAUACUCAAUAAGGCGAAAUUUAUGCUAUUGAGCUUCUUUGAAUUUUUCAUGUCCCUCUUUUUUUCUUGUGAUAGGAAACUUUCCAUGCGGACGUUUCAUCAUGUUCACAAGAAAUGUCGGUCUUCCACAUAUGCAUGAUGGUUCCAUUAAUGUCUUCACACAUUACACUGUGAACGUAUCAGUACAUGCAUUAAUGCAGCUAAGAGUUGAUUAAGACACCAAUGAGAGUAAGUGCUGGUUGGGUCAAAGAUCUUCAUCAAUUGGUGAAUGUGUCAAAUGCGGUUAAAUUAUCAUUUUUGGUAGGCAGAAUAUGAUUUUCAGCAUAUAAAUGAUAUGAGUCAAAGUGUCUAAUGUGACCCAUCUUAAAUUUUGAGAUGGCUGACAUGUAUUUAAAUUCUCUAUUCCUUUAUUAUACUCCAGCUCGAUUUACAUUUUCUUAGUCUUGAUCCUUUCUAAUUUAUUUUCAUCUUAAAUGCACUUGUCAUCCUCCAAUGACACGUAUUAAAUGAAAUGCGACUAGAUGAGGUCCGCCACUUUUUUUAGGGAAAAUUACAAAAACAGUCAUCAACUUUUUUUUUUUGGGUCAAUUUAAUCCUAAACCUUUCUCAUUUGUUCUAAUUCAAUUAAUCCAGUCGGUUUUGGUUGGUCAGCAUCAGCCGUUUGGCCCAUCCUGAUGUGAACAAUUUUUAAAUGUUAUAUUGUGAUAUCCUGAUUUUCGAGUCUGAUUUCGAUGAGAUGAAAUGGACUUUUCAUCGACGUGCCUAUAGCAUUUUUCUUUGAGUUGGCCACUCACGAGUUAACUAGCCUAUCAUGUGAAGCCAUUAAGGAAUCUAAACGCAAUAGACAUGAGAAUUCGACCAGGAAUCGACUGCUCGACCAUGCUAAUCUGCAAGGGUCAUUACAACACACCGACAAAAUCGAUUAGAGACCGGAGAUAGGUCGAUUUGAGAGAGGUAUGUGAUUAGUGCGUGGGUGAUUCCACCUAAUUGCAAAUUUUUUGUCGAACAGUACUAGACCGAUUUUUCUGUCAUUUCUAUACCCGGUGUCCGUAUUUGAAAUCUCGAGAUUUUUACGAUAAUUGAGUUGCCAAUAUGUCGAAGACGUACAACUUGUCUCGAAAAUAAUCAACCACGGGCCAAUUGCAUUAAAAAUUCAUAAAAGCUACCUAGUAUAUUAGGAUGUGCUAAAAUCACGUCAGAAUGAAAUUCACUGCGAAAUUGAGCUCAAUUUUAGAAAUUGAAAGUUCUGUCGUGUCACAAUUCGUUUUAGGAAUGUCAGCUCAUCUUCCGAAAAAUUUUCAGAGAUUUCAGGAUUUUUACGGAAAAUCGAUUCGGAAAACGAACGGAAAUUCGGUUUAGCUCAUUUGAAGGGAAUUUCAACUUCUAAGCCGUGCUGCUGGAUGAUUGGAAUUUAUGGACAUGUGUGGGAUUUUUCUUCAAUGAAAUGGGACUUCGAAUUGGAGGAAUUGAAGAAGAAAUUGAAGCUGAAGUUGAGUGCCAAAAAUGUGAAAUUCGGAUCUUUGGCUUGAGGGCUGAUUUUUGGCAUCAAGUUGGUUAAUUCUUGGAUUAUAUUUGCUAGAAAGAAAUAGGAGGACAAGGUUUGAAUGCCUAUAUAUUUAUCUUUGACCAAUUCCCUUGUUCCAAUCUCCUUAGCGGAUCCAUCCAGCUGCGCUUCACGGACGCUGCUUCUUUUCCAUUUCUUCGGUGCAGCUUCCUCCACGUCGCCAAAGACCGCUGCUUCGGUCUCCUUUAUGCGCCGCCCCUUCGAAGCCGACAUCAUCAACUCCUGCUUAUCUUCAUUUUUUUACCUUCAUUUCACCCUCUCUUCCACGUGCUGCUCCAUUAAAAUUUCCCCUCACACCGUGAGCUUCAAGCUGUUGUGAAGACCGAAGCCACUCAUCCCCUUCUCCACUCACACACGCCCACCACCACUCACUGAUUUCCCUUUUGCAAGCCACGCAUCAACUUCGGUCAACUAAAGAACUCCUUUCGCCCAUUGUAGACUCUCCUGCGAGCGGCCCACUCGUCCAAGCAUCCACUUCCUUCGGUUGAAGCCCAGCAAAAGCCACGCCGUUGAUUUCUGCAUAUGCUGCCUUCACGCCCGCGACCCAGCUUUCAUCUUCACGAAGCCUCUCUGUUUUGUUGACCGCGAAACCCCACAUCUCGCCGUUCCCUUCCACCGAAGCAUCACCGGGUCUUCUCCUCAUAGGGCCACGAAGACAACUUGCUUUGAUUGUUGACCGCCAGCUCGCCCGUGGGGUCUCCUCGAAGCCGAGCUUUGUUGCCGCGGCCCGCUCGUCCAGCUUUCGUAAUUCAAGAUCAAGCUCAGCUUUGCUGAGCUGUUUUGGACCUGUUUUGGCCGGUCCAAGCUUCUGUCGGCCUCGCCGUGAGUUCAAGUUCUAGCCGCCGUCGCGCCGCCGUCGCCGUGAGCCGAUUUUCGUGCUAACCGGUGAGUUGCGUUCUAAUCCUUUAUUAGUGGGCUAAUGACACUUGGAGGUGUGUUAGUUAGCUAGUUGGUGGAUUAGUUAUGUUAAUUAGGCUUAUGAUGGCUUAGUUAGAUUAAGUAUAUAGUUAGUAGUUAGUUAGUUUAUUUAGUUUAGUUAAAUGGAUGAGUUAGGAAUUAGUUAGUUUAUUUAGUUAGUGUACUUAGAUUAAAUUAUAUAGGAUGGUUAGAUUUAAUUGUUAGUUAGAUAAUUUAGUUUAGUUAGUUUAGGUUAACUUAAUUAAAUGCUUUAAAUUUAUUUAUUUGUAAUUUAUUUAAUUUUCGGUAAUUUAUUUAAUUAUUAAUUAUUUUCUAGAAAUUAGACCGGGGUAGCCGGUGACCGGAAUUUGUACUGAUUGCAAUGGUGCGUUCAAUUUAUGCAAUUGGAUGUUAAUUUGUGCAAAUUGAGUGCUGAUUGGAAUUUUGAAUAUUUAAUUCCAAAAUUUGUGAAAUUUGAUAUUUAUUCCAAAAAUUCUGGAUGUCGAAUUUUAAUACCAAAAAUGGUUUUAUAUACUAUAUAAAAUAGUAGGAUUUUAAAUUGGAGAUUAUGAAUUUUUUGGGUUCAAUCUGAUCGUGUACCUACACAUGACUAUAUUACCGCGUAUUUCUAAUUCGAAGAAAAUAGGCCAGGUUCACUAUUUUAAUUGAGAUAUUUGAGUGCAUUGCACAAAGUCCUGGGCCGAGAUUGAUUAGUCGUGUGUUGGUUAAGAGAAACCGUCUUGGGCUGUUAAGCGGGACGUUACUCAUUCAUUGGGACUCGGGUCGCAGUAGAUUCUAGACCUACGCCCCUUCAAAGAAGCCGUCUAAUUAAGAGACGUCGCCAUGCUCAAAGGGGGUGAGACGACACCUGGCAAUGCCAGAAGACCGCCAAUUUUGGAGUUGGCCAUACCUUAAGGGGUGUAAUUAACAAUUAGAACGCAUGAUUGUUGAGUUUGAUGCACCUGAUUAUGAGAUCAAAAUUAUGUGGCAUGGAACAAGUUCUUUGUGAUUAAUUGAAUUGAUGAGGUGUUCCAGUUGUUAUAUGCAUUACGAUAUGAACUGUACUGACGUGCAGGAAGGAAACUGAGGCAAGGAAAGUCCUCUGUGUUAAGUGAGUGGUUGUGUGGUUAGGACACUUCCAAGUGUAUUUCCCUUCUAAUCGGAGUUUAGACCGUAAGCUCGCUGAGAUUUAUAACUCACCCCGUCUCGGGCUUAAAAUUUUCAGGGCCAUAGAAAGAGGACCUGGAGCUAAGCUGAGGUGACCUAAAGAGUGGGUCAGAUAGGACAACCUCUUUUUGAGAACUGGUCUUUUGGUUAUAGACUUGUGUAAAUGACUCAGUAUGUUUAUAAAAGUGUGGUUUGGUUGUGAAUGUGAUAUCCUGCUUUUCUAUUCCGAAAUGAUUACUGUCAGGGAAUUUAUUUUUGCUUCUGCAUGUGUAAUAAAAUGAAAGGGUCGGCGACUCAUCCUGGAAAGUCGCAUAAUUUUUAUUGACCAGAAGGAGAUGGACACGCGCUCGAGGAUUGGGGCGUGACAUAUAUUAUUUUUUUUUCAAUUUAUUUAUUUAUUUCUUUUCUUUUCUUUCUCUUUUUUUCCCCUUCUUCAUUCUUCCUCUGGCCGGUCGUUGCUGGCCAAUUGCGAAGCUCGCUCCCACUGGCCACCGGCGAGGGAAUCGAGGCCGCAGUUGGGUCGGUGUCACGCACAGGUAUAAGCGGAAGUUAACGACGGUAGUGCCUCUGGGUUCAGUUUCCAGCGAUGUUGACUGCACUGUUCUUGUCGUCAUUUGCUCUGCAGUCUUAAGCGUAUGAUGCUCAACUGUUGCCACCAGAUGAAAGUAAGCGAGAAUAACUCAGCCCUUUCCUUUAAUGGCUGUUUAAGUUUUUCUUUUUGACCCUCUGCGUUUGGGAUAAUUGCUCUGUGUGUUCUGAUCGUGAAUCUCUUUCUUGCUCCUCUGUCGAGGGAUGACAGGUUAGUCAUUAUCCAUUCCCGCCCCCGCCUCUCAAAUCUCAGGGUGGGCAAAUGAGCCCCUUGAGGCUUUAACUUGUUUUUUUUUUUUUUUUUUUUACAUUAACCUAUGACCGCUUUUGGCAUUGACUUAAAAAUACAGAACCAUUGAUGGAGUGAAGCACUGUGCUGAUGAGGUAGUAAUCCAUCCGAAAAAAAUAUUGACAAGUUUCUGCAGAAUUUUUCAUGUGGAUAUAGUAUUGUCUUUUAUCAUUUCUUAAAGAUGGGAUAGAUGAAGUCGGCCGAUCAUCAUCCAUACUAAAAGAGAUAAAAACUCAAAAAAUUUCUAAGAACAGUUCUUGAGUAGCAACAUAUAACGGGUUGGGUUCGUGAAUAAAACAAAUCCAAAAGCAAGAAUGUCCCACUUAGCACAUAUUGCCAUUCAAACAAUGAAAAACUUCCAUAAUAAAUUCCCUCCGUUGCGUUGGCAAGCAUACACAUCGUUAUAUUUUAAAGAGGAAAUGUUGCAACAUGCUCUCUGUUUCAAUAACAAUAUUACAAAUAAAAAAAAAACCAUGUAUACAACCAUCAAACAACAAACCAUCGUCAUUUGGCUUUCCAAGUACUUAGCUCGCAAUACACAAUCACGGCACUGCAUAAAAGUCCCCAGUUUCUUUGUAGUAUCAAUACCUUCAGUUUCAAAUGUAAUCCACUGAAUGGAUUACCAAAUAAAGCCCAGUUCUUUCCAGAACUAAUUAACUCAGAACGCUGCAAACCAUUUCUUAUUCUAUGCUCUGGCAGUAAUCAGUAUCCAGAGGUAUCGGAUAGAGAUCAACGGCAGAUGGUAAAGAAGUGAUUCCAGUGCCCGACCCUUCAGUGAACAUACUGUUGGUGAUACUUUCACCAACUGCCUGAUCUUUGUCACCUUCAAAAUGCUUCCUCAUGGCCUCAAGUUUCUUCUCAGCCCUGAUGGCGCCGUCAGAGUCCAGCACUGGAACAGCAACCUUGCCUUCAAGCAUGCUAACCACAGACGACAUCACUGGCCUGAGUGUUGGAGUCGCAUCAGUACACAGCAGAGCUACCUUUAUCAUCACCAACGCCUGCUCUUCGUCAAAAUGAGAACCAACCCUCGCAUCAACUAGAUCUAUCAAAUUUCCUGUCUUCUUCAACUCAUGAGCCUAGAAACAGAAAUGGAAAGUGAGAUUUCUUCCUCAAAUUUCAGAGAUCAUUAGCAGAAUACAGGAAGAAGAAAAUAUAUCCUGUCCCACGAUAAUUCCAUCACAAAUGCAGUCGAUAAACACCUGAUAGGUUUUCAUCUUCAUUAUAUGGUAUAAACAGAAGAAAAGAACCGAAUGAGUCAAUACAGAUGAAACAUGAUCUUUUUCACAUAUUUAGACAAAAAUUUAUUAAACUUCAGCAUUAGUUGAUCUCUUAAUAACGGUUAUCCGGUUGCAAAAAAAUUACCAGACUGCUUUAUAAUCACCAGCACUUACUGAGUAUUACCAGCACGAAUAAUUUGUCAGUUUGUCAUUACAUGAAAUGGUAGAAUCAUCCAUCAAUUGUUACACCAAUCAUUGCAUUUUACUCACAAUUCCAUUUUAACAAGAAUUACUUGACUAAAAUUAGGUGAAAAUUAGAUUUAACGGGUACUAGCGAUAAUUAUUUUCGCUAAUGAUUGGCUUGCUCAAAGCAAAAUAAAAUCUAAGGACUUAAUUAUAUGCAUGUGGAAAAAGUUAAAUCUAAAUCGUAAGUAAAUGAAUAUUUGGGUCAAGAGGCAGUCCUGAAAACUUUUUGAUUCAACAGUAAUUGUCAAAACUCAAAAGUACUCAAAGGACUUGUUUGGCCCUAAUGAGACUACAGGGAGAAUGAAUGUCACGCAUAAAACUAUAAACACCAAAAUUGAACUACCCCAAAGCUUAAUGACCCAGUUUCAAGGAUUAGAAUUGUCUUCAAUCCAAAAUCUACAUGAUUCCUCUGGUCAGGAGGCAGCCCAUCGUUUUGAGUUUGAAUGUGUCACUGAGUAGGUUCCAGUUUCGAUUUCUUAGAACCAGACUAAUCCGUGGCCACCCCCAAUCCCAAGUCGCACGUCUUGAGCAUGAACACCAUAGACUGGUUAUUGCAAGGAUUACUUUCUCCUUUUAAAUUCAGUGUAGACCAACAUAAUAAGAAGAGUUGGAUUAUUCUGAAAUGACAAAUGCACUUAAUGGCACGUGCAAUUCGUUAUAAAUAACUGCGACGCUCCUCUGUAACCACUAGAAGUGCAUAAGAGAAGUUAUAUACUAUGCUCACGGUUCCAUCUUUCCACCUGCACAAACAGAGAUUUAAAAACGGAUAUGAUCCUAAUUGAAAAAUUUUGAGUGCUAGAGUCAAAUACCCAAUCGAGUAGAUGAAAGCAUUCGUCCUUUUUUUGGUAACUAAUGUUGCACCGGCCACUAACGACUUCCAAGGCAACAAUACCAAAGCUAUAGAUGUUGGCUUUGUCAGUGAGGUAACCACGCAUUGCGUACUCUGGUGCCAUAUAUCCACUGCACAACAAGAAAAGAGCUUUCAUGUGCAACAAGGCAAAUGUCUUAGAUAGCACAUACUUAAUUUUCCUAAAAUUCAAAAGAAAGAGAUAUUCCUAAAUGUGAUGUUAUGGUCUCAUGAGUAGAGGAAACAAACAAGUGCAUCCAAGUGAAUCUUAAAAAUUUUCUAAUAAAUUUUACCGAAAAUAUUUUGAAAAGAAAAAGACCAUUGUUGUUCCAUAUAAUUGUCAAAGUACAUAUAUGAGUUUAUAACUCGGAAAUAGGCACUCCGACCAAGAAAAGAGCUGGAAACAGGCUGAGCCAAUGUCUGUGAAUACGUGAGCAGCAGCCGCAGGAGGGUUUCUAAAGCGAAAGCCUUGAGGCAGAAAAGCUUCUUGUUGUCAUUGUUGUUGCUGUUCCAAUAGACAGCCUUUCACUUCCUCGCUAGCUUUCUAACCCUUGCGAUACACGUGCUUGCUUUGUAUAAUUUGGUAUUAUUAUUAUUUUUUUAAAAUUCACUUGUAAGUGCAUCAUCUAUGUUGAUGUCAUGUGACACAUUUAUUAAAAUUGUGUUUUUCAUACAAAGGAGUAUAUAUAGAUAAUUUAUACUGAAAUUUUUAACAUUAAGUAGUUGUUGUUCAUUAAAUUGUUUUGCAUUGAAUUGAUUCCCAUUGGGAAAACAUAAUUAAAAAAUUAAAUUACGUAUCAAUAUAGUUCGUUAAAAUGUAUUGCAUUAUAAUUUUAUCAAAAUAAUUUCAUAAGCUUUUUGUUUGAGGGGACACAUUAGGUAGGGCACACUAAAUUACCUUAUGAAAUGUUUAUCUUGAAUUGUUCCUAAUGUAUUAAAAGGGUCGUGUAGGAUAUUAUCAAUCUUUUGAGUAAAAUCUAGCGUAGGAGGAUAUGAAUUUUCCAGAAUUAUAUUAGAUUAUAUAAUUUAAUUGAGAAAACUGAACUUAAUUCAUGUUGCAGUUCUUGUUUUUACUGAAUUCAGGUUAGAGUUAGUAGAAUGAACUUACAGUUCUAUUUUUUCAUAAUUAAUCACAUUUUUUUUCAUAAACAAGUUGAAUUUUCUCACAUAUUAAUGGAGAUGUGAUGCAAGCCUAGGUAGGCUUUCUCAAACAAUAGGAUCGGGAGAGUGACUCGCACACGGAAACAGGACAAACAGGAAUUUCAGCACCACGCAAGCUCAGGAGAACAGUUGUAUCUUUGUUGAUACAGAUCGGAUCGACUUGAUUCUAAAGCCAAAUGAACAAAGACUUCUGGAUCUACAAUUUAUCUGUUUUGGGUUUUCUGAAAUAAGCACUGUAGGAUAGUCGAAAUUGGGUUGGAAAUAACGAACAGAAUAUGAAAAGAUAGAAACUCCGUUGGUUGCUCUUCUAGGCCUCCAAGGAAGUUGAGGGGGCACCGAUUCUUCAAGAUCGAUGACUGCAACUCUUCAAGGAUGCAGAUUUCAAAAGCUCCGACUCUUCAAGGACGAAGUGAAAACUCUUCUAGGUUUUCAAGGGUUGAACUCUACAAGGUUCACGAUACUUGCUUCAAGCAAAGUUUUUCAUUCAUCAAAAGCUAUCCGUCUUCUACAAGAAAUUGGGCUUAUAUCGUCAAAGAAAUAAAGACGGAGCAUUGAAACUAGGAGAAAUAAAGACAGAACAUUAAAACUAAGAGAAAUAAAGAAGGACAUUAAAAUUAGCAGAAAUAGUAAAAGCAUAACGUUUUCGUGGCAAGGUGUCUUUCCAACUUCCGGGAUGGACUCAAAAUGUCGUUAUGGCUUCUCGGUUUCAUCGAGCUUUAAUGCGGGCCGAUCUUCUUGGUCGAGAGAGCCGGUCUUCAAUGUAGGCUGCAUCAUCCUCCCCAUCUUUAAAAGAAUUCGUCCUCGAAUUCUUGCCAUCAUCAUCAGAAUAAUCUCCCACCCUACUAGGUGCCAAUGUAAUCUUCUUGCCUCCAAAUUCAAAAGAAUAUGUAUUUCGAUAACCAUCAUGCAUAGUCCUCUUAUCGAAUUACCAUGGUCGACCAAGAAUAAUGUGACUAGCAUCCAUUGGCAGAACAUCACACCAUAUUUUGUCACUAUAAACAGAACCAAUGGAUAGAUUAACAAGGCAUCGUUUUGAAACAGUUACCUCAGCACCUAUCUUCAACCACAACAUUUUAUAAGGCGUAGGGUGCGCUUUUAAUUCCAACUUCAGCUUGUUUGCCGCUACUUCAGAAAUUAUAUUCUCACAACAACCAGAGUCAAUAAUUAAUUGACAUACCUUUCCCAUGAUUGUGCAAGCAGAAUGGAAAAUAUUGGUACGUAACCACCUAUCUCCAAUGUCAUCUCGAGGAGUAGGAAAAAUUUUCCUCACCAUAAGAAGUUCUCCAGUGUCAGCAUGCACUAUUUGUUCAUCAUCCGCAACUUCUUCAUCAUUUUUCAACUCCUCUUCAAGUGGAUCCUCAGCAUUCUCAUCAGAAUUAUUAUCCACCAAGAAGGCUUUACCGGCCGGUCGAUUCUUAUUGAUUCGACAAUUGCUAGCACGAUGACCCAACUCCCCACAAGAAUAGCAACGUAUUUCGGAUGUAGCAGGUUGAUUCGAAACAUGGGGUUGAGUAGAAGGCUUACUAGCAGAUUGCUGUCUCCGAGAAUGAGAGCGCUCCAUUUUGAGUGCCCGUUGGUGUGCAUCUCCUAAGUCCCAAAUGUCGAGGACUUCCAAGGCGUCUUGAAUGUAAAAUUGAAGACCGUUCAAGUAUUUGUUCACAAGCACAUCCUCUGGGUCCUGGAUAUAUCACCAACUCAUUGAAUCAUUGGUGUAUUGGUCCACCGUUCGCGUACCUUGUUUUAGAUUUUGGUACCGUUNNNNNNNNNNNNNNNNNNNNNNNNNNNNNNNNNNNNNNNNNNNNNNNNNNNNNNNNNNNNNNNNNNNNNNNNNNNNNNNNNNNNNNNNNNNNNNNNNNNNNNNNNNNNNNNNNNNNNNNNNNNNNNNNNNNNNNNNNNNNNNNNNNNNNNNNNNNNNNNNNNNNNNNNNNNNNNNNNNNNNNNNNNNNNNNNNNNNNNNNNNNNNNNNNNNNNNUGUUAGCCAAUCAACAAUUUCAUCAGGAGACUCAUACCUGUAAAUCUGGAACAUCUUUCUUGAUUUCCUUUCCCAAUCUGGCUCACGAAUAUGUUGUAAACGAUGUCGAACAUUCCUCCGACCGUGAAUAGAUUGAACACUCUCCGAAGAGGAAGAGUCACCAUGGGAAUCUUCAGUCCUGGAACGGGGUGGAGAAUUAUUUGCUUCAGCCCUCAAUCGCUGAACUUCUUGCGUCAAUUCGUCAAUUUGUCGUUGCAUAUUCUCAGCAAGUGUGUGCAAUUCAUUGAGGGGAAGGGUUCUGCCGCCACGACGCCUAGCUUGUCUUGGAGGCAUUGUCCUCUCCUCCAAAGCUCUGAUACCAAAUGAUGCAAGCCUAGGUAGGCUUUCUCAAACAAUAGGAUCGGGAGAGUGACUCGCACACGGAAACAGGACAAACAGGAAUUUCAGCACCGCGCAAGCUCAGGAGAACAGUUGUAUCUUUGUUGAUACAGAUCGGAUCGACUUGAUUCUAAAGCCAAAUGAACAAAGACUUCUGGAUCUACAAUUUAUCUGUUUUGGGUUUUCUGAAAUAAGCACUGUAGGAUAGUCGAAAUUGGGUUGGAAAUAACGAACAGAAUAUGAAAAGAUAGAAACUCCGUUGGUUGCUCUUCUAGGCCUCCAAGGAAGUUGAGGGGGCACCGAUUCUUCAAGAUCGAUGACUGCAACUCUUCAAGGAUGCAGAUUUCAAAAGCUCCGACUCUUCAAGGACGAAGUGAAAACUCUUCUAGGUUUUCAAGGGUUGAACUCUACAAGGUUCACGAUACUUGCUUCAAGCAAAGUUUUUCAUUCAUCAAAAGCUAUCCGUCUUCUACAAGAAAUUGGGGUUAUAUCGUCCAAGAAAUAAAGACGGAGGAUUGAAACUAGGAGAAAUAAAGACAGAACAUUAAAACUAAGAGAAAUAAAGAAGGACAUUAAAAUUAGCAGAAAUAGUAAAAGCAUAACGUUUUCGUGGGAAGGUGUCUUUCCAACUUCUGGGAUGGACUCAAAAUGUCGUUAUGGGUUCUCGGUUUCAUCGAGCUUUAAUGCGGGCCGAUCUUCUUGGUCGAGAGAGCCGGUCUUCAAUGUAGGCUGCAUCAAGAUGUCUGAACCAUGUGAACAUGCUUAUUAUAUUUUUCCAUGUGUAUACAUCAGAAACAUGGGCGAACUCUAAUGCCCAUAAUACUAAGUUAUUUUAAAUAACAAUUACAUAGUUGAUAUCAGAGUAUCAUUACUUAAUGGCAGAGUAUGUGACAUAAUUAACAUUUUUUUCCCUAAUUAACGUGAAGAGUGGUGGGAGAAGCAUAAAGCUUUGUGGUUAAGCCACAUUUGUUGAGCAUCAUGCUUUGGGAUGAUGUGAAUCCACCACAAACCUCCAUUCAACUCAAUUUUUUAAAAUCAGACUAAACGUCUCUAUUCCAUGCUAUUGUGUUGCCACCAGCUCCUAAUAAGGUGAAUAGGAAAAUGAAGCAAGAAACUUACUAAGUUCCAGCAAUCCUGGUGCUAAUAUGUGUGUUGUCCUCCUCAUCAAGCUCUGCUAAACCAAAAUCUGAUAUUUUAGGGUUGAGAUCCCUAUCCAGUAAAACAUUAGUAGAUUUGAUGUCUCUAUGUACAAUCUUCAGCCUUGAUUCUUCAUGAAGAUAUGCCAAGCCCUUGGCAAUACCCACACAUAUCUUGUGUCUUGUCGACCAAUCCAACUUUAACUGAAAUUCUUUAGAACCUUCAAUUGCAUCAGAAGACAUCAAAACUGCUUUACCACCAUGUCAUUAACUCAAGUCAGUGAAACACAAUGUCAUAUAUAUUUACCAAAUAAAGCACGAGCAAGAAAUCAUCCCAAUCUCAGUCACAAACUCACGAUUUCCUUGCUUGGAUUUGGAUGAAAGCUGCUUCACUGCAAUAGUGGUGGUGCCAUUUGAGAGAUGACCCUGCAAUUGAAUUUUGGCAUUGAUCUAUGCUGUGAAAAUGUAGUUACAAUGAAUGCUGCUUUCUACAGAUCAUUUUUGUUGGGAAUUAGGGGAAGUUUGUUCACUGAUUUUCCAGCAUACCAUACAGAACCAAAACCACCUUCUCCAAUCUUAUUGGCAUCAUCAAAAUUGUUUGCGGCAGCUUUAAUCUGUCGCAAGGUAAAUGAACCAUUUUGCAACCCUAGACCCUUCAAGUCUGCACCAUGUUUUGGAACUUCUAAGAAUUUGAAAUAAUCAACAGCUAAAGUAUGAAAUCCACUAUCUAACAAAGACAUGGCAAUUCAUUCUCAAUGUACCAGAAAACCUUUAUAUGACGUUUUGGUCUGAGCAAGUUCAGUACUGAAUAUCUUAGCAUCCAGAAAUUUAUUCUAUGAAAGCCUGGCAUCAGUUGGUAGUAUGUCCUUUGAAAAGUAAAAUGAGAAUGUCGUCAGGGUAUUUAAGGAAAAGAAACAGCAUAGAAAAAACCCACUUCAGAAACGUAAGGCAAGUUUCGUAUGUUUCAAUGUCUCGUAUAUGUGAAGUUCUGGCAUUUAUUUUUGAUGUCUUGAAACACAGACUUAGCGCGCACGUGUGCGCACAGUCGAUUGUGCCCCCAAAGAGACCCAAUUUAUGUAUACACACAAUUCAGAGAAAUAAUCUAUCACACUCUCCCUAUAACUAUCUAUCCCUUUUUUGAGUGAAUUAAAUGGUCGACACUUUAGCUCUAUUAAGACUUAAUAAUAAUAUUUUUUCUUUUUGUGCCAAAUGGAAUUCCCAACGAAAUCCACAAAUUUCAUGCAUCGACUUUUUUACAAGGGAACUGGGUAAUUUAGCUGGAGUAUUAAUGAUGCAUUGUGAUUACCCCUCUCCCAACCAUGAAAGGUAAGAAGAAGAAUCAUGCACGAACAGUUUGAUAGGACAACUGUGUAAUUAGCUGAAACAUAAAUGAUGCAAUGUGAUUACCCCUCUCCGCCAACAGAAUACGGAAGGGGGAAUAUGUAUUCAGAGUGCAUAACAUUCUCAAAUUUCUUGACAGAUAUAUGUGAACUAAAUAACAGACUCCAGCCUCCAGGAAAGCAACUACCUUGUGCCAUUUUAUCUUCAUGUCCAAGACAUCCUCUCCACCAAAGGAUAACUAGGAUAAGGAAAACUAUAAAAACUAUAGCAGCCACAAUUCCAACCACUAUGCCAGUCGACUCUGGUGGGUUGGCCGACUCUGGUGGCCAGAGUGGGCUGGGCACCUGGCCAGCCAAUACUGGGCUGGGCGGCUGGCCAGCCCACUCUCGGCUGGCCCUCCCUAAUCUAGUGGCUGACGCUAGUAGUCUGGCUGACGCUGGUGGGCUGGCCGACGCUAGUGAAAAAACACAUAAAUAUUUACCCAAAACUAUUCAGUUGGGAGACAUAAAUGCAGAAAAAUAUUUGUAGCUUUUGAAUGGAGGAUUUGUUGGAAAGUCCAACGCAAAAGGGUAAGCUAAUAGAUGGAGGAUACUACAUGAAUAUAAAGAGUAUUUAGGACCCAUUUUUGAGCUGUAUGUGAAAUUUUUGACUACGCACAUUCACAUGGAGUUUUGACCAUGCACAUUCACGAAAGGGAUAGCACUGGCUAUGAUACCAUGUUAGAAAGUUCAACCUAAAAGUUUAGGCUAAUAGGUAGAGUAGAUUACAUGAACAUAAAGAGCAUUUAUGAUCCAUUGUCAAUCGAUAUAGGAUAACACUUUAAGAGGAUUAGAGAUACACAGAGAAAACAUGCUCAGAUAGAAAGAAGCCAAAGCAAACCAUAGCCAAUUUUCACCUCUUAAGAGAAAAAUAAUAGAUCCUAGUCAGCUACUGUGGAAAUUGAUCUGAUCCAUAGUAACAGAUGCCAAUGAUCUAUAUCCAACAGUGGGCAUUUGCAACCAAACCAAGUAACUGUAUAGCCUAUUGAUGACUUCCGGUGCAAGACAAAACAAGGGUAUUUUUUCUAAUAUGAAUACUAGUAACUUUCUCAACGGAGAAGCUCCAGGUGAAACACGGAAGUGUCCGUCUACAUACCAGGAUAGACGGCGAUAGCAGAUAUAAGAGGACCAUAGACUCCUCCCGUAGGUAUAGCAUUGGUUCCUUUCCCAGCCCAAUAGAAGGGUAUCUCCAGAGUGCCUUCAGUCACUGUCACAGUAAAAGUUUUCAUGACUGGCUUUCCAACUCCACCUGCUUCAAUCUUAAUGUUGAAAUCUUCCCACACCAAUUUCCCCUGAAAUAAUGUUUAAUCUGAUUUAGAUUAAGUGUCUCCACAUUGAACAAGGUGAAACUUUCAGUCUCAAUAGAAUGUAGAAAUUGUGAUCAGACCAUGAUUUGCAAAUACAAGAUAUAUAGAUCAACUUCCCAACCAUAACAUAUUGAACGCUUUAUACACUUCACAUGUUAGAAGUAGCACUACGUAAUGCCCAAAAUUUAGCUGUAUAUAAACAUUAAAAGCUCGCCUUCCAAGGCUUGUAUAACUUUCGUUGCCCGUGAAAAUAUCUCCGCAAAAUGAAGGUUUACAUCAUAGGUCCAUUCAUUAGACAAAAACCAUAAUAAGUUAGAGAGACAGCGGAACAUCGUGCCCUCUUGUAAACCAUAGUGGACUACAUAUUUAUCUAUAGGCCGAUUGUCAUCAAGGAAGUGACCAGUGCUACUGUAGGCCCAGUUAUCUCCGCUCAGGAAGAAUCUUGGAGCGGUAGCGCCUCUGUAUCAUUGCUGUAUAAGUUGCGACCUAUUGUUACUUUGCUCCCACCGCAUUUUAUGAAGAGGUUNNNNNNNNNNNNNNNNNNNNNNNNNNNNNNNNNNNNNNNNNNNNNNNNNNNNNNNNNNNNNNNNNNNNNNNNNNNNNNNNNNNNNNNNNNNNNNNNNNNNACUUGCAUUCCCUUACUGGAAAAUCACUUAGAAACUCCAAGUUUAUGAGCAACAAACUAUUUCAUGGAGGCGGCUUUUAAAAUUUCUAGAGCAAUUGUGCAUUAACCAUCAAAGAUUGAUACAUAGCCAAGAAGAGAGUUGACAAGGAGACAAAUUUGAUGCAAAAAUACAGAGAGUAUGAUGCAGUAUCAGGAUCUGAUGAUAACGAUAGGAUAUACAGUAGAUCAACUUACUUUUUUGACAACGCUGACUUUUUAAACAUGAGACAAGUCCACUUCUGGCAGUAUAAGAGGUUCUGAGCAAGUCAGUAAAGAUUUUAAAGUUAUAAUCAUCAUCAUUCUAAAUAGAGUUCCAUCGUUCGUACAUAAAUAAUUAAAUUGCAGGUCCUUGAAAACCAAGUCUCUUGGUGAAAAAUUUAAUCUUAAACAUACGCAUUGUCAACCACCGAGCUUGCGAACAAGUUGCUGUAGAGAAAGACAAAAUCAACAUUCAAUAGAGAAAAGGAAAUUUUACACACACAGGAUUAUAAGUUACUCAAAACUGCACCCUUGAGGGGAGACAUGGACUUAGACUGAAGGAUAUAGUACAUACAUAGAUCGAUUUUGACAUCCUGAGCCUCCAGCAGUGAAGGAGUUGUAUGAUAAAUCACUACACAGAGAAAUAGUAAGCCGUUUCCAAAAUGUCAUCAAUUUCAAGAAUACACUAAAAGUCAUUCCCAUCAGAUAAUUAUUAUGCACAAAAAUGUAGAUCAGUUGCAAAAUAUGGACAGGCAGGGCAAGUUGAAAGGCGAAAAAAGUGACAAGCUGAUGAAAGUAAUGUUUAAUCUGUAUUGAAGAUAUCCAAUCUUAAAUAUUCAAAGGAGAAAGACUAAUCGGAGUGAACAUAGGCUAUAGAACUAGUUGGAGUGCAUAUAUACAUUUUUACACAGCACAGUAUGACAGGCAUGUUGUAUAAGGCAAAGAGGCAAAAAUAAAACUGGGAUUCCAACAAUUACUAAGUCGGAUCUUCCUAUUAGAAAAUAUCCAGACCACCAUUUAAAUGUUUAAACUACCUCCGAAGAGCUUCAUUCUUACGCUCUUAAGAUAAUAAUAACUUUCUCCUAGGUACACUCAUUUUAGUUGUAGAGUUUCUCAAAUACACAAACCCAUAAACAUUGUUAUCAGCAAGAAAUAGCACAAGCAACUAAUCAAAUUAUGCAGGAGAUGCAUUAGACAAACUUUCAAAGAGGAUCUAUAGGAUAUUAAAUUUUUCCAAAUGUUAUUUCUAUCAUUCCAAGAGGUUUCAAAAUUAUCUAGAGCUGAGAAGGGCUUUUUGUAUAGAAGAAAGUGGGGGCUAACUUGACAAGAAAAUCCACUUAAUAUUCUUUUAUGUAUAAUCUACAAAUCAGCCUCCUGUCUUACAUAUAACUUUCCAAAUAACAGAUCCCAACAAGGAGAAAGGUACUCAUGAUGUUUCCCUUUACUCCAUAGGCUGCAAACCAUAAAGAUGCAAGAUGGGAAUGCACAAUAGCUUACUACAGUGCAAGACUAGCCAGAUAGAACUAGAAGAAAAUUGGUGAUUAAGCAAGACAUUUCUUCAGGCUGCAAAGCUUACACAUUUUCUGCUUUCUCCAGGAUUCAAUCAGGAACUGCUCCAGUCAAUUGGUUUCCGGUCAGAUAGCUAAACAAGAUCAUUUGAUUGAGUCAGUUCCUCAUGUAUUUUACCCACUCAAACCGAAAAUUUUUAGAGUUACACCUUGAACAUGCAUUAUUUUUGCAGAUUAAAAGCAUUAAAUUUUAGUGGUGUAGAAAAAAAUCAGUCAACGCAUAAUAUCAAUAUGGAGCUUUCAGCGUGAGAUGAAAGAUAAAUGAAGUCAAUGACAGAGGAAAAACUUGAUCCUUGUCAAACCUAGAGUGCGUGAAGAAAAAUUAGCAUAACACUAGUACACAAAGCUGAACAUGGUGAAGGAUACUGGCGUAUUAGCUUAUUAACUAUUUCCUCGCAAUAAUGUUCAUGUCCUUCUAAGGCAUAAAAUAAAUAAUUAGGGAAGAUGUGCCAAUGUCAUACAAUCAAUCGUUGGGCAGAAAGAUAGAAAGAUGUGCCAUUAUUAAACAGUCCAAGAAGCUUGGGAAUACAGUUUCUCAUCACUUUCCAGACUAGGGACAAGACAUCAAGGUCUUAUCUGCAGACCUUCUAAAUAGAGGAUAAGAACUGCACUCACCAAACAAUCUAGGACCAUUGUUGUGGAAAGAACCAGAUAGAGAGUCUAAGGACUUUCACUAUCUUUAAUCUCCCAUACAUCAAAAAACAGGCGCACUGGACAUGCAUUAAGUACACACACAUACAACUAUCAAAUGUUUAAGUAACACUGAUCCAAUUAACUCUUCCAGCAUAAACAAGUGACACUACUGAAACUUGUGAAUUGUGUUCCUUAAGGAACAGAAUAUCAUUAAUUUAUGUCUGCUCCAAGACUAGAGUCCCACCAAAAUAAUUAGUUGAUAAUAAUCACAAAUUCAGAACCCAAAUCACUGUAAGAUAUGGAUGGUGAUAUAACAAGCAUUCAAGAUAACAGGUCCAAGGGUUAUAAAUGGGACCUGUUAUCGCGGUCUAAGUUCGAUUGAUAGCUCAGCUACUUUACAGUAAGAGUUGCCUAUAGCUUGGCCAACGGAACAAUUUUAGAUUUUAGAUUCUUGUACAAAAUAAGAAAAAGAAGCCUAGGUUCAGCAUCAAAGUACUUACAUAUUAUCUACUGCUACCAGGUUGCUGAAGGAGUUGGGGAUUUUGCCACUCGGUCUAUUGAAGCUGAGGUCUCUGCAAAACAAUUGAAUGGAAAGGAGACGAAUAUAAUGAGAAGAUAGUUUUCACCAACUCUCACUGGACACUCUUAGUAUACUUUGGAGGAUUGUACAAACACAAACGGCAUCAAUGAACCUGCAAGUCCAGUUCAGAUGUUUAGACAUACAAGUCAACUGCCAGGUGCCUAUGCUUUAUAGUAGACAAUCAUUUCCAGAGGCAUUCAUCGCACAAAAUCAAUGUUCUCCAAGUUGGUCACACGCUGUAAAUAAGCAAAAAUUCUGCCGUAAAUCAGAUUUACGACCUGGAAAUUUUAAUUUAUACAACUAGAAAUGCUACUUGGGCACUAAAUCGAAUGCAUUCCUUGGAAUGCAACAUAUUAUAGUUCAAAUCAAGAGAUUCUAUUUAUCUAAGAGGAACGAAACUAAAGCUAAUCAUAAUUUAAUGAACAGAUCUCCUUCAUAACAUUUUAUUCAUCAAUAAAGGGAUGAUGACAAAAUAUCAGGGUGCUUAGAAAGUACAAUAUCGGCUUGAGUGAAUUAAAAAUAGAAAAUAAAGUGAGGAUUUCAAAAAAUUGGAAGGCAUGAUUUUGCAGUCCAAUACAAUUAUUAAUGGAGAAAUUGCAACCUAGUCAAACCUAAACAAAAGGAAAUGGAGUAUAUGAUAAGCUCGACAGAACCACAGAAAUUCGGUUAUUCAAAAUGUCAACAAAGAAUAAACCUUGAUGGCUGAUGACGAUAGAAUGGCAAAACGCUGCUGUUAAAUGUAGCAUUUUUAAAAUCUUACAGAGAUGACCAGAUGAAUAAGAAGAAUUGACUUGAUGCAUUUGAAACCAUGCUUUCAUUCAAACAAAGAAUAUAAUGGCUGCCAAAUAUACAACGAUCAAGCAUAAAACCCCAGUUAGAUAUUGUGGGCUGAGAUUCGAGAAUGGAAACCACUAGCAGAAAGAUUUCCAGAUGAUCAACCACUACAAGCCUCCAUUGAAGUUAGUAAAAUAGACAAAAUGGGCACCACAACCAAGGUAAGAAUUCUUGUGGUUUCUAUUCCUGGAAAAGUGAAAACAAAAAAAAAGAAAAGGUCCAUCUACUUCUGUGCGAAAUUAUAUAUACUACAAUAGAGGCCACAAUCACCAAACACUUAAAUGCCACAUCACGAUUCAUAAUUCAUCAAUAUCAAUGAAAAAGAUCAAAACCCCCUUUAAGUCAGUAAGGGACCUCCAAGCCAUCUCAAAUGGGUUAACUAUUCAAUCAAAUGAUAUUGAAACUAUUUCCCAUCUCUUCCCAAAAAAGAAGUGGGCUAUUUCUUUGCAAAUUGCAACCAAUAGUCAACCAUAAACUAGUAGAAAUUUCACUUAUUAAGGGUAAAAUUGUUUAUUCUGCUUGGAAUAGGAAAAGGGGAAAGCCGUUUUCCACUCACAAUAUUUAAGAAAGGAAACAAGUGAAAAAAGGAAUGUGCAUAAAGUAAAGUAAAGUAUUCGAAGUGCAAGAACAUAAAAAAACCAAUUGAAUUAAAGUAAAGAUCAGAUUCAAUGAUAAGAACUACGGCCACCUCCUCCAUAGUGCCUCAAUGGCGAUGACUUCGCACUCGACCCAAUUGAAUUAUAGUAGCAAACAAGUCGUUGAUUCAAAACAAUAGCAAACAAGAACAAAUAAGUUGUUGAUUUCAAAAUGGGCCUUUGGAUUGGCCUUCGUAUUGCAUAAAUAAUGACCACCCCAAAUCACUUAAUUGGUUAAUUUGUGGUUAAUGAUAAUUGGUCAUCAUUUGUAUUUUGACAAAACGGCGGUUGAUAUCAAUUAACCUUAAAUUAGGGUCUAAGUGUUCAUUGAUUUUUCCUCACUCAUGCACCAUAUCUCACCAUUCCUUCAACAAGUACAAACAUAUACUGAAAUUCAAUAUGUAUCUAAGUUAAUGGGCAUUGUUUCUCACUAUAAUCAAACAAAAUUAAGUGAAUUAAUAACAUGUCACUUAAUUAAUUCACUCGAAAAUGGGAUUAAUUCACUGAAAAUGGGUUGAUAUACUUAAAAAUGAUUCAUAAUCAAAUGACGUUCAAUUGACAUGAUUUAGGUGCCAUUAGAAAGUUUAAAAGUCUCAAUAAUCGAAGCGUUAUUACAUAUAUAUGAUAUAUGGAAUUUUUUUUUAAAUAUAUUAAAUUGUUGAAUCUGGUGAAUCUCACGCUAAGUACCACAAAUUUAAAAUGAAAUUUUGUCAAAUUCGACACAUGCUGCUGGUGACCAACCGUGAGCUCGACGGCACUCACCCACCGGUGAGUUUUGUGUUUCCCAGGGAAAACAAAUCUUUGUCAUUUUUUGGCUCUAUCUAUUCCCACGCGCUCUGCCACGCGUGUUUGGGACGGCCCAAUCAACGCUCGAGAAGCUUCUAUCAUCCUAUUGCCGUGACGGAACACGCGCUACUGCUCCGUGGAACAGAGCAGGCAUGGGAAAUCAUUAGCUUUGUCGCCUCCCGGGACAUCUCUCACGAGAUCAUCCCUCCCUCGCCCCCGGGAUGGGAGUGAUUGAAAAAAUGAAGAAAAUAUUUUGUUGAUAAAUCCCUUACUAGAAUAAUAAACUAAGAAUAUUAAUUACUAAUUAAAAAAUAAUGUCUAACAAGGAACGUAAAUAUUUAAUUAAAAAAACAAGUAAUGAAUGUAAAUAUGGAUUACAUGUAACAUAAAAAAAAAUGAAUCGAGAGCAAUAAACUUUUCUUAUUUGGAGCAUAAUUUGAUAUCGAAACAGUAAUACAUAUUGAAAAUCGAAAAUUCCUCUUUACUUAAAGCUUAUGGGAUAUGCUAUACACGAACUAAAAAUCUAUCUUUUUUUAAAUAAAAAAAUUUAAAAAAAAAUGGUGUUUGAUAAUAAUUGAAAUGGCAACAUAUAUAACAACAUUAUAUUGACAAAUUGAGAAGACAUUUUACGAUGGGGUGAAAUUGUAAAAUAGAAAGCAAAAUAUUUAUUUAUUGUGCGAUUUUAUUAAAAAUCGAAUGUCAGGAUUUAACGCAAAUCCACUAUUUACUAUUGAACUUGGAGUAAUAUGUACUUUGUUAUAAGAUUUAAGAUGAAUGGCUUUUACGAUAGGGGCGCAAAAUCACUCGAAAGUUUAGUAUGAACAAAUUGUUGCCGUUGUCUGCUGUCGGCGGUGGGAACAUUUGUGUGCACAGUAAUCCUUGAAAAGAUAGAUUGUUUUUUUUUGGGUCAAGAAACAAGCUGUCGUGAGGGAGUUGUGCAGCCCCGCCGGAAUGGGGACCAUGGGACCAUUACAGAACAUAGAGAUGCCCAUCGGCUAAUCAAAUCAAUGCCAUAAGCCAUAACGGGUUCCACUUUUUCUGCACCUAAGGAAGCGAUAAAAAGCGAGCGGGGAGAGGGAGAGAGUAGUACCUAGACAAGGAGAAGCCGCUGCCGAGGGGCUCCCUUGGUGAAGGCAACGUCGAGGCGGCCGUUCGGGAGGCAGGCAAACUCGCGCUCGAUGAGGGAGCAGACGGAGGAAUCGUGGAGAGGGUAGGACGGGGCCGCCACCCAGCUACCUGCUUCCGCACCCCAUACCAUAAAUGUCAAAAGAGCCAGUUUCCAGUGAAAAGAAUGUGAAGGAGAAGGAGGAGGAGGAGGAGCCCAUCUGCAUUGCCUCUGUACCCACCAACCCCAACCCAUUUUGCUUUCACUGCAACAUAGCAAGGCUCUUUUUGCGCAGAGAGAGAGAGAGAGAGAGAGAGAGUUUUUGGAUACUGGGUUACAUUUAACGUAAGUGGGUGGGGGUAAGAGAAAACCAGAGGUCAGGAGUCCACUGAGAUAAAAGGGCAUUACUGGAUUCUACUUAAUGUACCUUCUUUGUUCUUCUUUUUCUGGUUAGCUACUUAAAAUACUGGAUUUGGUUUCCAUUUUGGGUGGAGGGCGGGGCUAGGAAUUUAUAUAGGAUUUAGGAAGUUGCAGCAAAUCUGCUUUUUUUUAAAUAAAAAUAAAUAAAUAAAUAAUAAUAAUGGCUUGGCUUUGCUGGCUCAGCCGCGGUUGUAGGGAGUAGCAGCCAAUCACCACCUUUAAUGUUGACACUUUGAAUUGGUGGGGUCAACCCCCCUUGGAUCUCAAGGGGAGCAAAUGAGACCAUUGAGAUUUCUAACUUGUUUAAUUCUCUUGAAGACAUUAACAUAAAACCGUUUUGGCGACCUAAAAGUAUGUUCUUAAAAGAUUUCUACUGAAAUUUAGUCCACACAUGGAAAUCCUGAACAUAAGAAUACCAAGAAGGUAAAAUCAGGUAUAGAAUUCGAUAAAGACACUAAUCAAUUGGGGAUACAGGAUAAUGCGGGCACUGACUUGCUAGAAUAAGAAACGCAUCCAUAGAGUCCACGUUUCUAUAAAUCAAAUGGACAAGGAGUGAAGACCUUGCUGCCUUCCUUUGGUGAGCCUACACGCUUAACUAUCACCAAGAAUCUACCAAGAAUCUAAGGCAAGGACUUAGAACAGGGAGACAGUUAAUAGAAAUGUAGUGUGUGCUAACGAGGCGGUAAUCUACCAUCUGUAAGAAAUAGUUACUAGAUGUGCAAGUUUUUAUCAUUUCUCACAGAUGGGAUAGAAGAAGUUGAUGGAGCAUCAUCCACACUAUAGAGAGAAAAUCUGCACUUCCUUAGAAUAAUUCUUGAGGAGCAACAUAUAACAGGCCUAGCUCGGGGACUAAAACACAUCCAAAGCAAGAAUCCACGACUCCGCACAUCUCGCUAUUCAAACAAUGAAAAGCUUCCAUAAUAGAUUCCCACUCUAGCAGUGGCAACCAUCCACAUCAUAAUUGCGUGAAGAAGUCGCAAAAUCACGAUUGUACGAAAGAAAUGGCACGAAUACAACCAUCAAACAACUAGCUAUCAUCUUUCGGCUUUUCCCAAUAAUUUCUUUACAAUACACAAUUACAGCACCGCAUAAUAGUCAUCGUAUUCUUUAUAGUAUCCAUACCUUGAGUUUCAAAUGAGAAUGAAAGAGAAACUUAGAAGUGAAAUUUAAGAGUUCCCUUCGAUGGAUUACCAAAAAAAGUCCUAGUUCUUUCAAGACCAAAUUAACUCAAAACAUAGCAAACCAUUUCUUAUUCUCUGUUCCGCCAGUAAUCAGUAUCUGGAUUUAUCGGAUAGAGAUCAUUAGCAGAUGUAGAAGAAGCGGUUCCAGUCCACGGCCCAUCCGUGAGCAUGCUCUUAGUGAUGUUCUCGUCAACUGCCUGAUCUUCGUCACCUUUGAAAUGUUUCCUCAUGGCCUCAAUUGUCUCCUCCGUUAUGAUAGUGCCCUCAGAGUCCAGCACUGGAACAGCAACCUUGCCUUCAAGCAUGCUAACCACAGAUGACAUCGGCGGCCUGAGUGCUGGAGUCGCAUUAGUACACAGCAGAGCUACAUUUAUCAUCGCCAGCACCUCCUUUUUGUCAAAAUGAGAACCCAGCCUCUGAUCAACUAGAUCCAUCAAAUUUCCUCUCCCCUUCAAGACUCGCGCCUAGAAACAGAAAUGGAAAGGAAGAUAUUUCCCUCAAGCUACAGGUACUGAUCAGUUGUAGAAUAUGCUCAGAAUACUAAAACAGGAAGAAGGAGAUAUAUUCUGCGCUUGAUAAUUUCAUGACAAAUGCAGUUGAUAAACACCUGCUAGUUUUUCAUCUUCGUUAUAAGUUAUAUUUGGAAGGAAAAAAUCGAACAAGUCAAUAAAGAUGAAACAUGAUUUCUUUACCAAUUUUAAGUAAAAGUUAGUAAACUUAAACACUUCUUAAUCACUUACUAACAUUCACCGGUCGCAAAAAAAUUACCACCACUGCUUUAAAAUUACCAGCUCUUCUUGAGUUUUACUGGCAGGAAUUAAUUGUCAGUUUGUCAUUACAUGAAAUUGAGAAUUGUCCAUCAAUGGUUCACACCAUUCAGUGCCUUUUACUCUCAAGUCUAGUUUAACAAGAAUUACCUGAUUAUGCAACUUAGGUAAAAAUCAGAUUUAACAGGGACUAAUAAUGAUUGUUUUUUUACCAAAAAAAAAAUAAUGAUUGUUUUAGCUACUGAUAGGCUUACUCAAAGCACAAUAAAAUCUAAUUUUUGGACUCCAUUACAUAAAUGUGAAAAAGUCAAAUCUAAAUUGACAGUAUAUCAAUAUUUGGGUCAAGCAGGGUCUUAAAAACUUUUCAAAUCCAAUACUAAUUGUCAAAACUGCAAAGUACUCGACCAACUUGUUUGGCGCUAAUGAAACUACAGGGAGUACGAAUGUCACGCAUAAAAUUAUAAAGACUAAAACAAAAACAACCCAAAUUUUAAAGACCCCAAAUUUCAAUGAAUAGAAUUGUCUUCAAUCCAAAAAAGAAUCUACAUGAUUCCUUCUUUCAGGAGGCAGCCCAUUGUUUCAAGUUUCAAUGUGCCACUAGGUAAAUUCCAGUUUCAGUUUCUUAGAACCAGACCAAUCCGUGACCACCCCCACCCCAAGUCGCUCAUCUUGAGCAUGAACACCAUAGGCCGGCUACUGCAAGGAUUACUUGCUCCUUUCAAAUUCAGUAUAGACCAACAUGACAAGAAUAAUUGGAUUAAUUUUAAAGAACAAAUUGCACUUAACGGCAUGACAAUUCGUUAAACAGGUUUCAAAAGCUGGUAACUGUAACUCUCAUUUGCAACCAUUAAAAGUGCAUAUGAGGAGUUCUAUACUAUGUUCACACUUCCUUAAUCCAUCUCUCAACCGGCACAAGCAGAGAUUUAAAUAUCAUAAUAAGAAACUUUUGAAUGCUAGAGUUAAUUACCCAAUCGAGUAGAUAAAAGCAUUUCUCCUUCUUUUGGUAACUGGUGUUGCUCCGGCCACUAACAACUUCUAAGGCAACAAUGCCAAAACUAUAGAUGUCGGCUUUUUCAGUGAGGUAACCAUGCAUUGCAUACUCUGGUGCCAUAUAUCCACUGCAUAACAAGAAAAGAGCUGGUGUUUGCAACAUGGAAAAUAUCUUAAAUAGCACUUACUUAAAAUUUUCCAAAGAUUGUCCCUCUUAUCUUCCUAAAAUACAAAAUAAGGAGAUAUUCCUAAUCAUGACACCAUGGUCUCAAGAGUCAAGUAAAAAACAAGUGCAUUCUAGAAAUUUUUUAAUAGGAUUCCGCUGAGAAUAUUUCGAAAAGAAAAAAAGAAGAAGAUAUUUGUGGUUUUUAUAUAACUUUUGGGGUACAUAUAGCUUCGUAGUUGGAAAACAAGUGCAUCCUUAUAACUUGGAAAAGAGGCUCAUUAACUGAAAAAAAGAGUUGGAAACAGGCUGAGACAAGGUCUGAACACAUAGGCAGCAACUGUAGGAGGAUUCCUAAAGCCAAGUCCAGGGGCAAAAAAGCUUUUUAAUAUUGUUGUUGUUGAUGUGUAGCAAUAGAAAAACAGCCUUACAUUUUCUCACUAGCUUUCUAACCCUUGCGAUUCAUGUGCUUGCUUCGUAAUUUUGGUUUUAUUCUUUUGUAAUUCACUUGAAAGUGCGCUAUGUUUAUGUCAUGUGAAAUCUAUUUAUGAAAAAUGGCACUUUUCAUGCAAAGGAAUAUUUAUGGAUAAUUUACAUUGAAAUCCUUAACGUAUAGUAGUUGAUCUUGUUCAUUGAAUUGUUUUACAUUAAGUAGAUUGUCACUGGAAAAACAUAAUAAAAACAAUUAAAUUACAUGUCAAUAUAGGUUAUUAAAAAGUAUUGCAUCAUAAUUGUGUCGUAAUAUUUCCAUAUGCUUUUUGCAUGAGAGAAUUUAUGGUAGGGCAUACUGAAUUACCUUCCGAAAUGUUUUUCUUGACUAUUCUUAAUGUAUUAAAUGAAGCGUGUAGAAUACGAUCAAUCUUUUGAUUAAUAUCUCAGGUAGGCAGAUAAAAAUUUUCCAGAAACUGUAUUAGAUCAUCUAAAUUUGUUGAGAUGAUGGAACUGUUUGAUGUUAUAGUUAUUUUUCGUUAAGCAAUAGAGUUAGUAGAAGGAACUUACAGUUCUAUCUUUCCUUAAUCAGUCACAUUCUUUUUAUGAACAGGUUGACUUUCUACACAUGUCAAUGCAAACGUUUGAAACAUUUAAACAUGCUUAUUAUAUAUUUUUCUCUGUGUAUACAACUUUUAUAUGCAAAAAAAUAUUUUCCUUAUACAGUAAUCAACAGAAACAUAGGCGAAUUAGCUCCAUUGCCUAUUAUAUCAACUUAUAGCCAAAUUAACAAUUACAUAAGUUGCUAUUAAUGGUAGAGUAUGUAAUAUAAUUAACAUUUUUUCCUAAUUAACAUGAAGAGUGGUGGGAGAGGCAUGGAGCUUUGCGGUUAAGCCCCAUUUGUUGAGCACCAUGCUUUGGGAUGAUGUGAGUCAACCACAAAGCUCCAUUCAACUCACUUUUCUUAAAUUAGACGAGAUUUUUCUACUCCAUUCUUUUAUGUUGUCACUGACACCUAAUUAGGUUAACAGGAACAUAAGACAAGAAACUUACUAAGUUCCAGCAAUCUUGGUGCUAAUAUGUGUGUUGUCCUCCUCAUCAAGCUUUGCUAAACCAAAAUCUGAUAUUUUUGGGUUGAGAUCCUUAUCCAGUAAAAUAUUAGUAGCUUUAAUGUCUCUAUGCACAAUCUUUAGCCUUGACUCUUCAUGAAGAUAUGCCAACCCCCUGGCAAUACCCACACAUAUCUUGUGUCUUGUCCCCCAAUCCAGCUUUAACUGAAAUUCUUCAGGACCUUCAAUUGUAUCAGAAGACAUCAAAACUGCUUUACUGCCAUGUCAUUAACUGAAGACAGUGAAGCACAAUGUGAUAUCAAAUUACCAAAUAAAGCGCGAGCAAGACUGUUAUUUUCCAUGUACUCGUAAACCAGCAAAAGUUGAUUUCCUUCAAUGCAGCAUCCAUAGAGUUUCACAAGAUGUGGAUGUUGAAGAGCAGAAAUCAUCCCAAUCUCAGUCACAAACUCACGAUUUCCUUGCUUUGAUUUUGACGAAAGCUGCUUCACUGCUAUAGUGGUGCCAUCUGACAGAAGACCCUGCAAUUGAACUUUGGCAUAAGAUUUAUGCUGUGAAGAUUUAGAUACAUUGAAUGCUGCUUUCUACAAUUCUUUUCUGUUGGGAAUUGGAGGAAGUUAGUUCACCGAUUUUCCAGCAUACCUUGUAUACAGAACCAAAACCACCUUCUCCAAUCUUAUUGGCAACAUCAAAAUUGUUUGUGGCAGCUUUAAUCUGUCGCAAGGUAAAUGAACCAAUUUGCAAUGCUAGAACCUUCAAAUCUACACAACAUUUUGGAGCUUUUAAGAAUUUGGAGGAGUCAACAGCUAAAGUGUGCAAUCUACUAUCUAACAAAGACAUAGCAAUUCCUUCUCAAUGUACCAGAAAACCUCAUUGUAACUAUUUUGUCUGAGCAAGUUCAGGACAAUAUAUCCUAACAUCUUGAAAUUUAUUUUCUAGGAAACUCUGGCUUCAAUUGGCAGUAUGUACUUUCAAAAAUGAAAUGAGAAUGUCCUCAAGGUAUUUAGUAGUAGGGGAAGAGAAAAAUCAUAGAAAAAACCCACUUUGGAAAUGUAAGGCAAGGUUUGUAUGUCUUAACAUCUUGUAUAUCCGAAGUUCCAGCAUUUGUUUUUCAUGUCUUGAAACAUAGACUUAGUAUAUAUAUGGUCGAUUGUGCCCCCAAGGAGACCCAACACACACACAUCUAAGAAACAAUCUAUCUUCCUCUUCCUAUAAAUAUCUAUCCCUUCAUUUUUAGGAUUUCUAAAUAAAAAUUUAGUUCGUUGAGGGUAACAAAUGGAUUGAUGACACUUUAGCUGUGCUAUGGCUUAACAAUUUUUAUUUUCUUUUUGUGUCAAAUUGAAUUUCCAAUGUAAUGCACAAAUGUCGUGCAUCAAAAGUUUUACAGGGAACUGUGUGACCUAGUUCCAGUAAGGAUGAUGCAUUGGGAUUCCCCUUUCCCCCCCCAUAAAAUAUUUGAAGUACGCCCCCCCCCCCCCCAAAAAAAAAAAAAAAAAAAGGAAUAGGGAAGGGGGAAAUGUAUUCAGAAUGCAUAACAUUCUAUUUCUUGAUAGAUGCAAACAAAAUAACAAAGAUUCCAGGUAAGCAACUACCUUGUGCCAUUUCAUCUUCACGUCCAAGACAUCCUCUCCACCAAAGGAUAACCGGGAUAAGAACAACUACCAAAACUAUAGCAACCACAAUCCCGACAACUGUACCAGCAGAUAUUAUGGCUGACUCUUGUGGGAUUUCAAAGUCUGCAGUGAAGAAAGAACAACAUAUGUUUACCCAAAACUGUUCCAAGUAAAUGAGGUAGGCAUACAUGCUGAAAAAUAUCGGUAGCUUCUUGGUGAACACAGAAACCAACAGAUGGGACAGCACACUAAUUGAGAAUCAAGAGGACAUGAGAAAUGCUCAGAACACUCCACAGAAACUAUGAGCACAGUAAAAUAUCAUCUUUGGAACAUGUAAUACUAAAUACAAAGGGAAAAAGAAAGUGGAAUAUGUUCUUCAUUCUCAAGGCUGUACUAUAUAAUACAGGCGCAAUGGUCGUUGAUUUGCAGCAGGAAAGCAAACAAGGCUAUAGUUUCAUAGUCUGAAUGGAAGGAAUAAAGAUACAUGGUGAAAACAUGCCCAUAUAGAAAGAAAGCAAAGCAAACCAUAGCCAAAUUUUGCCUCUUUAGAGACGAAAAAAUAUAUCCUAGUCAGCUCCUAUGGAAAUUUAUCUGAUCAACUGUAACAGAUGCGAAUGGCCUGAAUUUAACAGUGGACAUUUGUGACCAAACCAAGUAAAUGAAUAGCGUAUUGAUGACUUCUGGUGCAAGACCAAAAAGGGUACUUUUUUUUUCCAAUAUGAAUACGAGUAACUUUCUCAAUAGAAAAGCACCAAGUGAAACAUGGAAGCGUCUGUCUGCAUACCAGGAUAGACAGAGAUAGCAGAUAUAAGAGGACCAUAGACUCCUCUUCUAGGUAUAGCAGUGGUCCCUUUCCCAGCCCAAUAUAAGCGUAUCUCCAGAGUGCCAUUGGUCACAUUGACAGUAAAAUUUCUUAUGACUGGCUUUCCAGCUCCACCUGCUUCAAUCUCAAUGUUGAAAUCUUCCCACACCAAUAUCCCCUGAAAUAAUAUUUACUCUGAUUCAAGNNNNNNNNNNNNNNNNNNNNNNNNNNNNNNNNNNNNNNNNNNNNNNNNNNNNNNNNNNNNNNNNNNNNNNNNNNNNNNNNNNNNNNNNNNNNNNNNNNNNAGUCAAUAAAGAUUUUAAGGUUACAAUCGUCAUCAUUUUGAAUGAAGUUCAAUGCUAUGUAGAUAAAUAAUUAAAAUGCAGGUCCUUGGAAAUCCAAGUCUCUUGGUGGAAAAUAUAAUCUCAAACAUACACAUUAUCAACUGCCGAGCUUGCGAACAAGUUGCUGCAGAGAAAAGACAAAAUCAACAUUCAGUAGAGAAAUGGAAAUCAUGUACCCACAACCGCACAUUUGAGGGGAGCCCUGAACUUAGAUUGAAGAAAGUAGUACAUACACAGCAGAUAGUGGUUGACAUUCUGAGUCUUCAGCAGUGAACUUGUUGUAUGAUAGGUCACUACACAGAGAAAUAGUCAACCGUUUCCAAAAUAUCAGCAUUUUGAAGAGAACACUCAAAGUCAUUCCAUCAAAUGAUCAUUGUGUACAAAAAUGCAGAUCAGUUGCAAAAUAUGGACAGGUACAGCAAGUUGAAAGGCAAAAACACCACAAGAUGAUGAAAGUAAUAUUUUAUCUUUAUUCAAGAUAUCUCAUCUUAAAUAAUUAGAAGUAGAAAGACUAACUGGACUAACUGGAGUCAAUGGAAACUUUAGAACUAGUUGGAGUGCAUAAAUACAUUUUUACCCAUCAAUGGUAUAACAGACAUGAUGUAUAAGGCAAAGAGGAAAAAAUAGAACUGUGAUACCAACUACUACUAAGUCAGAUCAUCUUAUUAGAAAAUAUCCAGACCACCAUAAAAAUGUUUAAUCUACCUCAUAAGAGCUUCAUUCUUACACCCAUAAGAUAAUAUCAACUUUCUCCAAGGUACAAUCAUGUUGACUGAAGAGAUUUUCAAAUACACAAGCCCAUAAAUAUUAUUAUCAGCAAGAAAUAGCCCAAGCAACUAAUCAUGUUCUGCAGGUGCAGGAGAUGUGUUAGACAAACUUUCAAAGACGAUUUAUACAAAGUAAAAAUUUUCCAUGUUUUUUUUAUCAUUCCAAGAGGUCUGAAAAAUAUCUAGUGCUGAGAAGGCCUUUUUGUAAAGCAGAAAGCGGGGCUAACUAGAAACUUCCAAGACAAUCCACUUUGUAUUCUUUCAUACAUACCAUACAAUUCAGCCUCUUGUCUUACGUACAACUUUCCAAUUAACAGGAUCCCAACAAGCAGAAAGAUACUUAUAACUCUGUAGGCUACAAACCAUAAAGACGCAAGAUGGGACAGCACAGUUGCUUACUACUGUGGCAGAUUAGCCAGAUAGAGCUAGAAGCAAAUUUGUGAUUAAACAAGACAUGUUCUUCAGGCAGCGAAGCUUACAUAUUAUCUGCUUCCAGGAUCCAAUCAGGGACUGCUCCAGUCAAUUGGUUUCCAGUCAGGUAGCUAAACAAGAUUAUUUGAUUGAGUCAGUUCCUCAUGUACUUUAUGCACUCAAACUGAAAGAUUUUAGAGUUACCCCUUGAAAAUGCAUUAUUUAGCAAAUUAAAAGCAUUUAAUUGUUAGGUGUAGAAAAAAAAAUCAGUUAACUCAUGAUAUCAAGAUAGAGCUUUCAGCUGGAGAUGAAAGAUAAAGGAAAUCAAUAAAAGAGGAAAAAUUUGAUCCUUGCAAAACUUGGAGAGCACGGGUUGCCAUAACACUAGUACAGAAAGCUGAACUUAAUGAAGGACACUAUCAUACUAGCUUAUAAACUAUUUCGUCACGAUGAUGUUCUUGUCCUUCUAAGACAUAAAAUAAAUAAUGAGGGAAGAUGUGCCAAUGUCAAACAGUCAAUCGUUGAGCAAAAAGAUGAAAAGAUGCGCCAUUGUUGAACAGUCCAGGAAGCUUAGGACUACAGUUUCUCAUCAUUUCAAGACAAGGGACAAGACAUCAAGGCCCUAUCUGCAGACCUUGUAGAUAGCACAUAAGAACUGCACUCACGAAACAAUCUAUGGCCAUUGUUGUGGAAAGAACCAAAUAGAGAGCCUAAGGACUUUUGCUAUCCUUAAUCUCCUAUACAUCAUAAGACUGGCACGCAGGACAUGCAUUAAGAACAUACGCAUACAACUGUCAAAUAGUUAAGUAACACUGACCCAUUCAUCUCUUUCAACAUAAACAAGUAACUCUAUUGAAACUAGUGGAUUGUGCUCUUUAAGCAACAGAAUAUCAUCGAUCUACAUCUGCUCCAAGACUAGAGUCCCCUCAAAAUAAUUAGUCGACAACAAACAUAAAUUCAUAACCCAAAUCAUUGUAAAGUUCGAAUGGUGAAUUAAUAAGCAUUCAAGACACAAGGACUUUAAGGGAUAUAAACUGGAUGUGUUAUCGUGGUCUAAGUUCUAUUGAUAGCUCAACUACUUUACAGUAAGAGUUGCCUAUAGCUUGGCCACCGGAACAACUUGCGAGUUUAGAUUCUUAUCUAAUAUACAAAAAAAGAAGCCUAAGUCCAGCAUCAAAGUACUUACAUAUGAUCUACUUUUCCCAGGCUGCUAAAGUUGCGAGGAAUUUCGCCAAUCAGUUUGUUGAAGCUGAGGUCCCUGCAAAACAAUUAAAUGGAAGGGAGACAAAUAUAAUGAGAAGAUAGUUUUAACAGACUCCCAGUGGACACUCUUUGAGUAUACUUUGGAGGAUUGUGCAAACAUAGACAACAUCAAUGAACCUACAGGUCCAGUUCAGAUGUUUCUACAUACAGGUCAACUGCCUGGUGCCUAUGCUUUCUACUAGACAUUCCUUUCCAGAGGCAUUCAUUGCAUAAAAUCCAUGUGCAUCAAGUUGGUCACACGCCAUACAUAUACAAAAAUUCUGCUGUAAUUCAAAUUUGCAACUUGCAAAUUUCAAUUUAUAUAACUAGAAAUGCUACUCCGGCAACAGAUUAUAUGCAUCCCGUGGAAUGCAACAUAUUAUAGUUCAAAUUGGGAGAUUCCAUUUAUCAAAUAGGACCAAAACUAAAGCUAAUCAUAAUUUAUUGAACAGAUCUCCUCCAUAACAGUUUAUUCAUGAAUAAAGGGAUGAUGAAUAAAUACUAGGAUGCUAAAAGAGUAGAAUAUCAGCUUGAGUGAAUAAUAAAAUAAAAAAUAAGAUGAGGAUUUCAAAAAACAGGAAAGCAUGAUUCUGCAGUCCAAUAUAAUUAUCAAUGGAGAAAUUACAACCUAGUCCAACCAAAAGAAAAGGAAAUGAAGUAUAUGAUAAGCCACACAGAACCACAGAAAUUCGGUUAUUCAAAAUGUCAACAAAGAAUAAGCAUUGAUGGCUGAUGAUGACAGAAUGGCAAAAAACUGCUGUUAAAUGUAGCAUUUAUAAAAUCUUUUAUAAAAUCUUACAGAGAUGACCAGAUGAAUAAGAAGAAUUGGCUUGUGUAAAGAUGCAUUUGAAGCCAUGCCCUCGUUCAAACAAACAAUAUUAUGGCCGACAAAUAUACGACAGUCAAGAAUAAAACUCCAGUUAGAUAUUAUGCGGCUGAGAUUUGACAAUGUAAACCACUAAAAGGAAGAUUUCCAGAUGAUCAACCACUAGAAGCCUCCAUUGAAGUUAUUAAAAUGGGCACCACAAGAAUUCUUGAGGUUUCUACUCCUGGGGAAGUGAAAACAAAGAAAGAAAAGGUCCAUAUACUUCUGUGCAAAACUGUAUAUUCUAUGGCAGAGGCCACAAUCACCAGACACUUAAAUGCCACAUCGCGAUUCACAAUUCAUCAAUAUCAACAGAAAAGAUCAAAACACCAUUGCAGUCAAUAAGGGACCUUCAAGCCAUCUUAAAUGGUUCCUUAACUGCAGCCAAUAGUCAACCAUAAACUAGUAGAAAUUUCAGUCAUUAAGGGUAAAAUUAUCUAUUCUGCUUGAAAUAGGAAAAGGAGAAAGCCGUUUUCCACUCACAAUAUUUUUAGCUGUGUCAUUCCUGCUAGAUAACCAGGUAGCUCUCCUGUGAGAUUGCAGCUCCUCAGAAUCCUACAAGAAAAAAGCACUGAUGUUAUCACGUUGCUAAGAUGAUUUGGCUUUUUUGCAUAAAGUAAACUAUCUGUGCAGGAGCAUCGGUCUCACAGUCUCUCAAUAAUUGUACUGCUAAGUUGUGGAACUGGGGACUCAGGUCCCUUGAGGUCACUUAUGCUCCUGCAUAUCAAAAUCAAAUGGGGAACUUUAUUUGAUUGAUACCAUAUUAAAGAACGGAGAGAUCAGAUCAAAAUGCCAAACUUCCAUACUGACAAGUGAAACAAAUUCUUCAAAAGUGUGAUCCCGGAGGGAAUUGGCCCUUGCAAUCCACUUGCUUGAAUAGCCCUGAGAAGACAAUUCACAUAUUGAAUUAUUUUGUGGGUAUAUCUAUGUAGACCGACUUAAAAGGUGAAGAAGCAUUAAGCCUUACAGUCUGCUGAGAUUUGUCCAGUUCUGAAUAAAAUCAGGUAUCUGUCCCGUGAAAUUAUUAUCACUGAGUCGCCUACAGUGCAUUAAACCACAAGAUUCAUAUGAAGAAAAAAGAAUAGAAGUAUCUAGAUAUAUUAGCAGAGUUUAUGGAAUCUGGAAACUAACAGCUCCUGCAAUGCCGUCAAUUCAGCAAAUCUCGGAGGCAGCUCCCCAGUGAAAUUAUUUGACGAAAGGUGCCUGGAGCAAGAAAACCCAUUGGUCAAAUGAACUUGAAUGCUGAUCUCUUAACAAAUACGACGUCAUCAGCGAAUACAAAGUGGAUGCCUAAUGCAGAAAUUCGCAUGAAGAGACUCACAGUAUAUGUAGCUGGGACAAGUUCCCCAGCUCUGGAGGCAGAUGUCCGGAGAGCUGAUUGAUCUCGACGACUCUGAGCGGAAGAAUGAGAGUCAAUAUCUUCAAACAUCAACCAAACUUAACACAGCGAAGAGGCCAAACGCGAGCGGCGGGAUGAGUGAUCGCUUACAAUUUGAAAAGUGUGGAUAUGUUUCCCAGCUCCUUCGGGAUUGGACCAGUCAAUCGGUUUCCGAGUACAGAACUGCACCCCGCGUUUCCCCCAAUCAGUAGAAGAUACACUCGCAAUAGAGAGAGAGAGAGAGAGAAGCACAUACAUGUUGACCAACUUCGUAGAGCCCCAUUCUGUAGGAAUCGUGCCGUUCAGGAAGUUCCGGGUGACAUCACUGUUUACAGAGACAGAAGACUGCGACGAUGACGACGAAGAAGAAGAAGAAGAAGAAGAAGAAGAAGAUCGAAAAUGGAGAGAGAGAGUGCUCACAAGUUCUCGAGAAAAGGCAAUCUGGAGAGUCGAUGCGGAAGAGUGCCGGAAAGAGACUGCUCGUUCAGAACUCUGUUUUCACAAUGACACCAAGGCUUUAUUCUAUUGUGACUUGUUUUCAAUAUAAAAAACAAUCAUGUUAUUCUAUUAUCAAUCGUAAUUGAUGAAAUAAAUCACAGCAUCAUUGAAAUGAUAAUUAUAUAACAAUUCGAGCAUUAAUCCAUCUAAUUAACAAUAAACAUCAUUAUACGGUGAAUAAUACAAAAUCAAAUUACGCCAAUUUGGAUAAUCAUACUUAAUGGUAAGCAAUUGUUAUUGCUGUAUUAAUAAUUUUAAUACAAUACAUAAUCAUAUAUUAUCAAGAUGAUAUUUACCUAUUGCAUUUGUAAAUACCGCUAAUUUAAAUUGGGAGUGUUAUCGCUUUACCAAAAAGUUUAAAUAUCUCCUUCUUGUUUGCUUUUUAGAAUAGUACCUUUAGCCAAUUACCUUAAAUAAAACUAUCCCUAUAUAUAUAUAUAUAUACUUUUUUUUUUAGGUAAAUCAUUGUCAAAAUUGAAAAUUUGACGAGAAGUUGAUCACGUAACUAUGACACAAUUGAAAUCACAAGUGAGCGACAUCUCUUUUGUUCCUUCUCUUCCCAUUUCAUCUAUAUGUUUUUUGAAUUUCAAAACUAGAAUAAUUAUUUGAAAUUGCGGUUUACUUUCACCGUAAGUAACUGUUACUAUUGUAUUAAUAAAUUUAAUAUCAUAAAUGAUCAUAUAAUGUGAGGAUGAUAAUUGUAAAUACCACCAAUUUAAAUUGAAACACUGUUGCUCUACCGAAAUCUUUAAAGAUAUCCUUCUUGUUCAAUGUUCAGAAAAAGCACCUUGAGUCAAAUAAAAGCUACCCAUAUUUUGUUCAGAGGUGAAUUGUCAUCAAAAGCGAAAGUUUGACGAGAAGUUGAUCAUAUAACCACGACAUGAUAGAAAUUACAAAUGAUGGCAUCUCUUCUGUUCUUUCUCUACCCACUCCAUCUUUAUGGCUUUGAAUUUCAAAACGAAAAUAAUUAUUUGCAAGUGCAGCUUAUUUUCAUGGGUAAGUUUCAAUUGCGAUCCUCGAGUUCAAUGGAUUUUGCAAGCCGAACCGUGAUUUCAAUUCCCUAAUCCAAAGAAUUUCCUUUUUUUUUUUGUACUCAAUCCAUUUUGACCCAAAAAUAUAGGCCGAUCUUUUCUGGUGAACUACUAACAUGGUGCCCAAAGUAUCAGCUUCGGGUUUGCCACGUCAGCCAAUUAACCUUACAACAAGAUAAAAAAAGAUUGGUGCAUAAUCAGGUGAUUGAUCUCAAAGUAUAGCUAGGAACCUAUGAUUGUAAAAUUCACGAAAUUGUGAUUUUUUUUCCAAUUUAUUCGGAGAGAGAGAGAGAGAAAUACAUGCUGGUGACAUGGCAAACGGUGGUGUUGUCAGCGCCGCCGAUGGAAGUGCAGCUGCAGUUGACGUCAUUAGUAGUGUCGUCAGGCAACUUUUUGUCACUCCAUGUACUUGUUUUGUUGCAUGGAUCUGUUUCGAAAUCCCAGUUCCUUUUCCCUAAUGCGUCUGCUAUUUCUCUCAACGCAUCCACUGGAAGAGAAAAGAGGCGAACAAGGCAAAGAGACCGCCCAAUAUAUCAUGCGUAAGAAGCACAAAACGAUGUCAGAUUUGCCUGCGUGCACCUGAGGUUGAAUGCAUGCAUGAACAUCUUUCUAUCCGUAAAAGAAAGGAAGCACAAGCAAAUACAGCUUGGUAAAGGAGCCGGCCAAAAACAGGAGGAGGAACAAGGAACAGUAUGAGGAAAGCAAUACAAAGAUUGGUGGGUUUCACCUUCAUUGUCGGGCAGACAAGUGGUAGCGGUAGCGAAGUUGGUAGUGCAUAGAAGGACGAGCACCGAGAAGAGAAUCACCAUCAUUAUGAGAGAGAUACACACAAACAUACACACACACACAUAUACAUACAUACAUAUAUAUAUAUAUAUAUAUAUAUAUAUAUGAUUGAUAGUGAGUGGUUCUAGUUUCAUGCUUUUAUGAAGGAAAAGAGGAAGGGGGGACAAAGACGUUUCGCUCUUGUGUGUCUACAUAGGAGGAGAGAGAGUGGCGUGUGAAAGCAAGAGAGACAACCUAAAGUGCAUCUACAUAGGAGGAGAGAGAGUGGCAUGUGAAAGCAAGAGAGACGACCUAAAGUCUUCCCCUUAUAGAUAUUUAUCUGGGAAGAAAUGUCAUAAAUGAUCCAAUUAGUUUGUUCAAUAUAGUCCCUAAAAUUUAGUCUAGUGUGCAAUGCCAUUUAGUUUAGCCCGUGAAUUAUAUGGAAAUGUUCAAUAUUAUCAUUCUAUUAAUUCAAGUUUAGAGAUUACAUUGAAUAAAUCAUAAGUUCGUUGACUAUAUUUAACAUUAUGAUCAAGUUCAUGGAUGACACUGAAUAAAUUAAAAAUUCAAGGGUUAUAUUACAUAUCAUUUUGGUCCCAAGCUCAACCAAGACAGAGAGAUGAUUGUUAACUGAGCGGUCCAACUACAUGCAUUUAUGUAGGAAAAGAGGGAGGGAGGACAAAGACUCUUUGCUCUUGUACAUCUGCAUGGGAGAGUGACAUUGAUGUGUGAAAGUGAGAGAGACGACCCGAAUCUUCCCCUUAUAGAUAUUUGUCUAGGGAGAAAUGUCAUAAAUGAUUCCUAAAUCUUAGCUUAAUGUGUAAUGUAGCCUAUCUACUUUUGAUUUAUUCAAUAUAAUUCAUAAAACUUAGUUUAGUAUGUAAUGUCGUUCAAUUUAGCCCAUGAACAUUCCAAAUGAUAUAUCUAUGGGGUUUUACCAUUUGUUUGUCACAAAUAUACUGAUUUGUGGCUUCUUAUGGUAUUAAUUCAAUUUAACAGAAAUUAACGGAGGAUAAAUUUACCAUGAAUAUAUCGGUUUGAGAUUUUUAAUGAUUAAAAAAUUAGUUUAAAAUAAAUUUAUUAUAACUACAUCAAUUUGAGAUAUUUCAUAAUAUCAAUCUAAAAAAUAUAUACGCACAUCUAGAACGUGUGGAGAUGCAUGUGUCCACACACAACUCUUUGUUUUGGCUUCUCGAAAGUACAAUAAUUUUGACCUUUUCCACCAAACUUAUACCGAAUCAAAUAAUUUGAGAAUUGUUGUGGCAAACCAAAAGUUUCAAGUGCUUGUAAUUUUUUAUUUUUCAGAAAGAGCCAAAUCAUCCGCGUUAGCCGCCGGUAAAGAUUUGGAAAAAAUAUUGACUUUUUGCAUAGUCAUAGAAAAAGGCUGAGAUUUUCCAGUCAGAGAGUACUACUCAUGGAGCCGUCUAUCUAGACUUGGUCGAAUUUGACGGCAGAGACUACUAAUUAUUGCUUUGGCCUAACAUGGCCCUCUUUUAUCUCCGUUCCACGUUAGCAGUUGUAGCCAUGACCCGCAGAAAAGCCGCGACACGUGAUAUAAAAUUUAGAUUUUUAAGUUAUGCUAGUUUUGCGAAGAAUAAGUAUUUUUUAUAAAAAAAAAUUCUAAAAGUAAUCGUUUGUAUCGUUUGAAAUAAUUAAUUAAUGAAAAUCAUUUUCUUUAUUAACAACAAUUUAUAUCUAAAUACGUUUUUGGGCGAUGAAAAUAUUCUUUGUUUAUACAGUUUUGUAAGUGAGAGCCUUAAGCAAGACGUCAUCUUGUACGCAUGUCUGGUCAAAUUAACGUCAAGUCAUUUAGGGUUGUUUUAAUAUUGUCAACCAACGCAAUUAUAUUUAAAACGGUUUAGGAGAGUUUUGAAAAUUCCAUGUUUUGAAAAUUCCUUGAAUUCUAAGUAUGUGAGAUGUGUUUGUUUUGACAAAAUAAGUGAUUCAAAAAAUAUAUUCCGAAAAAUGAUCGCUUAUAUCAUUUAAAAAAAUUAAUCAAUGGAAAAUAUUUUCAUAAUUCAUAACAAUCUAUGCCUAAUUAUUUUCAUAGGCAAUGAAAAAAAUUUCUAUUAAUUUAUUUUUCUAAAUAAUAUAAACGAUUAUUUUUUGACAAAUGUUUUUCAAAUCACUCAUUUUUUAUGAAACAAACGUGCCCGUAAUAUUGUGCAGAUGUAGACAAUUUUCAAGCCCAUCGUGUUAUUCCUAUGAAGUCGAUCGACCAAUGUAUCUAAGUAAUUGAUAUAUCUUGAGCAAAAGGUCAAACACUCUCACAAUGUAACCCUCAUUCCUCUGCAUGACAUUUGUUGCGAAAACCGCACUUGAACCCCGUUAAAAGCCUAUGACGUAUAGCUUCGAUAGCAUCCAUGAAUAAAAGAUAUGAGGAGACUGCUAAACUGAGAGAAGGAUUACCUUUCAAUAGGAUCCAUGUAUAAAAAUUACACCGGUCCGUCAAGUUUGCUUCAUCUACUAGGAGAAUAAUCAAGCGAACCAUAAUGAUGAAGAUUCCGGAAGGAAUAUUUUUUUUGUGCAUUUCAUCUACUAAGCAACGGCGACGAAGAAGAAGAAGAAGAUUGAAAAUGGAGAAAGGGAAGAUGGAGAGAGAGGGACUUACAAGUUAUGGAGGCGGAAGAGUGCCGGAAAGAGACUGCUCAUUGAGAACUCUGUUUUCACAAUGACACAAAAGGCUUCGUUCUAUUGUUAUUUUUAUUUUAUAAAAAAAAUGUUAUUCUAUUAUUAAUAGUAAAUGAUGAAAUAAAUAAUAGCAUGACUAAAAUGAUAAUUAUAUAACAAUUCGAGUAAUAAUUCAUUUAAUUAGCAAUAAACAUCAUUGCAUAAUACAAAAUCAAAUUACGACAAUUUAGAUAAUCGUACUUAAUGUUAAGCAACAAUUAUUACUAUAUUAAUAAUUUUAAUACGAUAAAAUGAUUACAUACGGUUAAGAUGAUAUUUGCUAUUAUUUAAUGUUUUAAUACAAAACUCGAGUGGCCAUGGACGCACUCGUAAACACGACUAAUUUAAAUCGGAAUGUUGUCGCUUUAUCAAAAACUUUAAAGAUUUCAUUUUUAUUGGAUUGUUCAGAAAACACCUUUACCCGAUUACCCUAAUAACACUACCCCUAUUAUGUUUAGAGGUAAAUCAUUGUCAAAACUGAAAGUUUGGCAACAAGUUGAUCAUGUAACCUUGACACGAUAGAAAUUACAAGUGGGCGACAACUCUUUUAUUAUUUUUCCUUCAAAUUUCAUCUCGAUGAUUUUGGAUUUCAAACGAAAAUAACUAUUUGCAAAUGCGGUCUUAUUUUCACGGGGUAAGUCUUGAUUACGAUCUUUGUAUUUAGUGGAUUUUGCAAUCGAACAGCCGAAGGGAACCCAAUGAAUUUCCAUUUUCUUUUUGCACUCAAUACAUUUUGACGCAAAAGUAUAGGCCAAUGUUUCCGGUGUCAAUUGAUAUGUAAUUUUCGUGGAUGUUUGUGGAAUACCCAUUGGAGAAGAGGAGGGGACAGGGAAGGACGUACGAGGCUGAGCAGACGCAGGAACCGUCCGACCGGAAUUGGUGGUCGGCGCCAAGCCGGCAGGACAGCUGGCGGUGGCAGGAGCCGUGCGCGCCCGUCGGUCGGCCAAGCUUAAAAGCGAGAGAGCGGUGUGAGUUGAUGAGGGGUUCGGACAGAUUGAAAUCGGUGGGAGAGAGUGAGCCUAGAGAGAGAGAGGCAGAUGCGUAGAGAGCGAGAGCGAGAGCGGGGAACGAGAGGGAGCCUCGGCCGAUACCGCGGUCGCGCACGAACCCUGUCCGACGACCACGGCCGGUCGACAUCCUCAAGCCAAACAGCUAAACCUUUCUUUUUUCCUCUUUUUCUGCCCUGUUUUUGGGCACGACGGGCCGGAGCUCGCGACCGUCCGGCUCACGCGAACUCCGGCCCCGACCAUCCUUUGUUUGGCUGCUGCGUGUGUCGUUGUUCAUUUGGCGAGAGUCUCGGCCCAGGUUUGAGUCACGGUCAAGCCGAAAACCACUCGUUUUCGUAGCGCACUCCACCUGUUCGGUAAGAUGCCUGAAUGAGAUCCGUUUUCAAUUCGCCCUUUUUGGUCGGAGCCAUCUGUACUGAGCCCUGCCUUGUCGAGUUGCUCACGAGGUGUCGGCAUUCCCGGGCGUCGGCUGCUUGGCCGGUUCAACACGCCCGCGCCGUCCCCUCCGCUGUUUUUGUUUUCAGCCAAGGAGAGGAAUGUCUCGGUCGGCUACAUCACGAGUCAGGACCGAGUGAAGAGCGCCGCCAAGGCCAAGGCGUCUCAGUCGGUUGACCGUGAGGUGGCCGGUCCGUGGCUGCCAUCCGGUUGUCCGCGGAAGCCCCCGGCCAUCGUGGCUCGGGUAUCCCACGAGAGCCUGCCGCCGCGUCACUGGUCCCAUUCGGGCUGAUCACCCAUUCCGUGUCACCUAAGGCAACGCCUAGGUACACCGCCGGUUUGGGCGGAGACGAGCGGCGUUGCCCAGCGUCGUCAUCUCCGUCACGGCAGAGAAACUGCGAACCGGGUCGGUUCGGCCGGAUCCGGAUCGGGCCGGCUCGCGGAUCUGACUGAUCCGGUUCGUCUGUUUCUGUGUUGAUUUGAGCAUUUUGGGCUAAGUUUUUUUUUUUUAAAGAUGGGCCGGGCUAAAAAAAAUAGGGUAAGUUGGGCUGGGUUUUGUCUUUUUUAAAUGAGAGUCCUGGCUUGGCUGGACUGGGCCCGUGCGCUAAGCCUAUUCUGGCUGAGGGCCUAGUGCCCUGUGACCCAGGCCCACGGACCCGGGUCGGAUCCGGAUAUCGGACUUGGCUCCUUAUUUUCGGAUUAAAUUAAUUUUAAAAUUUAUUUUUUAAUAUUAAAAAUUCAAAAAGUUAAACAUUAAUUAAAAAAUUGUUUUUUGGGUAGUUUUCUUAGGAAAAUCCUUGAUAAAAAAUCGUGCUCAAAAUUGAACAAAUUCUUUAGAACUUUAUAACAGGGUUUGAAUAUUUGUUUUUAUGAGAUGAAGGCUCUUGAUUGUGCACUUAAUUAUGAUUUUCUUUGGACUAGUUAGGAAUGGUAUUUUUUGUUUUUUUGUUUCUUAGCAUCAAAUUCUUGUUCUUCCUUGCAAUUUAUUAAUACUUUUUUAGUUUAUGAUUGAUAUUUUAAUAAUUAUACACUUGCAUGAUCACUUAAUAUGUUAAUGGAUAGGUUUAAAAUUGAUCCAUACCGCUUAAGCUACCGGUGACUCUUCGUUAGAAAAUUUUUAUAGCGUCAAUUGAAGCUAAAAUUGAAUACCCAAUACCACACGGGGAUGGGUUUGGGAUAGCCCAUGCCUAAUUGAGGGGUGUAGGCUUGCCUUUUAAGCAUUACCCCUUAACCUUUGUUUUUUCCUCUUGGGAUAGAAAAGAUUGGUUGCGAUAGGUAUAUUGUACAUAUACGUCGAUUGGUUGUGGAAAAUGCCCUCGGCUAGAAAGUAUUAGCCCAAAAGCUUAAGAACAAUUGGUUGCCCCUAUGUUAAGUAGGGAGAUAGAAGUCUAGCUCAAAAUCUUUUCUAUUGGAUAAAACUAUUAAGAUUGAACUUACAUCAAAGGUAAUUCACUAAAUUAUCUAAGCUAUAUGCAAUAAUUAAAGGAAACUAAGCUAACCUAAUUUUAAAGUCUAACAACUUAGUCAAGCCCCUUUUUUGAACCAAUAUCAAUUCUUAAAAAAAAAAAACCAAAAAUGGGGACUUGAGCUGGGCCCUUGGACUCGAUCUGAUAACGGGCUAGGAUCUAGUCUCACGGAUUGUUGCUAUUAAUACCCAAACUAAGCUCUUGCACCAAGUCCUCUUAAAUAUUCUAGACCCAUUUCACUUUAAUAAUAAUAAUAAAAAACACCAACCCACCCCUAUCUUAAUGAAACUAAGCUCAUAUUUGCCAAGUAAAGACCUAAAGCACAUCCUAUUUUGUCUUCCAUAUUUUGCCUUCUUUUCCUAUGGAGUAAAUUACUAUUUUCUACUUUACCUGUUACUCCCACCAUCUAUUCUAAGAACAUUCCUUGUUGCCCAACCUUAUUGCCCAAAAACCUUCAAUACUUGCUAGAUAACCACAAAAUAACUAAAGCUUUAGCAAAAAUCCGCUAGAAAUUGCACAGUUUAUCUUUGAUCAACACCGAUCUACAAAACAUGAUUCGCCAUCAUUGCUAGAUGAACAUUUGAUUCGUUGGUCGCCACCAAAGCUUACCCAAUGUCUAAAGUGCACUCUAAUAUUGUUUCUUGCAACUUAAGAGAGCUUAAUUUUUGUCUUUGUUGGCUAUGUUGGGUGCUUCUUGGCCGUCUUCUAUUUUGGAGGGUAUGAAUGAAUGGAGGGCCUAGUAUCGAAUGAGACAGUACUUGGUGAGAGCACGCUUUAAUAUUGUUUCUUGUAACUUGAGAGAGCUUAAUUUUUGUCUUUGUUGGCUAUGUUGGGUGCUUUUUUGCCGUAUUUUAUUUUGGAUGAUAUGAAUGAAUGGAGAGCCUAGUAUCAAAUGGGAGAGUACUUGGUGAGAGCGCGCUCUAAUAUUGUUUCUUGCAACAGCUUGAUUUUUGUCUUUGUUGGCUAUGUUGGGUGCUUCUUAGCCAUGUUCUAUUUGGAGGAUAUGAAUGAAUGGAGAGUGGAGAGCCUAGCAUUAAAUGGGAGAGUAUUUGGUGAGAGUGCGAUUUAAUAUUAUUUCUUGGAACUUAGUAAAACUUGAUUUUUGUCUUUAUUGGUUAUGUUGGUGCUUAUUGGCCGUGUUUUAUUUUGCGGGAUAUUAACGAAUGGAGAGCCUAGCAUUGAAUGGGAGAGUACUUGGUGAGAGUGUGCUCUAAUAUUGUUUCUUGCAACUUAAGAGAGCUUGAUUUUAGUCUUUGUCGGCCAUAUUGAGUGCUUUUUGGUCGUGUUCUAUUUUGGAGGAUAUGAAUGAAUGAAGAGCCUACUAUCGAAUGGGAUAGUACUUAGUCAAUGAAACUAAGCUAAUCUAAUGUUAAAGUAUCAAAGCUAGAUGUGAAAAUCAAAGGAAAAUUAAGCUAUCUUAAUGUUAAAGUUUAACAACUUAGUCAAGCUUGUUUUCUACACCACUUUAUAUUGUUUUAAAAAAAUUGUUAAUUUUUUUAAUUCUGAAAAUGGGAACUCGGGUUAGGCCCUAGGACUUGUUCGAGAUAUAGUCUCAUGGAUCUAUGCUAUCAAUACCACUCUUGCACCAAGUCCUCUUAAUUUCUCUAGACCCAUUUUACUUAUAUAUAUAUAAAACCAGCCCAUACUUAUCUAAACGAAGUCAAGCCAAUAUCUGUCAACUAAAAACUAGCCCAUAGGACUCAAAUUAAAACCUCUCAUGCCCUAACAAGAUUAAGCCCAUCCUAUUUCCUCUUCCACAUUAUGCCUUCUUUUCCUAUUAAGUUAAUUUCUAUUUUCCACUUUGACUAUUUCUCCCGCCACCAAUUCUCAAAACAUUCCUCAUUGCCCCCACUUUAUUGCCCAAAAACCUUCAACACUUGCUGGAUAAUCAUAGAAGAAGCGAAGCUUAAGCAAAGAUCUACAGGAAAUCGCACUUGCAUUUGGUUUUCCUUUCGCAUACUUUUACUUAGGUGUUUUCAAUACUUGAGUGUGUCCAUAUUCCAUCGCACUUCAAUUGUUAAUUUCUUUUCUAGAUCAAGCCCACAAAACUAUUUGCAUGAUCACUUAGCAUUGGUGACACCUUUUAGGAUCAAUUGGUAAUCAAAAUUUGCAUGAUCACUUAGGUAAACAAUGAAUUAAUUUAGUGGUACUGAAAAGGCAUUAAUAGACAUUGAUGUAAUUAAGUUCUCGAGUUUAGAAUUUCUAAUUGCGUAGAAAGUAAGGCAUAUUCUUGUGCUUUACUUGGUUUCUAGUUAACGCCAACAAGCUAAUGAUGACUCCUAGAAAAUACUUAGAAUGUUUAAGAACACAAAAAAAAAAAAAAGAAUUAAAUGAUAUCCAACAUCGUGUAAAGUUUGGACUUGGGAGAGGUUGCGACUAAUUGAGGGCCAUUGGCUAGCCUUGGGGCAAUACUUCUAAACCAUUCCCGAGGAUCCUCAAAAAUCCUUUCGGAGGGUCGUGACAGUUACAAUGACUUUUGAUUUGAUAUAUGAUUGGAGUAAUUAGAGAGGCCACUAGUAUACGAUAACAUUACAAUCGUUAGACUCCCCAUAGAUCUUAAAUGGAGUUGGAAUAGCACAGUCCAAAGUGGCACCAUUUUUGUUUUGCUGGUGUGACAAACUUCCGACACUUUAAAUCAUUCACAUAAGUCAAAUUUUGAUAUCUCUUUAACUCAGUUAUGGGAUGAUUACCAUAAAAAAAUUUCCACUAUCCAAAAUAUAUGAGUAGACUUUUUACAUAAGAACAUAAAUGCUUAGGAUUGACAAGUUGGAGUCCACCUUAAUUAGGUUGUUUUUGGUUCAACAUUUCUAAGGGGUUUUCAGCCUCAAAAGCUCUUUGGAGUAAUGCUGGACUGUUUAGUAACUAUUUUGAAAGAUUUUUCAACUAAAAGUUAAUAUUGGGAAGGCUGAAAGCCCAAUGCUAGUGCUUUCAACAUUUAGUGUUGAAACUCAUUUUUUUUUCUGCCAAAACUACCCUCAUCAAUUUUCCAAUUUUUUCUCUUGUUAUUUUUUUUUUAUUUUUAUUUAUUUAAAAUUUAAAAUUUAUAUAAUUAAGAGAGAGAGAGAGAGGACUAAACCCUUUGUUGGUUCGAUGAAGGGUUAUGGUUGCUAGUGAGACAGAUUUAGCGUUGGUGGCCAUCGGUUGAGGGUGCUCGAGGUUGGAAACCUUCGACGAGGGUUGCGUGAGGUCGUGCCAUCUCCGAUGGCCCUUGCUUGGGUCACCUAACUCUCAUCGGAGGUCCCUUGACCUCAGGCAGCCUCGACUGACGACCGUUGGCACUAGAUUUGGCUUGACAUGGGUCGUAGUCCUUUGUAGGACUGGCAAGGGUUUAAUCUUUUUUUUUUAAAUAUAUAUUUAUUUUAUUUCAAUUUCAAAAAAAAUAAAAAUAUUAAUAUUAAUCACCCAAAUGACUUUUCAAAUGUAUUUUCUAUCAAACAUAUUUCUCUUAAAAUUACUUUUGAAAGUGUAAUUUAGCAAAUGGACUUUGUAUUUGCCCAAAGUCCUUUAGGCUAAAUUAUUUUGCAUUUUUCCAAUGAGCUUUCGAAAUGUUGAAUCAAAUGCAUCCUUAACCGCAUUAGCUUGUAGUAUCAUUUAUGUGUUUUUUAAGAUUAGCCGUAUAGGCUACCAAAUAACUAGUUGGAAAAGUUGCUCCCUUUCUCAUCAAGUCCAUAUUUAGCGGUUCUCAAUGGCAGCUUUAAGCCAAUCUUGUUCGUGUCCUAUUAAUUUUAGGUCUUUCUUAAUAAAUUCAUUUUUCGACAAGAAUAGUCACUCUUUCAACGUCAUCUUGUCAUAUCCGUACUAAUAAAACAUUUGGUGUUCAAGUCAGAUUUAUAUUUUGAUUAAAGAAAUGGGUUGCAAGAGGUGAUUAGUGUUAAUGAUCCCUCACAACAGAAUGCUCAUGUUGAUCAAUUUGUUUUAGUGAAUUAGAGAUUGUCCUUCACAUCACGCUUAGAAUAGUCGGCCAAAUUUUACUGGCCCAAUUGUUCAUUUUGAGCUUUUGGGCCGUUACUUUCCCUUAUAGUUGGGGGCAUUUUCGGAUUCAUUGCCAUAAUGCAAUUAUCAUUUCUCUUGUCAGUCAUAGACUCCACCUUAGGGAUUUGGAGCAGAUCCGAAACCUAGCCAUGGCGACUUAGCUCCCCUCGCUACCUCCUCUCUUAGCGUCAGCAAGCCCUCACCUCCCAAAGAGAGGAUGUCUCCCCACGAAAGCACUAGCUCUUCUUUAUUUUGAAGCCAAGGGACCUUCCUACCAAGUAUGAAAUCAUUGAAACUUUGGAUAGUAAGUGGUUGGAGGGUGCGGUCUAAUUUGUUUGCCAUGUUCUAUGAGGUAAUUUUUUUUAUUUGUAGUCAUUGAUCAUCUUCAUUUAUUGCUGUUCCAUUUAUUAUGUCUAACACGAUUGCUCUUAUAGUAGCGUAGGAUCUACCAACUUUCAAUAAAAUAUUACUUCUUCCUUAGAUUUGGAGGCAAAAUAUCUAGGAAGGAUGUCGUCAAACUCGAUGGUAAAGCUUUUUGUUUGGUUCUCUUCUGAUUUCGGAAAGUUGUGCUAAUGAGUUUUCUUUUGCUAUAGAGACACGAACACCUUGGAGAUUUUUUUUUUUUUUUUUGGUUGGGGAACACCUUGCAGAUUGAUAGCACCCUUUUGAGAUAUUCUAGCUUCAAAUCAAAGGAAGAAGUAAUCUUUGGUGGCAGUUCGAUAGAUCUUAACUUACUUCGCUUCUUCUUCAUUGUAAUAGCAACAAAUCGUAGUUAGACAAAAUAAAAGGGACAACUAUAAAUCAAGAUGAUCAAUGACUAUAAAAAAACAAUUUACCACAGAACAUGGCAAACAAAUAAGAUCACACCUCGAACUACUUACCAUCUAACAUGCGCAAAGUAUCAAUGAUCUCAUACUUAGUAGGAAGGCCCUUUGGCUUCUACAUAAAAAAGAACUAGUGCUUAUCGUGGAGAGACAUCCUCUCCCUUGGGAGGGGGACACGUUGCCUUGAGGUGGAGGGUUUUGCAUCCCUUGGUUAUGCAAAGGUUACAUGUCCCAACACAAAUGCCUCAUCGUGCUCAAAUUACUGGGUUGGUCAUUAAGAGCUUUCCUCUCGUUGGCUCAAGCAUUACUUCUCACCCAUUCUCCAUGGGACUUGGUGUCAUAAGGAACUUUUUCGUCCAUGUUGUUACCUACCCGCCUCGAGGACCAAUUCCAAUGGAGUAAGUCAGACAUAUUUGUUCAUAAAACCAUCCAAGUAGGCAUAUCUAUAAGAGAUGACUUAAAUACAUUGUUUAGUUGGUGAUCCACACUUGCCUCAUUAAUUAUGAAUGGGGGGUUCUUUCAACUUCAACCUCGCAUGACAGGUAUUUAUUUUAGAGUUCUUUAGACAUCCUAAAUAUCAAUUAGGAGUCGCCACUAGCCUCGUUUACGAGGAUCAACUAGAUUACCCAAUCAAGAAAUGAGAGCAUUUUAUCGAUUCCUUAGGAACCGAAAAUCAAUAAGUUUAGGGACUCGGAUUACGCUAGUGUUUUUAUUAGCGCAUUUUUUGUACCUAAUUAGUUGAGUUAUCUAAAUGAUCAUGCAUUUGUUCUUUACCAUUUUCAUGAUGUUUAGAAUCUCAUUAGGUUAUCACGCGUGGAUAGUUCAUUAAGGAAUCUCAACUAGUUAUAAUUCUAGCAUUUAAGAAAGGAAACAAGUGAAAAAAAGGAAAGUGCAUUGCGUAAAGUAAACUAUUCGAAGUGCAAGAACAUAGAAAACCUACAACUUAUCGAGUAUUUAUUACAAACUUGAAUAAAAACCUAAAACAUGUUUAGGUGACAAAUUGGGUACAAAAAGAGAUCAAAUUCAAUGAUAAGAACCACGGCCACCUCCUCCAUAGUUUGCCUCAAUGGUGUUAACUUUGCACUUCAGCUAAUCGAACUAUAAUAGCAAACAAGUCGUUGAUUUGAUACAAUAGCAAACAAGAACAAACAAGUUGUUGAUUUCAAAACGGGCCUCCAGAUCGGCCUUUGUAUUGCAUACAUAACGACCACCCCAAAUCACUUAAUUGGUUAAUUUGUGGUUAAUGAUAAACGGUCAUCAUUUGUAUUCACAAAACGGUGGUCAAUCUUAAUUAACCUUAAAUCGCUCAUGCACCAUAGCUAGCCAUUCCUUCAACAAGUACACACAUAUACAUGAAAUUGAGCAUGUAUUUAGGUUAAUGGGUCUUGUUUCUCAAAUAAUCAAACAAAAUUAAGUGAAUUAAUAACAGAUCACUUAAUUAAUCACUGAAAAUGGGUUGAUUUUGUUUAAAAGUUAUUAAUUAAUCAAAUAACGUUUAUAUCGAACUUUUUUUUUGUUUAAAAAAUAUUUAAUUGUUGAAUUUGGUAAAUCUCACGCGAAGUACCACAAAUUUAAAAUGAAAUUUUGUCAAAUUCAACACAUGCUGCUGGUGACCAACCGUGAGCUUGACGGCACUCACCCACCGGUGAGUUUUGUGUUUCCGGGGAAAACGAAUCUUUGUCAUUUUUUUGGCUCUAUCUACUCCCACGCGCUCUGCCACGCGUGGUUCAAGACGGCCCAAUCAACGCUCGAGAAGCUUCUAUAGUCCUAUUGCCGUGACGGACACGCGCUGCUGCUCCGUGGAACAGAGCAGGCGUCGGAAAUCAUUAGCUUUGUCGCCUCCUGGGGCAUCUCUCACGAGAUCCACGGGAGUGAUUGAAAAAAUGAAGAAAAGAUUUUGUUGAUAAAUCCCUUACUAGAAUAAUAAAAUAAGAAUAUUAAUUACUAAUUAAAAAUAAUGUCUGAUAAGGAACGUAAAUAGUCAAUUAGAAAAACAAGGAAUGAAUGUAAAUAUGGAUUACACGUAACAUAAAAAAAAUAUAAAUCAAAUGCAAUAAACUUUUCUUAUUUGGAGCAUAAUCUAAUAUCGAAAUAGCAAUAUAUAUUAAAAAUCGAAAACUCCUAUUUACUUAAAGCUUAUGGGAUAUGCUAUAUACAAACCAAAAAUCUAUCUUUCUUAAAAAAAAAUAUCAAAAAUGGUGUUUGAUAAUAAUCAAAAUGGCAACAUAUAUAACAACAUUAUAUUGACAAAUUGAUAAGACAUUUUACAAUGGGGUGAAAUUGUCAAAUAGAAAGCAAAAUCUUUAUUUAUUGUGCGAUUUUAUUAAAGAUCGAAUGUCAAGAUCUCAUGCAAAUCCACUAUUUACUAUUGAACCUGGAGUAAUAUGUACUUUGUUAUAAGAUUUAAGGUGAGUGGCUUUUACGAUAAGGGCACAAUAUCACUCAAAAGUUUAGUAUGAACAAAUUGUUGCUGCUGUCUACUGUCGGUGAGAACAUUUGUGUGCACAGUAAUCCUUGAAAAGACAUUUAUUUUUUUCUUUUUUUGUGUCACGAAAUAAGUUUUGCAAGGGAGCUGUGCUGGCUGCACAAUAAUGGGGACCAUGGGACCACGGGACCAUUUCAGAACAUAGAGAUGCAUGUCAACUAAUCAAAUCCAUGCCAUAACGGGUUCCACUUUUUCUGCACCUAAGGAAGCGAUAAAAGGCGAGCGGAGAGGGAGAGAGUAGUACUUGGACAAGGAGCAGUCGCCGAGGGGCUACCACUGAUACCUGGUGAAGGUGACGUUGGGGUGGCCGUUCCAGAGGCAAGCGAACUCACGCUUGAUAAAGGGGCAGAUGGAGGAGUUGUAGAGAAGGUAGGACAGGUUCGCCACCCAGCUCCCCCGAAACACAUCGGGUGCGUUUGGUUCAAUUUUUUACAAUAGGUUUGCAGCCUCCAAAGCCCAUUGAAAAAAAUAUUAGACAGUUUGGCAACUAUUUUGAAGUAAUUACAAGUGAAAGUUAGCAUUGGGAAAGCUGAAAGCCCAAUACUAAUAGGGACUAACUUUGAGCUUUCAACAUUUAGUCAAAUACUGAAACUUAUUUUUUUCUUCCAAAAUUAUUCUCACUCAUUCUUCAAUUUUUUUUAUUUUGCCAUAGUUAUUAUUUUUUAAAUGCCAAAAUAAUGCUAAAAAAAUCAAUUAUAUAUAAAUGCUAAAAAAAUUAAAUAUAUUUUGUAUAUAUUUUUAAUUAUUUAUAUAUUUGAUUUUUUUAUCAUUAUUGUCAAAAAAAUAUAUUUAAAAAGUUGCACACAUUAUUUUUUAUAAUUUUAAACAAGUAAAAAGUAAAAAUUCCAACGAAGGGUUUGGUCUUUUUAGAAAAAAAAAUUAUAUAUAUGUAUUUGAUUCCUUCGCAUUAUUUUCAAUUUUAUAUUUAAAAAUUCGCAUACAUUAUUUUUUUCAAUUUUAAAAAAUAAAAAUUAAAAAAUUUCGACGAAGGAUUUGGUCUUUUUUUAAUGUGUGUGUGUGUGUGUGUGUGUGUGUGUGUGUGUGUAUUUGAUUUUUUUUAGUAUUAUUGUCAAAAUUUAUAUUUAAAAAGUUGCAUACAUUUUUUUUCAAUUUUAAACAAUUAAAAAUUAAAAAAUUUGAUGAAGAAUUUGGUCUUUUUUUAAAAAUUAUAUAUACGUAUUUGAUUUUUUUUGGCAUUAUUGUGAAAAUUUAUAUUUAAAAAUUAUACAUCAUUUUUUUUUCAAUUUUAAGCAAAUACAAAUUAAAAAAUUCCGGUGAAGGGUUUGGUCUUUUAAUAUAUAUAUAUAUAUAUGUAUGUAUUUGAUUCUUUUAGUAUUAUUGUCAAAAUUUAUAUUUAAAAAGUUGUAUUCAUUAUUUUUUUUUCAAUUUUAAACAAAUAAAAUUUUUAAAAAACUAAUAUUAAUCACUUAAAGAGUUUUUCAAAUGUGUUUUCUACCAAACAACAUUUUUUUUAAAGUUGCUUUUUAAAGUAUAAUUUACCAAACAAUCUUUAUAUUUGCCUAAAGUUCUUUAGGCUAAAUUACUUUGCAUUUUUCCAAUGGGCUGCUUCCGCACCCCAUACCAUCAAUGUCAAAAGAGCCAGUUUCCAGUGAAAAGAACAAGAGGAGCCCAUCUGCAUUGCCUCUGUACCCACCAACCCCAACCCAUUUUGCUCUCACUGAAACAUAGCAACCCAAAAGGCUCUUUUUGGAGAGAGAGAGUUUUUGGAUUCUGGGUUACAUUUAACGUAGGUGGGCGUGGGGGUGAGAGAAAACCUGAGGUCAUGGGUCCACUGAGAUAAAGGGCAUUGUUGGAUUCUCCUUAAUGUACCUUCUUUGUUAUUCUUUUUCUGGUUAGCUACUUCAAAUACAGGAUUUGGUUAAGCAAUACGUGGAGUAACUCUCAAUAUAGUAGUAAAAGCAAGACGUGUAGGCGGAUCUACUUAAAAUACAGGAUUUGGUUUCCAUUUUCGGUGGGGAGCGGGGCUAGGGAUUUAUAUAGGAUUUAGGAAGUUGCUGCAGAUAUCUCUCUCUCUCUCUCUCUCUCAUUGGGCUUGGCUUGGCUUGCUUGGCUGAGCUGUAGGUUGUACAGAGUAGCAGCCAAUCAUCGCCUUUGAUGUUGACACUUCGAAUUGGUGGGGUCAACCAAUAAGCUAGUCCCUUGGAUUUCAAGGAGGGCAAACGAGGCCCCAACUUGUUUAAUUCUCUUGACAUUAACAUAAGACCUUUGGCGACCUAAAAAUAUGUCCUUAAAAGAUAUUAACUGAGAUUUAGUCCACACAUCGAGAUCCCUAAAUUUAAGAAUACCAAGAAGAUAAAGCCAAGUAUAGAAUUUGAUAAAGAUACUGACCAAUUGAGGAUACGGGAUAAUGUGGGCAUUGACACUCAAAAAUAAAAAACGCAUAUAGAGUCUGACGUCUCUAUAAAUCAAAUGGACAGGAAGUGAAGACCCUGCUGCCUUCCUUUGGUGAGCCUACAUGCUUAACCGUCAUCAAGAAUCCAAGGCAAGGACUCACAACAGGGAGACAAUUAAUAGAAAUGUAGUGUGCUGACGAGGCAGUAAUCUACCAUCCGUAGGAAAGAGUGACUAGACGUGCAGGUUUUUAAAGAUUUUUUUUUUUUUUUGGUGGAUGUAAUAUUAUGUAUUAUCAUUUCUCACAGAUGAGAUAGAUGAGGCGGAGCAUCAUCCAUACUAAAGAGAGAAAAUCUGGCACUUAAAAUAAUUCUUGAGGAGCAACGUACAACAGGCCUAGCUCGGGGAGUAAAACACGUCCAGAGCAAGAAUCCGCAACUUCGCCAUUCAAACAAUGAAAAGCUUCCAUAAUAGAUUCCCACCCUGGCAGUGGCAACCAUCCACAUCAUCAUUGCAUGAAGAAGUCCCAACAUCGUCUUUGUAUGAUUAACAAUAUCGAAAGAAACGGCACGAAUACAACCAUCAAACAACAAGCCAUCGUCUUUUGACUUUUCCCAAUAAGUUGUUUACAAUACACAAUUACUGCACCGCAUAAUAGUCGUCCUAUUCUUCAUAGUAUCUAUACCUUCAGUUUCAAAUGUGAACAAAAGAGAAACUUAGAAGCGAAAUUUAAGAGUUCCUUUUGAUGGAUUACCAAAUAAAGCCCUAGUUCUUUCAAACCAAAUUAACUCGAAACAUAGCAAACCAUUCCUUAUUUUCUGUUCUGCCAGUAAUCAGUAUCCGGAUUUAUCGGAUAGAGAUCAUUAGCAGAUGUAGAAGAAGCAGUUCCAGUCCACGGCCCAUCAGUGAGCGUGCUUUUGGUGAUAUUCUCAUCAACUGCCUGAUCUUCGUCACCUUUGAAAUGCUUCCUCAUGGCCUCAAUUGUCUCCUCCGUUAUGAUAGCACCCUCAGAGUCCAGCACUGGAACAGCAGCCUUGCCUUCAAGCAUGCUAACCACAGAUGACAUCGGUGGCCUGAGUGCUGGAGUCGCAUUAGUACACAGCAGAGCUACCUUUAUCAUUGCCAGCACCUCCUUUUCGUCAAAAUGAGAACCCAGCCUCUGAUCAACUAGAUCCAUCAAAUUUCCUUUCUCCUUCAAAACUCGUGCCUAGAAACAGAAAUGGAAAGGAAGAUAUUUCCCUCAAGCUACAGGUACUGGUCAGUUGUAGAAUAUGCUCAGAACACUAAAACAGGAAGAAGGAGAUAUAAUCUGCCCUCGAUAAUUUCAUGACAAAUGCAGUUGAUAAACACCUGCUAGUUUUUCAUUUUCGUUAUAAGUUAUACUUGGAAGGAAAAAAUCGAACAAGUCAAUACAGAUGAAACAUGAUUUCUUUUCCAAUUUUAAAUAGAAGUUAGUAAACUUAAACACUUGUUAAUCACUUACUAACAUUCACCGGUCACCAAAAAACUACCACCGCUGCUUUAAAAUUAUCAACUCUUAUUGAGUUUGACUGGCAGGAAUUAUUUGUCAGUUUGUCAUUACAUGAAACAGGAGAAUCGUCCAUCAAUGGUUUACACCAUUCAUUGCCUUCUACAUUCCAGUUUAACAAGAAUUACCUUAUUCUGCAGCUUAGGUGAAAAUCAGAUUUAACGGGGACUAAUAAUGAUUGUUUUAGCUAAUGAUUGGCUUACUCAAAGCACAAUAAAAGAUCUAAUUUUUGGACCUAAUUACAUGGAUGUGAAAAAGUCAAAUCUAAAUCGAAAGUAUAUCAAUAUUUGCGUCAAGCAUGGUCUUGAAAUCUUUUUAAAUCCAAUACUAAUUGUCAAACUGCAAAGUACUUGACCAACUUGUUUGGCGCUAAUGAAACUACAGGGAGUAUGAAUGUCACGCACAAAACUACAAAGACUAAAACAAAACAGCCCAAAUUUUAAAGACCCCAAAUUUCAACGAAUAGAAUUGUCUUCAAUCCAAGAAAGAAUCUACAUGAUUCCUUCUUUCAGGAGGCAGCCCAUUGUUUGAGUUUAACUGUGUCACUAGGUAAAUUCCAGUUUCAUUUCCUUAGAACCAGACUAAUCUGUGACCGCCCUCACCCCAAGUCGCUCAUCUUGAGCACGAACACCAUAGGCCGGCUACUGCAAGGAUUACUUGCUCCUUUCAAAUUCAGUAUAGACCAAUAUAACAAGAAUAAUUGGAUUAAUUUUAAAUGACAAAUUGCACUUAACGGCAUUACAAUUUGUUAAACAGGAUUCAGUAGCUGGUAAAUGUAACUCUCCUUUUCAACCAUUAAAAGUGCAUAUGAGGAGUUCGAUACUAUGUUCACACUUCCUUAAUCCAUCUCUCAACCGGCACAAGCAGAGAUUUAAUUAUCAUAAUAAGAAACUUUUGAACGCUAGAGUUAAUUACCCAAUUGAGUAGAUAAAAGCAUUUCUCCUUCUUUUGGUAACUGGUGUUGCUCCGGCCACUAACAACUUCCAAGGCAACAAUGCCAAAACCAUAGACGUCGGCUUUUUCAGUGAGGUAACCAUGCAUUGCAUACUCUGGUGCCAUAUAUCCACUGCAUAAGAAGAAAAGAGCUGGUGUUUGCAACAUGGCAAAUAUCUUAGAUAGUACUUAAUAUUUUCUUCCAAAGAUUGUCCCUCUUGUCUUCCUAAAAUACAAAAUAAGGAGAUAUUCCUAAUCAUGACACCAUGGUCUCCAGAGUCAAGGAAAAAACAAGUGCAUUUUAGAGAUUUUUUAAUAGGAUUCCGCAGAGAAUAUUUCAAAAUAAAAAAGAAAAUUUGUGGUUUUUAUAUAACUUUCAGCGUACAUAUAGUUUCGUAGUUGGAAAACAAGUGCAUCCUUAUAACUUGGAAGAGAGGCUCAUUAGCAGAAAAAAGAGUUGGAAACAGGCUGAGACAAGGUGGUACAUAUCGAAUGUGUCAACCCAUCACGCAUCACAAGGUCUGAAUACAUAGGCAGCAGCAGUGGGAGGAUUCCUAAAUCCAAGCCUAGGGGGCAUGAAAACAUCUUAAUAUUGUUGUUGUCGAUGUUGCUGUAGCAAUAGAAAAACAGCCCUACAUUUUCUCAGUAGCUUUCUAAACCCUGCGAUUCAUGUGCUUGCUUUGUAAUUUUGGUUUUAUUCUUUUGUAAUUCACUUGAAAGUGCACCAUCUAUGUUUAUGUCACGUGAAAUAUAUUUACGAAAAAUUGCACUUUUCAUGCAAAGGAAUAUAUAUAGAUAAUUUACAUUGAAACCGUUAACAUAUAGUAGUUGUUCUUAUUCAUUAAAUUGUUUUACAUUAAGUAGAUUGUUAUUGGAAAAACAUAAUAAAGACAAUUAAAUUACAUGUCAAUAUAGGUUGUUAAAAAGUAUUGCGUCAUAAUUGUAUCGUAAUAUUUUCAUAUACUUUUUGCAUGGGAGAAUAUAUUAGGUAGGGCAUACUGAAUUACCUUCCGAAAUGUUUUUCUUGACUAUUCUUAAUGUAUUAAAUGAAGUGUGUAUAAUAUGAUCAAUCUUUUGAUUAAUAUAUCAGGUAGGUGGAUAAAAUUUUUCCAGAAACUGUACUAGAUCAUUUAAGUUUGUUGAGAUGAUGGAAUUGUUUAAUGUUAUGGUUAUUUUUCGUUAAGCAAUUACUAUUAGAGUUAGUAGAAGGAACUUACAGUGCUAUCUUUUCCCUAAUCAAUCACAUUCUUUUCAUGAACAGGUUGACUUUCUACACAUGUCAACGCAAACGUUUGAAACAUCUGAACAUGCUUACUAUAUAUUUUUCUGUGUGUACAACUUCUAUAUGCAAAAAAAAUAAUUUCUUUAUACAACAAUCAACAGAAACAUAGGCGAAUUAGCUCUAUUGCCUAUAAUAUCAACUUAUAGCCAAAUUAACAAUUGCAUAAGUUAAUAUUAAUAAUAGAUUAUGAAAUAUAGUUAACAUUUAUUCCUAAUUAACACGAAGAGCGGUGAGAGAGGCAUGGAGCUUUGCGAUUAAGCCCCAUUUGUUGAGCACCAUGCUUUGGGAUGAUGUGAGUCAACCACAAAGCUCCAUUCAACUCACUUUUCUUAAAUUAGACGAGAUUUUUCUACUCCAUUCUUCUAUGUUGUCACUGACUCCUAAUUAGGUUAACAGGAACAUAAAACAAGAAACUUACUGAGUUCCAGCAAUCUUGGUGCUAAUAUGUGUGUUGUCCUCCAAAAUCUGAUAUUUUAGAGUUCAGAUCCUUAUCCAGUAAGAUAUUAGUAGCUUUAAUGUCUCUAUGCACAAUUUUUAGCCUCGACUCUUCAUGAAGAUAUGCCAACCCCCUGGCAAUACCCACACAUAUCUUGUGUCUUGUCGCCCAAUCCAACCUUAACUGAAAUUCUUCAGGACCUUCAAUUGUAUCAGAAGACAUCAAAACUGCUUUACUGCCAUGUCAUUAACUGAAGUCAGUGAAGCACAAUGUGAUAUCAAAUUACCAAACAAAGCGCGAGCAAGACUGUUAUUUUCCAUGUACUCGUAAACCAGCAAAAGUUGAUUUCCUUCAAUGCAGCAUCCAUAGAGUCUCACAAGAUGUGGAUGCUGAAGAGCAGAAAUCAUCCCAAGCUCAGUCACGAACUCACGAUUUCCUUGCUUUGAUGUGGAUGAAAGCUGCUUCACUGCUAUAGUGGUGCCGUCUAACAGAAGACCCUGCAAUUGAACUUUGGCAUAAGAUUUAUGCUGUGAAGAUUUAGAUACAUAAUGAUGCUUUCUACAAUUCCUUUUUGUUGGGAAUUAGGGGAAGUUUAUUUACUGAUUUUCCAGCAUACCUUGUACGCAGAACCAAAACCACCUUCUCCAAUCUUAUUGGCAGCAUCAAAAUUGUCUGUGGCAGCUUUAAUCUGUCGCAAGGUAAAUGAACCAAUUUGCAAUGCUAGAACCUUCAAAUCUGCAUGACAUUUUGGAACUUUCAAGAAUUCGGAGGAAUUAACAACGAAAGUUUGUAAUAUACUAUCUAACAAAGAUGUAGCAAUUCCUUCUCAAUGUGCCAGAAAACCUUAUUAUAACUAUUUUGUCUGAGCAAGUUCAGGACAGUGUAUCUUAACAUCUUGAAAUUUAUUUUCUAGGAAACUCUGGCUUCGGUUGGCAGUAUGUACUUUGAAAAAUGAAAUGAGAAUGUCCUCCAGGUAUUUAGUAGUGGGGGGAAAGAAAAAUCAUAGGAAAAACUCACUUUGGGAACGUAAGGCAAGGUUUGUAUGUUUCGAUAUCUUGUAGAUCCAAAGUUCCAGCAUUUUAUUUCAACAUCUUGAAACACAGAUUUAGAAUAUAUAUAUGGUCGAUUGUGCCCCAAAGGAGACCCAAUACACACACACACACACACACACACACCCAUCUAAGAAACAAUCUACUGUCCUCUUCCUAUAGCUAUCUAUUGAUUUAUUUUUAAGAUUUCUAAAUAAAAAUUUAGUUCGUUAAGUGUAACAAAUGGAUCAACGGCACUUUAGCUGUAUUAUGGCUUAACAAUAAAUCAUUUUCUCUUUGUGUCAAAUAGAAUUUCCAAUGCAAUGCACAAAUAUCGUGCAUCAAUAGUUAUACAGGAGAAUAGUCUAAGCUAGUUUCAGUAUUGAUGAUUCAUUGUGAUUACCCCUUCCCCCACCAGAAAAGGACACGCCAACAGUUUGACAGGACAACUGUGUGAAAUAUAAAUGAUGAGAUGUGAUUACCCCUCCAUUACCCAAAAAAAAAAAAAAAAACCUGAUAACCAACCGCUCCCCCCCCCUCCCCCCCUGCGGCCCCUCCACACACACACAAAAAAAGAGAGUAGGGCUAAUGGAGAAAUGUAUUCAGAACACAUAACAUUCUAUUUCUAGACAGAUAUAUGUGAACGAUAUAACAGAGGUAUACAAUUACCUUGUGCCAUUUCAUCUCCAUGUCCAAGACAUCCUCUCCGCCAAAGGAUAACCAGGAUAAGAAAAACUACAAAAACUAUAGCAGCCACAAUCCCGACUACAGUGCCAGCAGAUAUGCUGGUUCAUUCUCCUGGGAUUUUAAAGUCUGCAGUGAAAAAAGAACAACAUAUGUUUACCCACGACUGUUCAAGUAAAUGGGGUGGACAUACAUGCAGAAAAAUAUCAGUAGCUUCUUGGUGAACACAGAAAACAACAGAUGGGACAGCACACUAAUUGAGAAUCAAGAGGAAAUAAGAACUGCUCAGAACACUUCACAGAAACUAUCAGAUCAAUGAGCACCUUGGAACAUGUGAUAAAUACAAAGGGAAAAAGAAUAAGAAAAAGAAACAUAUUCUUCAUUCUCCAGGCUGUACUGUAUAAUACAGGUGCAAUGGUCGUUGAUUCACAGCAGGAAAGCGAAUGAGGUUAUAGUUUCAUAGUCUGAAAGGAAGGAUUAAAGAUACCUAGUGAAAACAUGCUCAGAUAGAAAGAAAACAAAGAAAACCAUAGCCAAUUUUCUCCUCUUAAGAGACAAAUAAUAGAUCGUAGUCAGCCACUAUGGAAAUUUAUCUGAUCAACUGUAACAGAUGCCAAUGGCCUGAAUCCAAAGUGGACAUUUGCAACCAAACCAAGUAACUGAGUAGCCUAUUGAUGACUUCUGGUGCAAGACCCAAAAAAGAAAAAAAAAAUGGUACUUUUUUCCAAUGUGAAUAUGGGUAACUUCCUCAACAGAGAACCACCAAGUGAAACGUGGAAGCGUCUGUCUGUAUACCAGGAUAGACGGAGAUAGCAGAUAUAAGAGGACCAUAGACUCCCCUUGUAGGUAUAGCAUUGGUUCCUUUCCCAGCCCAAUAUAAGCGUAUCUCCAGAGUGCGCUUGGUCACAUUGGCAGUAAAAUUUCUUGUGACCGGCUUUCCAACACCACCUGCUUCAAUCUCAAUGUUGAAAUCUUCCCACACCAUAUUCCCCUGAAAUAACGUUUAAUCUGAUUGAAGUUGAAUGUCUCCACACUGAACAAGGUGGAACUAUCAGUCUCAAUAUAAUGUAGAGAUUGUGAUCAGAUCAUGAUUUGCAAAUAUGAGAUAUGUAGAUAAAACAACCCAACCAUAACAAAUUGAACGCUUUAUAUGCUUUUCAUAUUAGAAGAAGCACUAGAUAAUGGCCAAAAUUUACCUGUAUAUAAAUGUUAAAAACUCGCCUUCCAAGGCUUUUAUAACUUUUGUCGCCCGUGAACCUUAUCUCCGCAAAAUCAAGGCUUACAUUGUAGAUCCCAUUCAUCAGACAAUAACCAUAAUAAGUUAGAGAGAUAGCAGAACGUCGUGCAUUCGUGUAAAGCAGGGCACUAUCCUUGGAAAGUAUGGAUGUAUUAUCAUUGUCUAAUAUAUAAUUAGCUGCUUCAUUGGAGUAAUCCAGGAAGUGACCAGUGCUACUGUAGCCCCAGAAUUUUUCACUUGGGAAGGAACUUGAAGCAGGUACAAGCGACGUUGAAUCAUCGUCAUAUGUGUUGUCCCCUAUUUUAACUUUGUUCCCACCGCAAUUUAUGAAGAGGUUAUGCCGAUCUGGAUGGAGUAAAGAAAUAGCCACACAGAGAAAAAUUAAGUUUUCUUCUUUCUGUUAACAUGGAGCGGACUUUCCAGACACACUAAAUAAACUAGCAUUCAUUUAUUGGAAAAUCACAUAGAAACUCCCAAGUUUAUGAGCAAUGCAUUAUUUCACGGAGGUGGCUUUUAGAAUUUCUAGAGUAAUAAUUAUGCAUUAACCAUCAGAGAUUGACACGAUAUCCAAGAGGAGAUUUGACAAGGAGAUGCACAGAGAGUAUGAUGCAAUAUCAGGAUCUCAUGAUAAUGAUAGGAUAUACAGCAGAUCAACUUACUUUCUGGACAAGGCUGACUUUGCAAACAUGCGGGUAGCCCACUCGUGGCAGGAUAGGAGGUUCUGAGGAAGUCAACAAAGAUUUUAAUGUCACAAUCAUCAUCAUUCUGAAUGAAGUUCAAUAAAAAAUUAAAAUGCAGUUCCUUGGAAAUCCAAGACUCUUGGUGAAAUUUUUUAUCUCAAACAUACGCAUUGUCAACUGCCGAGCUUGCGAACAAGUUGCUGUAGAGAAAAGACAAAAUCAACAUUCAGUAGAGAAACGAAAAUUUUGUACAUCUGCAGGACUAUAAGUUACUUAUAACUGCACAUUUGAGGGAAGCCCUCAACUUAGACUGAAGGAAGUAGUACAUACAUAGAUCGUUCUUCACAUCCUGUAUUUGUAGCAUUGAAGUUGUUAUAUGAUAGAUCACUACACAGAGAAAUAGCCAACCGUUUUCAAAAUCUCAUCAAUUUGGAAAAUACACUGAAAGUCAUUCCAUCAAAUGAUUAUUAUGUACAUAAAGGGAGACCAGUUGCAAAAUAUGGACAGGAAAGGCAAGUGGAAAGGCGAAAACAUCACAAGGUAAUGAAAGUAAUAUGUCAUCUUUAUUCAAGAAAUCUCAUCUUAAAAUAUUAAAGGGAGAAAGACUAAUGGAGUGAACGGAGACUUGAGAACUAGUCGGAUUGCAUAAAUACAUUUUUACCCAGUAACAGUACAACAGACAUGAUAUAUAAGGGAAGAGGCUCAAAUAGAACUGUGAUUCCAACGACUCCUAAGUCGGAUCUUCUUAUUAGAAAAUAUCCAGACCACUAUUUAUCAUUAAAACUACCUCAUAAAAGCUUCAUCCUUAUGCCCAUAAGAUAAUAUCAACUUUCUCCUAGGUACACUCAUUUUGGUUGCAGAGUUUCUCAAAUACACAAACCUAUAAACAUGCCCAAGCAACUAAUCAUAUUGUGCGGGUGAUGUGUUAGACAAACUUUCAAUGAAGAUUUAUAGGAAGCAAAAAUUUUCCAAAUGCCAUUUUUAUCACAAUGAUCUAGGGCUGUGAAGGGCUUUUUGUAUAGGGGAAAGUGGGGCUAACUUGGCACUUCCAAGAAAAUCCGAUUUUUAUUCUUUCAUACCAUUCAGCCUCUUGUCUUACAUAUAACAUUCCAAAAGACAGAUCCCAACAGGGAGAAAGGUACUUAUGAUAUCUCAAUGUAACUUCAUAGGCUAGAAAUCAGAAAGAUGCAAGAUGGGAGUGCAAAAUUGCUUACUACAGUGCAAAAUUAGCGAGAUAGAGCUAGACGCAAAUUAGUAAUUAAACAAGCCAUUUUCUUUGGGCAGCAAAGCUUACACAUUUGCUGCUUUCUUCAGGAUCCAAUUAGGCACUGCUCCAGUCAAUUGGUUUCCAGUCAGAUAGCUAAACAAGAUUAUUGGAAUUGAGUCAGUUCCUCAUGUACUUUUUGAACUCAAACCGAAAAAUCACAGAGCAGAUUAUAAGCAUUUAAUUAUUAGAGGUCUAGGAAAAAAUCUGUUAAGUCGUGAUAUCAAUACAGAGCUUUCAGCUGGAUAUGAAAGAUAAAGGAAAUCAAUGACAGAGGAAAAACUUGAUGCUUGCAAAACUUGGAGAGCAUGGGUUGCCAUAACACUGUACAGAAAGCUGAACAUAAUGAAGGAUACUAUCUUGCUAGCUUAGUAACUAUUUCCUCGUGAUAAUGUUCCUGUCCUUCUAAGACAAAAUAAAUAAUGGGGGAAGAUGUGCCAAUGUCAAACAGUCAAUCUUUGAGCAAAAAGAUCAAAAGAUGUGCCAUUGUUAAACGGUCCAAGAAGCUUAGGACUAUAGUUUCUCAUCAUUUGCAAGACUAUGCACAAUACAUCAAGGUCCAAUCUGCAGAUCUUCUAGAUAGCGCAUAAGAACUGCACCCACCUAACAACCUAUGGCCCUUGUUGUGAAAAGAACCAAAUAGAGAGCAUAAGGACUUUUGCUAUCUUUAAUCUCCUAUAAAUCAUAAAACUGGCGCACAGAACAUGCAUUAAGUACAUACACAUACAACUGUCAAAUAUUUAAGUAAUACUGAUCCAUUCAUCUCUUCCAGCAUAAACAAGUAACUCUAUUGACACUUGUGAAUCGUGCUCUUUAAGCAACAGAAAAUCAUCGAUCUACAUCUGCUCCAAGACUAGAGUCCCACCAAAAUAAUUAGUCGACAACAAACAUAAAUUCAUAACCCAAACCAUUGUAAAAUUCGGAUGGUGAAAUAAUAAGCAUUCAAUACACGAGGACUUUAAGGGAUAUAAACUGGAUGUGUUAUUGAGGUCUAAGUUCUAUUGAUAGCUCAACUAAUUUGCAGUAAGAGUUGCCUAUAGCUUGGCCAUUGGAACAACCUUCAAAUUUAGAUUCUUAUCUAAUAUGUGAAAAAGAAGCCUAAGUCCAGCAUCUAAGUACUUACAUAUAAUCUAUGCUGCCCAGGCUGCUAAAGUUGUCACGGAUUUCGCCACUCAGUUUGUUGAAGCUGAGGUCCCUGCAAAACAAUUAAAUGGAAAGGAGACAAAUAUAAUGAGAAGACAGUUUUAACAAACUCCCAGUGGACACUCUUUGAGUAUACUUUGGAGGAUUGUACAAACAUAGACAACAUCAAUGAAUCUACAGGUCUAGUUCAGAUGUUUAGACAUACAGGUCAAAUGCCUGGUGCCUAUGCUUUCUACUACACAUUCCUUUUUAGAGGCAUUCAUUGCAUAAAAUCCAUGUGCAUCAAGUUGGUCACAUGCUAUACAUAUACAAAAAUUCUGCUGUAAAUCAAAUUCGCUUCAAUUUAUAUAACUAGAAAUGCUACUCCGGCAAUAAAUUGAAUGCAUCCCGUGGAAUGCAACACAUUAUAGUUCAAAUUGGGAGAUUCCAUUUGUCUAAUAGGACCAAAACUAAAGCUGAUCAUAAUUUAAUGAACAGAUCUCCUUCAUAACAUUUUAUUCAUCAUGAAUAAAGAGAUGACAACUAAAUACUUGGAUGCUAAUAGAGUAGUGUAUCAGCUUGAGUGAAUAAUAAAAUAAAAAAUAAAAUGAGGAUUUCAAAAAAACAGGAAAGCAUGAUUCUGCAGUCCAAUAUAAUUAUUGAUGGAGAAAAUACAACCUAGUCGAACCUAAAGAAAAGGAAAUGGAGUAUAUGAUAAGCUGCACAGAACCACAGAAAUUUGGUUAUUCAAAAUGUCAGCAAAGAAUAAGCAUUGAUGGCUGGUGAUGACAGAAUGGCAAAAAAAAUUGCUGUUAAAUGAGGCAUUUAUAAAAUCUUACAUAGUUGACCAGGUGAAUAAGAAGAACUGACUUGUGUAAAGAUGCAUUUGAAGCCAUGCUCUCAUUCAAACAAAGAAUGUUAUGGCUGACAAAUAUACGACAGUCAAGCAUAAAACUCCAGUUAGAUAUUGUGGGGCUGAGAUUCGAGAAUGUGAACCACUAGAAGGAAAGUUUCCAGAUGAUCAACCACUAGAAGCCUCUAUCGAAGCUGUUAAAAUUAGACAAAACGGGCACCACAAGAAUUCUUGAGGUUUCUAUUCCUGGGAAAGUGAAAACAAAGAAAGAAAAGGUCCGUAUACUUCUGCGCAAAACUGUAUAUUCUAUGGCGGGGGCCCCAAUCACCAGACACUUAAAUGCCACAUCAUGAUUCACAAUUCAUCAAUAUCAACAGAAAAGAUCAAAACACCAUUGAAGUCGGUAAGGGACCUUCAAGCCAUCUUAAAUGGGUUCCUUAAGUGCAGCCAAUAGUCAACCAUAAACUAGUAGAAAUUUCAGUCAUUAAGGGUAAAAUUAUUUAUUCUGCUUGGAAUAGGAAAAGGGGAAAGCCAAUUUCCACUCACAAUAUUUUUAGCUGCGUCAUUCCUGCUAGAUAACCAGGUAGCUCUCCUGUGAGAUUGCAGCUCCUCAGAAUCCUAUAAGAAAAAAGCACUGAUGUUGUCACAUUGCUAAGACGAUUUGGCUCUCUUGCAUAAAGUAAACUAUCUUUGUAGGAGCAUCGGUCUCACAGUGUCUUAAUACUUGUACUGCUAAGUUGUGGAACUCGGGACUCGGGUCCAUUGAGGUCACUUAUUCUCCUGCACAUCAAAAUCAAAUAGGAAACUUUAUUAGAUUGAUACCAUUUUAAAGAAAGGAGAGAUGAGAUUGAAAUGCCAAACUUCAAUACUGACAGGUCGGACAAUUUCUCCAAAAGUGAGAUCCCAGAGGGAAUUGGUCCUUGCAAUCCACUUCCUUGAAUAACCCUGAUGAUCCAAUUGACAGGUUGAAUUAUCUUGGGGGUAUCUCUAUAGAGACCGACUUAAAAGGUGAAGAAGCAUUAAGCCUUACAGUUUGCUGAGAUUUGUCCAGUUCUGAAUAAAAUCAGGUAUCUUUCCCGUGAACUGAUUAUCACUGAGUUGCCUACAAUGCAUUAAACCACAAGACUCGUAUGAAGAAAGAAGGAUAGCAGUAUCUAGAUAUAUUAGCAGAGUUUAUGGAAUCUGGUAACUAACAGCUCCUGCAAUGCCGUCAAUUCAGCAAAUCUCGGAGGCAGCUCCCCAGUGAAAUUAUUUGACGAAAGGUGCCUGAGGCAAGAAAAUCCAGUUACAUCACAUUGGUUAAUAGAAAUUGUAUGCUGAUCUCUCAACAGAUCAAAUGAUAAAAUUCCCUUGCAAGGUACAACAUCAUCAGCGAAUACAAAGUGGAUGCCUAAUGCAGAAAUUCGCAUGAAGAGACUCACAGUAUAUGUAGCUGGGACAAGUUCCCCAGCUCUGGAGGCAGAAGUCCAGAGAGCUGAUUGAUCUCGACGACUCUGAGCGAAGAAUGAGAGUCAUAUCUUCAAACAUCAACCAAUUUACAUAGCGAAGACGCCAAACGCAAGCGGGCGGGGAUGGAGUUAUCGCUUACAAUUUGAAAAGUGAGGAUAUGUUUCCCAGCUCUUCGGGAUUGGACCCAGUCCAAUCGGUUUCCCAAUAGGGAACUGCACCCACAUCAUCGCGUUUCCCCCAAUCAAUCAAUAGAACAUACACUCGCAUAGAGAGAGAGAGAGAGAGAGAGAGAGAGAGAGAGAGAGAGAAGCACAUACAUGUUGCGCAACUUCGUAGAGCCCCAUUCUUUAGGAAUUGUGCCGUUCAGGCAAUUCCGGGUGACGUCACUGUUUACAGAGACAGGCGGCGGCGGCGACGGCGACGGCGAUGAUGAAGAAGAAGAAGAAGAAGAAGAAGAACAUCGAAAAUGGAGAAAGGGAAAAUGACGAGAGAGUGCUUACAAGUUCUCCAGGAAAGGCAAUUUGAACAGCUGGGCCGGAAGAGUGCCGUUCAGAGACUUCUCCUGGAGAACUCUGUUUUCACGAUGACACAAAGGCUUUAUUCUAUUGUUAUUUAUAUUUAAUCAAAGAAAUUUUUUUAUUCUAGUAUAAAUAGUAAUUGAUGAAAUAAAUAACAGAAUGAUUGGAAUGAUAAUUAUAUAACAAUUCGAGCAUUAAUCCAUCUGAUUGACAAGAAACAUCAUUCUACGAUGAAUAAUACAAAAUCAAAUUACGACGAUUGGGAUAAUCAUAUUUAAUGGCAAGCAACUGGUAUUACUGUAUUAAUAAUUUUAAUAUAAUAAAUGAUCAUAUCUUGUCAAGAUGAUAUUUACCUAUUAUUUAAUAUUUUAGUACAAAAUCAAGUAGCCGCUUCUAAAUACCACUAAUUUAAAUUGAAACUUUAUUACUUUGUUGAAAACUUCAAAGAUCUCCUUACCGUUCAAAAAGCACUUUUAGCUAAUUACACUUAAUAAAACUAACCCUAUUAUGUUUAGAGGUAAUUCAUUGUCAAAAUUGAAAGUUUGACGAGAAAUUGAUCAUAUAACUGGGACAUGAUAGAAAAAACAAAUGGAGAUAUCUCUUCUAUUCUUUCUCUUCGCAUUUCAUCUCAUUCGUAUGAUUUUGAAUAUAAAAAACGAGAAUAACUAUUCACAAGUGCAGAUUACUUUCAUGAGUAAAUUUCAAUGGUGAUCCAUGAAUUCAGUUGAUUUUGCGGGCUGAAUUUCAUUUUGAUUUUCUAAUCCAAAGAAUUUCCACUUUCUGUUUGUAUUCAAAACAUUUUGACCUAAAAAAAUAGGCCGAUCUUUUUGGUGAAAUGCUAAAAUGGUACCCAGAAUAUUGGCUCCGUGUUUACCAUGAGAGCUAGCUAACCUUAUAACAAGACAACACAAAAAUUGUAAAAUUCAUGAAAUUCAGAGUCUUCUCUCCAAUUUUUUUUUUUUUUUUGGGAGGAGGGGGGUGUGAUGACCCGAGCGGCGGUGCGCGGGGAGGAGGGAUGGCGGUGCGUCCGCGCCUCCGGUCCUCGGACGUGCGCAAGGGAAAGGGGAAGGGAUUCCUCUCCCUCUUGUCCCACAUCGCUUAGGGAGGGGUCCUUAGGAGCCUUUAUAAGGCUUGGGUGCCCCUUAACUUGUGAGACGCGUUUUAAAACCGUGAGGACUCAGUGUCCAAAGCGGACAAUAUCACACAAGUGGGGACCCGGGAUGUUACAGGGGGAGGGGGCAGAGAGAGAGAGAGAGAUACAUGCUAGUGAUAUGGCAAACAGUGGCGAUGUCAACUCCGCAAGUGGGAGUGCAGUCGCAAGCGACAUCAUUAGUAGUUUCAUCAGGUGGUUUUUUGUCACUCCAUGCCCCUGCUCUGCUACAUGGAUCUACAUUGAAAUCCCAGUUGCUUUCCCCUAAUGUCUUUGCUAUUUCUUUCAACGCAGCCACUGGAAGAGAAAAGAGGCCGUCAAGCCGAAGAGACCGCCCAAUAUAUCAUGCGUAGCAAGCACAAAACGAUGUCAGAUUUGCCUGUGUGCACUUGAGGUUGAAUGCAUGCAUCUUUCUAUAUGUUAAGAAAGGAAGCACAAGCAAAUACAGCUCAGCUCAGUGAAGGUGCCAGGCAAAAAUAGGAGGAACAAGGAACGGUACACUGAAAGCGAUACAAAAAUUGGUGGGGUUCUAAAGUUGUUUAAUUUUCACCUUCGUCGUUGGGCAAACAAGUGGCAGCGGCAGCAAGCUUAAUGAUGUAUAGGGAGGACGAGCACCGAGAAGAGAGAUCGAGCCAAGAAGAGAAUCGUCAUCAUUCACAGAGAGAGAGAGAUGAUUGUUAAUUGAGCGGUUUAGAGAGAGAGAGAGAGAGAGAGAGAGAGAGAGAGAGAGAGAGAGAGGGAGAGAGAUGACUGUUAAGUGAGUGGUCCAGCUUCAUGCACUUAUGUAGGAAAAGAUGGAGGGUGGACAAAGACUUUGUGGGGGAGGAGCAAUAGCAAUGUGUGAAAGCAAAAGAAACGACCCAAAGUCUUCCCCUUAAAGGAUAUUUACCUGUGGAGAAAUGUCAUAAAUGAUCCUAAACAUUAACUUGAUAUACAAUUCAGUAUCUUUACUUUUAAUUUGUUGAAUAUAGUCUCUAAAAUUCAAUACAGUAUGCAAUGCCGUUUAGUUUAGUUCAUGAAUUAUAUGGAAAUAUUCAAUAUUAUCAUUCCAUCAAUUCAAGCUAAAUGAUUACAUUGAACAAAUCAUAAAUUCAUCGACUAAAUUUAACAUUGUGGUAAAGUUCAUAGACCGCAUUAAAUAAGCUAAAAGUUUAAGGGUUAUAUUACAUAUAAUUUCCGUCUCAAGCUCAACCUAGAGAGAGAGAGAGAGAGAGAGAGAGAGAGAGAGAGAGAGAGAGAGAGUAUUGUUAAGUGAGUGGCACAACUUCAGGCAUUUAUGUAGGAAAAUAGGGAGGGCGGACAAAGACUUUUUGCUCUUGGAGAGCUACAGUGAUGUGUGAAAGCGAGAGAAAUGACCCUAAGUCUUCCCCUUAUAAAUAUUUAUCUAGGGAGAAAUUUCAUAAAUGAUCCCUAAAUCUUAGCUUAUUAUGUAAUGUGGUCUAUUUACUUUUGAUUUGUUUAAUAUAAUCCCUAAAAUUUAGUCCACUAUGCAAUGUCAUUCAAUUUAGCCCACGAACUAUAUGGAAAUAUUCAAUAUUGUCCUUCCAUUAAUUCAUGUGUAAGAAUAAUAUUGAACAUUUUCAUAUAAUUUAUGAAAUAAAUUGGAUGAGUAUCAAAAGUUCGGGGAUUACUUUGAACAAAUUAUAAGUUCAUAAACUAUAUUGAACAUUAUGAUAAAAUGCAAGGACCAAAUUACACAUUAAGCCAAAUUUCAUGAAUUAUUUAUAUCAUUAUUUCUUUAUCUAAGAUAAAGUAGCAAGCUUUUGUCCAACUCUUAUCAUGUAAUCACUUUUUUUUAUACAAUCAAUAUACCUAAUACAAGUCUUUUCUUUCUUUUCAUUUUUCCUCUCCAUUUUGUUCCCAUAAGGACAAUAGUCUUUUUGACCGUUUUGAUUUUUCUAUGAACACAUCUCGAAUUCAGGUUAGUAGACCCUCCAUCGAUAGUAGAGUCCAAAUUCCACGAUUAGUUGAUCAUGUUCUCCUGUAAAAGAAUUAGAUUCACCUGUUUGGACAAUUUUCUUUUCAUUUUUUUUUGUUAGUUCAGUCUUAACUAAUUAUUGGUUUCUUAAUAAUUCAAAAGCAAUGGGCAUGGAGACUCAACAAUUUUUAGGUCGAUGAGCAUCUUGCAAGUCUUGUGAACCAUUAAGUCUAGCCUUUUAUUUGCUUAAAUGAUCUAAAUUCAGAAUAGUGUGCAUGUAAUUGGCAAUAUUGAAUAGGUCAAACAUGAACGACGGACAAGUUGUCUUGACAGUAAAAUAUAUCUCCGGAGCUUCAAACAAUAAUCGACUCAUACGGUUGUAGCAUAAGAAAAACAGUUUGUCCCUUAUACUACGCCAGUCCAUAAUGGUUGCUUGUUCUCCAACAUAUCUAAAGUCUCUAUGGAUGUUGACAAGUGUUUCACUUUCAUCCACACACAAUGGAAAUAGAUUAAUCCGAGUCAACUAUGCAACUCUCUUUCUUGAGCCGCUCAUGAAAGAAAUGCUAUAAAACAAAUUAUAGACUAAUGCAACGAAAAAUCUCAAAAUAAUAUUUUAAAUUAAUUUUUUUAUCACAAAAAAAUUAAACUGAUAUAUUUAAGAGGCUUUGCCAUUUGUUUCUCAUAAGUUUAUCGAUUUGUGAUUAUUCGUGAUAUUAAUUCAAUUUAAUGAUAACUAAUGUAGAGUAAAUUUGUCAUAAAUAUAUCAGUUUGAGAUUAAAAUAAAUUUCUCACGGACAUAUUAAUUCAGGAUUAUCAAUGAAUUGACGUAAAAAUAUAUAUGUAGAUUUGGCACGUGUGGAGAUGUAUGUGUCAACUCAUGACUUUCUUUGCUUUGGCUUCUCGAAAGUAUAAUAAUUUUUUCGACCUUUCCCACCAAAUUCAAAGUAAAAGUCAAUCAUGGAAAAAUCAUAGAAAGAUCAUAUGACAACUGUUGUGGCAAAUGAAAAGUUUCAAGUGCUUAUAAUUUUGUUUUGUUUUUUUUUAAAGGGCCAAAUCAUCUGCGAGGCCAUCGCUGAGGAUUUGAAAAAACCUUGAUUUUUUGCAUAGUCAUAAUAGAAUAAGGCUGAGAUUUUCCAGUCAGAGCACGAGUCAUGGAGCCGUCGAUGUCGAUUCGGUUGAAUUUGAUGGCAGAGACUAGUCUUUGCUUUGACCUAACAUGGCCCCAUUUUGUCUCCGUUCCACGUUAGAAGUUGUAGCCAUGACCUAUGAAGGAAUAACACUUUCCAAGAGCCUUCGUGUCGUGUCGAAUACUUCGAAAUGUGUCCGACACUCGAUCAACACGUGUCGAAAAAUCUGACAUUUAGUCAACUUUUUCGACACUCUCCGACAUCAGAAUUCUAACAUAUGAGUUUCCCACACAUGAUUUCGAUAUUGAGGUAAAUUUUAAAAAUUCAAUAAAUGAGAGGUCAAAAUACAUAUAUGUGAAAAAAUAAAACACAAUAAUAAAAAUAAUAAAUGGAGAAAGAAGAAAAACCCAGUCUUUUCUUCUCUUUUGACUCCCACUUCCCUUGAUACACAAUUCACCUCUUAAGUUUUUUUUUUUUCUCAUUUUCCAACAUAUCUAACAUGCAAGUCCAGAAUAUGGAUCGCUUGUUUUUUUUUUUUUUUCGAAAUUUUAUGAAUUAUUGAAAUAGAGUUGAAUUUGUUAAAUUUGAAACAUUGAAUGAUAUUAAUAAAUGACGGAUUAAUGUUUAUAUAUUCAUUCUAGGCUUUUCUAUUUAUUUAUUUAUUUAUGCAUUUGAUUCAAAUUAAUUUGAUUGAAAUAAUCAUAAAAAUGAUAAUUUAUUGUGUAUAUAUAAAAAUGUAUAUUUAAUAUACAAUGUAUCGGAAUUCUCUAUUUUUUGAUAAAUGACGUGUCGGCGUGUUGUGUCGUGUUGUGUCGCGUGUCAGUGUUGGUACUACUUAGGCCACGACCCAUAGAAAAACCACAACACGUGAUAUAAAAUUUAGAUUUUCAAGUUGUGUUUGUUUCGCAAAUAAUAAAUAUUUUGAAAUUAUUUUUCUAAAACUAAUCACUUGUAUCACUUAAAAUAAUUAGUCAAUGAAAAGUGUUUUCUUUAUUAACAAUAAUUUAUAUUUAAAUAUGUUUGCGAAUGAUGAAAAUAGUUUUUGUUCAUACAAUUUUAUAAGUGAUAGCCUUGAGCAAGACAUCAUCUUGUAUGCAUGUAUGGUCAGAAAGUCAUUGGGGGGUCGUUUUAAUAUUGUCAACUAAUGCAAUUAUAUUCAAAACAGUUUAAGAAAGAUUUGAAAAUUCCAUGUUUUGAAAAUUCCAUGAAUUUUAAGUAUGUAAGGCGCGUUUGUUUUGACAGAAAAUAAGUGAUUCGGAAAAUAUUCUCUAAAAAAUGAUCGCUUAUAUUGCUUAAAAAAAUUAGUCAACAAAAAAUAUUCUAAUCAUUGAUAACAAUUUAUGCCUAAUUAUUUUCGUAGGUGAUAAAAAAAAUUUCUAUUUCUUUAUUUUUCUAAAUGAUAUAAGCGAUCAAUUUUUGAAAAAUGUUUUCCAAAUCACUCAUUUUUCACGAAAUGAACGUACCUGUAAUAUCGUGCAGAGGGGGACAAUUUUCGAGCCCGUUCGGGAUGUGUAUGGGACGUUCCAAAACAUGUGAAUUUAUUGUGUUAUACCUAUGAAAUCAAUUGACCAAUGUAUCUAUGUGAUUAAUAUAUCUUGAGCAAAAGGUCAAACACACUGGCAAUGCAACCCUUGUUCCUCCGCAUCACAUUUGUUGCAAAAACCACACUUGAAUCCCAUUAAAAACCUUUGACAUAUAGCUUCGAUUGACAUCCAUAAAUAAAAGAUAUGAAGAGACUGCUAAACUGAGAGAAUGAUUACCUUUCAAUGGAUCCAUGUAUAUAAAUUGCACUGGUCCAUCAAGCUUGCUUUAUCUAUUAAGUGAAUGAUCAAGUGAACCAUAAUGGUGAAGAUUCCAAGAGGAUUUUUUUUUUUUUAAACAUUUCAUCUACUAAGCGAUGGCGACCACGACGGCAAUGAAGAAGAAGAUCGAAAAUGGAGAAAGGGAAGAUGGAGAGAGAGGAGGGGCUUACAAGUUCUGGAGGCGGAAGAGUGCCGAAAAGAGACUGCUCCUUGAAAAUUCUGUUUUCAAUGACACAAAAAGGCUUUAUUCUAUUAUUAUUUGUAUUUAAAUAUAUAUAUGUUAUUCUAUUAUUAAGAGUAAUUGAUGAAAUAAAAAAUAGCAUGAUUGAAAUGAUAAUUAUUAUAGAACAUUUCGAGCAAUAAUUCAUUUAAUUAGCAUAAACAUCAUUAUACAAUGGAUCAUACAAAAUCAAAUUACGAGAAAUUUAGAUAACCAUACUUAAUGGCAAGCAACUCUGUUGUUGUCUUAAUAAUUUUAUACGAUAAAAUGAUUACAUACUGUCGAGAUGAUAUUUGCUUAUUAUAUAGUAUUUUAAUAUGAAACUUAAGCAGCCAUGUACGCACUCGUAAAGACGACUAAUUUAAAUUAGAAUAUUGUUGCUUUACCGAAACUUUAAUGAUUUCAUUCUUGUUCGAUGGUUCAGAAAGUACCUUUAGCCGACAAUGUUAGAAAUUCUACGGAAAACCAUAAUCCUGAUAAUUGGGAUUUAUUGUGGAAAUGUGUAAAUUUUGUACUAACCUCCGGUUAUUGAUGAUAUCAAGAGCGGGUAUGCGAAGCUUGAACGAUCGUAAAAAAGCACUUCUAGCCAAUUGUCCUUUCGACGUUAAUGGUGUGUUUUCCAAUUAUCAAAUAAUCAGAAUAAUAAGAAUAAUGAGGGGGUUUGGCUUAGAUGACCAAUUUUUAUGCUCAUACAAAUCCUAAUAGAUAUAGUCUUCCAUCAAGACUAAUCCUAGUAGGUAUGGACAAUCUCCAUAAUUAUCAGCAACUAGAUUUGGAUAAUAAAUCCUCAAUGAAAUCUAAUGUAGGUAAUUUUAACUAAAUGUUGGAUCAUAUUGAUUAAAAUUAUAACAUUCUCUCACUUGAUCCCGACAUUUUAUUGAACGAAAUAUUUAACCAAAUCCACAAAACUUCACGCUGAAAAUAAAACACGUGAAUCAUGACGAUAAGUCCUCUUAGAAUGAGUAUUAUUUUUCAUGUAUCACAAUGUGUCUCACCAGUCCAUAUGUGAUAACAUACCAUAAUGAAUAAACCUUAUGUUCUAGGUCAAACAUGAUUGUUUUUCUCAUAUUAACUAAAUGAAUAUAACUGUAUUGAGAAAAAUAUCGCAAAUGAAUAAAAUUUUCUAUAAAUCUUCCAUAUAAAAAAAAAAAAUUACUUGAUUGGACCAAUGCCUAUUCUGACUACACGAUCCUUAUAACUCUUUGGUGGCAUGCCUUCAGUUAAAGGAUCAGUUUUCAUCAAUUCAAUACUUAUAUGUUUUAUGACUACUUUCUUCUCUUUAACACGUUCCUUGAUGACUAAAUACUUGAUGUUGAUGUGCUUACUUCGACCACCACUUUCAUGGUUCUUAGCCAUGGAAACCGCAGUUGAAUUAUCACAAAACAUUUUCAAUGGCUUAGUAAUAAAAUCAACUGUAAGCCCAAAUAUGAAACUUUUCAACCACACACCAUGUCAGGUGGUCUCCAAACAAGAAACAAACUCAGCCUUCAUAGUGGAAGCAGCCAAAGUCUGUUUCGCAUUCCUCUAGAAUAUAGCUCCACCAGCAAACAGAAUAAUGUAUCCCAAUGUAGAUUUACGGGAAUCGACACAGUAAGUGAAUUCUAAAUCCGAGUAACUAACUACCUUCAAGCUAUCAUUUUGCCUAUACAUAAGCAUGUGCCCCUUUGUACCUUGAAUGUAUCUCAACACAUUCUUUGUAGCUCUCCAAUUGUCCAUACAUGGAUUACUUCAGUAUCUUUCCAACAUUUCCACAACAAAAGUAAUAUUAGGGCGAUUGCAAAUCUGAGCAUAUAUCAAGUUUCUGACAACAAAAGCAUAUGUGAUAUUCUUCAUUUGUUUCCUUUCAAAAUCAUUCUUCGAGCACUGGUUCAAAUUAAACCUAUCACCCUUCAUAUGGAUGCUAUAUUUUGUGAACAAUUUUUUAUUCGAAAUCUCUUUAAGAGCUUAUUAAUAUAGGUUUCUUGAUAUAGUCCUAAUAUACCUUGAGAUCUAUCCCUAUGGAUCUUAACGCCAAUGAUACAAGAUGUCUCACUCGUAUCCUUCAUGUCAAAACUAUUAGAGAGGAAUUGUUUCACCUUAUGUAGCAACACCUUAUCAUUUGUUGCAAGUAAAAUGUUAUCCACGUAUAGGACAACCUUAUCAUUUGUCAAAAAUAAAUCUUGCUCCUACCAACCUUAUCAUAUAUAUAUUGAUUCAUGACAUUCUUUACAAAAUCGAAAGAAGAUAUGACCUCAUGGAAUUUCAAGUACUAUCAGCAGGAUGUUUGUUUCAACCCAUACAAAGAUCUCUUAAGCUUGCACACUAAAUGCUCACUAGCAUUAGAGAAAAAUCCUUCUAUUUGUUUCAUGUAAAUCACUUCUUCUAAUUUUCCAUUGAGGAACGUCAUUUUUACAUUUAUUUGAAAUGAGCAACUAAUGCCAAAAUAAUACGAAAAGAAUUUUUCUUAGAUGCAUGAGAAAUUGUCUUCGUGUAAUCAAUUCCCUCCUUUCAAGUGAAUCUCUUGGCAACGAGUCUGACUUUGUAUCUCUCAAUAUUGUCCAAUGAGUAUCUCUUAGUUUUAAAAAUCCAUUUACAACCAAUGGGCCUCGUCCUAUCAGACAACUUUACUAAAUCUCAAACUUCAUUAGAUACCAUAAAACUCAUCUCUUCUUUCAUGGCAUUACACUACAAAUUAGAUUUAUCACAACUUAUGACUUGUGAAAACGUUUCAGGAUCAUUCUUAGUACUAACAUUAUAGUUAAAUUCUUGCAAAUAUAGUCACUAGAAAUUGCUGAUUUCUUCAAUUUAGUUGACCUUUUUAAUGUUAAUGCAACAUUUUCCUAAGGAGCAUGUUGUUCAACCGAUUGCUCGACAUUUUCUGGUAAUUGCUGAACAAUUAAAUCUAUCAAAUUAAUAUCAACAUGUUAUGGAAUUUCUAUGAUUGGUUGUUCAACGACAGGUUGAACUGAAGGAACGUUGUAAAUAACAACCAAUCCAAUACCUAAAAUGGAAGGGUGGGUAUUUGAAUGAUCUUCUUUAGAAAUAAGGCCCUUAAAUUGAUCUCUUCCACUAAUUAGGUCAUUCUCAAGAGACUUAACAUUUCUUGAUUCCACAAAUCUAGUGGUGUGACAUGGAUAAUAAAACCUGUAUCUCUUGGACUUUUCGGCAUAUCCAAUGAAAUACCUAUUUAUAGUCCUUGGGUUUAACUUCUUUUCCCGUGAAUUGUAGACUCGUACUUCAGACGGGUGUAUGCGUACAUGUUGCAAACUCAAUUUCCAACCUUUGAAUAACUCAAAAGGCAUAUUAAGGAUGGCCUUAAUUGAAACUUAGUUUAAUAUGUACAAUGCUGUUGAAGAGCUUUAGUCCAUAAGGAUUUAGGUGUUAGAGAAAACUUUUUUGUGUGUUUUGAAGCUGACAAAAUAUUUCCAUCAGUCUAGGCUGAAGACUUAUAGACUCUUUAGUCAAAGUCUGAAGAACACUGAACCGCCAAACUCAAGAUUCAAAGCUUAUCCUCAUUGACAGUUUCUAGACUGUCGAAAAAGUCUUAUAUAGAAUUGAGUAUUUUGUUAAGGAUUUGAUUCUAUCGAUUGAAGAAGAUCUCUUGGCUGGAGAUAGCAUCUCAGAAUCCAUUAUUCAAAUUGAGAUUGAUUCAGGGAUUUUGGAUCCGUUGAUUGACGAAGCAUACUUGGAAGGUUCUACUUAUGGAAAUCUAGAUCUUGAUUGUAUGGGCGAGCGGGAUUGGUGGGCUAUCGUCAUAUUCCUUAAAUAACUCGAAAUCUCCCUAAUUGAUUCUGUCCAACGGGUAGAUUGGAAGAAUUCCUUUGGUAAAUGCCAACGGGUAUGAAGGCAUGGAGGAGUAUAUAAGGAAGACGUUCCGGUUAUUCGAGUGUAUGCGCGAUAGAAGAAUUCCAAAGUUUGAAGUUCCUUGUUAUUUGUCAAUUCAAUUAUUGACCGUAAACUUGUACUCAAAAGAGAGUUUAUACUUCUGUGAGACCUUGAGGAAGUGUAGCAGAGUCUCUACACUGUGGAAUCAAGGAAGAGCCAUAUUUUAACAACUCUUUUGAUUCUUAGUGAAAUCCAGCCGGUGGGCUGUCAGUGCGGAAGAGUGGAUGUAGGCUUGGAUUAAGCCGAACCACUAUAAACCCUGUGUUCUUAUUCUCUUUCCUAAACUCUUUUACUUUGAUCGUAUUUUAUUUGAUUAUUAGAGUCUAAUUUCCUUUUCAUAAUUUAUUGCUAAACAGAGUCGGUUUAAAAGUAAAAUUAUACUCUUUACUCUGCAAAAUUUGUUUUCGCACCUAUUCACCCCCUCUAGGUACUCGUACUAGCUUUCAUAAUUGGUAUCAGAGUCUAUGUACUCACUUAAAUUGAAGUGUUUUUACUUCAAAGUUAACGAUCCAUGGCUAGUAUGUUGGCUCCAGGUUUGGUUGAAGGGCAGAGCAAUACCAGACCGCCUUAUUUUGAUGGAAAUGAAUACAACAUAUGGAAAAACAAGAUGAAGGUAUUCCUAAGAUCAAAGGAUCCUCUGGAAUGGGACGUGGUAGACAAAGGAAUCAUUCCUAAAGCUACAAUAGUCUCAGAAAGAGAAAAAGAAGCUGUUGAGUCCAGUGAAAUGACUCAAGAAGAGAUAACUAAGAAACAAGCUCUUGAUGCAAAAGCAAUUUAUUCCUUAUAUUGUGCAUUAUUUCCUACUGAAUAUAACAUAAUAUCUUCUUGUGAAACAGCUAAAGAAGUCUGUGAUAGAUUUCAUAUCAUCUACGAAGGAACUGAUCGAGUGAAAGAAACCAUAAUCAAUAUUCUGCUCAGUCAAUAUAAAGCAUUCAAGAUGAAAUCAAGAGAAUCUAUUACUGACAUGCUUAGUCAUUUUACAGAAAUCGUGAAUGGUUUUAAGUAUCAAGGUCAACCAAUCUUUGGACCCAUGAAAGUCAACAAGUUACUGCGUGGACUUUCCAAAGAUUGGAACCACAUAAAGACCUCAAUAAAGGAGACACAAAGAAUCAUGCCACUCUCUGUUGACGAAUUAGUUGGCACUCUUUAGUCUUAUGAAGUGGAGCAAAUCAACGAAGAUGAAGAUCCCAAAGGUAAGAAAUCCAUUGCAUUAAAAUCUAACGAUGAUUAUGAUGUCACAGAUUUUGAAGACGAUAUGGACGAUGAAGAGCUUGCUCUCAUGAUAAGAAGGUUCAGAAAAUUGAAUAGAAAGGGAAGAAGAUUCAAUCCGAAGAAACAAAGUUCUCAAAAGCUACAGAAUAAAUCAGUUGAGGAUGAUGAAUCCAACAAUGAUGUAGUCUGCUUUGGAUGCAAGAAAAAGGAACACAUCAGACCCAAUUGUCCUCUGCUGAAAAGAAAGAAAGGAAAAGCUAAGAAAUAUCGAAAGACACUUAAAGCAGAAACUUGGAGUGACACCGAAUGUGAAGAAAGUGAUGAUGAUUAUGCUAAUAUUUGUCUCAUGGCACAAUCAGACUUAGAUUCAGAGUUUGAGACAGACUCGGACUAAAAUAGUGAAAUCGAGGUAAGUAAUUUAAAAAUUCCUACUAAAGUCUCUAAAUAUAUUGAUGAAUUGUGUCUUAGUCUCAAAACCUCUCUCAAGAGGAUUUCUGAACUUAAAAGGGGAAAUUCUGCACUGAAGCAACAUGAAAUUGUUUGGAAAGAAAAGGUCAAAAGUUUAGACAAAAGUAUUAUUACUUUAAAAGAAAAUACAGACAAUCUUUCAAAAGAAAAUGCAUUCUUGAAAAAUGAUAUCUUAAGCAUUUCUAAAAGGUUUUCUAUGGGAUCUAAGAAACUGGAAAAAAUUCUUUCAGCACAAAGAUCUUACUUCAACAAAUCAGGGUUGGGAAUGACUGCUGAAACUAGUCCUCUAAUUGAUUUUCCUAAGAUAAAGGAAAGAAUUAAACAAAGACCUACAAAAGAUUCUUACAAAAAUCAUUUCCAAAAAGUUUUUGUAAAACCUGUAGGCCGCAGUGCUCUUAAAUGUUCUAAGUGUAACAGCUUAGAACACUUUGAGAAAAAAUGUCCCAUGGUUUGGAAACUUGUGAGGAAGGUUUGGGCAAAUACUGUAUAUCACAUUAACUCCACUGGACCCAAGAAAAUAUGGGUACCAGAGAAAGCUUGUGUUUCUUUUUUAAAUGCAGGUUACUAUCAAGAAAAAUGUUAAAUGGUACUUGGAUAGUGGAUGCUCGAGACAUAUGACAGGAGACUCAAACUGCUUUAUAAAACUUGUGCAAGUUAAUGAUGGAAAUGUUUCUUUUGGAGGAAAUAGCAAAUGAAGAAUUGUGGGAUAUAGAACUGUAAAGAUUGGAAGUCUCAUGAUCAGCAACGUUUCCUUAGUAGAAUGACUCAACUACAACUUACUGAGUAUCAGCCAACUAUGCGACACCGGUUUCAAAAUCAACUUUCAAGAAGGAAUAUGUUCAGGAACAAGUAAAGACUCAUCUCAGACUUUCAUGGGGCGAAGACAUGGGAAUAUUUAUUUGUUGGAUAUCAAACCAGAAAAAUCCUAGUGUCUAAUCUCAAUUCAAGAGAAAGUGAAUCUAUGGCACAGAAAACUUGGACACAUCAACAUGAAGCAAAUAGUCAAGAUCUCUACAAAGAAGCUUGUUCGUGGACUACCCAAUCUGACAUACCAAAAGUUUGAUCUAUGCACACCAUGCGUAUUAGGAAAACAUGUAAGAAAUUCAUUCAAACCAAUAAAUCAAGUGUCUACUAAUCAUGUUCUGCAGCUCUUGCAUAUGGAUCUCUUUGGACAAACCAGAACUUAGAACAUUGGAGGUAAGAAAUAUUGCCUAGUAAUUGUGGAUGAUUAUUCACGAUUCACUUGGGUAUAUUUUCUGGCAAGUAAGUCUGAAACCUUUUUGUAUUUUACAAAAUUUGCUAAGAAAGUUCAAAAUGAGAAAAUGUAUGUUAUUUCAAGUAUACGAAUAGACUAUGGAGGUGAAUUUGAAAAUCAAGACUUUGUUAAAUUCUGUGAUGAAUCAGGCUUUCAGCAUGUAUUCUCCUUACCUUAUACUCCAGAAAAGAAUGUAGUUGUGGAAAGAAAGAAUAAAUUGUUGCAAAAAAUGACUAGAAUUCUUUUAAUUGAAAGUAACAUUUCUUCUCGUUUUUGGGUUGAAGCAGUUUCUACAACAUGCUAUAUUAUUAAUAGAGAUUUCUUAAGACCUAUUAUGGAGAAAACUCCCUAUGAGUUGUUCAAAGGAAAGAAGUCAAUAGUUUCCUAUUUUCAUGUAUUUGGUUGCAAAUGUUUUAUAUUGAAAAAUAUAAAUGAUCGAAUUGGUAAGUUUGAAGAAAGAUCAGAUGAAGGUAUAUUCCUUGGAUAUUUAACCAUAAGCAAAGCUUAUAGAGUAUACAACAAAAAAGACUCAUUCAGUGGAAGAAUUGAUGAAUGUCAAAUUUCAAGACUUUAUGCAAAACUAAUCGAUUCAAACUCAACCUGAAGAAUCUGAAUCUGCUCCAGACUCUACAAAGUUUAAAUCACCAGAAGUUGCUCAGACUUCAGAAAACCAGCAACGAAUGAUCGUUGAAGAUUCAAAUGAAGAAAAAGACCAACAGUUUGACAAAUCAACCAGUAACUGGAAGCACAAGUCUAGUCAUCCUAAAGAACUCAUUAUUGGUGACAUUAAUGAGGGAAUUCGUACAAGAUCCAAAAGCGUGAAGAGUCUAGUGCUGUUGCUCUUAUUUCUGAAAUAGAACCCAAGAGCAUAGAAGAAGCUUUAAUUGAUGAAAGCUGGAUUGAAGCUAUGCAAGAAGAGCUCAGACAAUUCAGUAUCAAUAAUGUCUGGGAAUUGACUCUUAAACCGAAAGGUAAAAUCUAUCAUUGUAGCUAAAUGGGUUUUCGGGAACAAGAUGAACGAGAAAGGAAAAGUCGUAAGGAACAAAGCAAGACUCGUGGCCAAAGGAUAUAUGCAAGAAGAAUGGAUAAACUAUAAUGAGACCUACGCACUAGUAGCAAGGUUAAAAGCAAUUAGAUUAUUACUUGCUUUUGCUUGUUAUAAGAAUUUCAGGUUAUUCCAAAUGGACAUCAAAAGUUCUUUCAUAAAUGGAUUUAUCCAAAAAGAAGUCUAUGUGGAACAACCUCCCGGUUUUGAAGACCCAAGGAAACUAGACUUUGUGUUUAGACUAAAAAAGGCGCCGUAUGGUUUAAAGUAAGCACCUCGAGCUUGGUACGACAAACUAAGUAAGUUUUAAAUUCAAAAUGGCUUUGUUAAAGGUAAAGUGGAUACUACACUGUUUAUCAAAAGAGAAAGCAAAAUCUUCUUGCUUGUUCAAAUUUAUGUUGAUGAUAUUAUUUUUGGAUCAUCUAAUGAAAAUUUGUGCAAGAAAUUCUCUAAGACUAUGCAUGAUGAAUUUGAAAUGAGCAUGAUGGGUGAACUAUCCUUUUUUCUCAGACUCCAAGUAAAACAAUUGAAGGAAGUUAUUUUCAUUCACCAAGAAAAAUAUGCUAAAGAUCUUGUUAAAAAGUUUGGCUUGGAGAAUUGCAAAAAGAUAGAGAUACCAAUGUCAAGUUCUUCGAAGCUGGACAAAGAUGAAGGAGGAAAGAAAGUUGACCAGAAGCUAUACAGGAGUAUCAUUGGUUCACUUCUUUAUCUUACUGCUUCUAGACCUGACAUUCUGUUUAAUGUUUGUAUUUGUGCCAGAUUUCAACCAGAUCCCAAAGAAUCUCACUUAAGUGCUGCAAAACGCAUCAUCAAAUAUGUUGCAUCUACUUCUAAUCUCAGUCUCUAGUAUCCUAAAGAAUGGGACUUUACUCUUCUUGGAUAUUCAAACGCAGAUCUAGCAGGAUGCAGAGUUGAUAGGAAGAGCACCUCGAGCACUUGUCAAUUACUUGGUAAUAGGACAGUAUCUUGUUUUUUGAGGAAGCAAAGUACCGUAACUCUUUUUACAGCAGAAGCAGAAUAUGUGGCCCUUGGAAGUUGUUGUUCACAAAUUCUGUGGAUAAAACAAUAGCUAAGAGACUUUGGAAUUAAAGAUUCAUGCACUGAGAUCAAAUGUGACAAAACCAGCGCAAUCAAUCUCACCAAGAAUCCAAUUCUUCAUUCAAGUGCAAAGCAUAUAGAGAUUUGACAUCAUUUCAUUAGAGAUCAUGCUCAAAAUGGAGAAAUCUCGAUUCAAUUGAUUGACUUAAAGAAUCAACUAGCGGACAUCUUCACAAAGCUUUUGGAGAAAAGUCAAUUUGAGCUUAUUCGUUCCAAACUCAAUAUCUUAAAGUCUGAAGAAGUUCAGACUCAGGGAUAAAAGUCUAAUAAUAUUCAGACUUAGAAGAUGAAGAUCAAUGACUGUAAGUUAUUUUCGUUUUUAGAAAUUUAUCUCUUGGAUAAAAUCUCGAAAAUGUACGAUUAUCUAUUAAUUUGUAAUUGAUUGAUUUCGAAAAGGUACGAUCAUCUCCCCAGUAUUCGUGAUUAUUGCAAUCAUUCCUUUUCGAAAAAUGGGUUAUUUUUUAAAAGACAAUUAUCUAUUUUUCAAAAAGGCAGUUAUUUUUUAAAAGAAAAUUUUCUAUUUUUUCAUUUUUAUGUCUUUUUGUAUGCCUCUUUUCGACUGCUUUAUAUACUGAUCAUCUUCCUCAAAAACCCUAAAAGCACAGACCUUCGUUUUCUUAGUUUUACUCUCUAGUUUAAUCUUCAAAGUUCUCACCUUUUUUUACGAGUUGAGUUUGGAAUCUCUCAAAAACUAUGAAAAUGGCAUCUCAAAGGAAGUCUUCAAGGAUCGCAAACAGGGGACCACAACAAAUGUGUGAGGGUUCUACACAUUUUAACCUCACCGAGAAAAAAGAAUAUUCGAGACAGGAGCAGAGCCCACAACAUUCUCAACAGCGUCAAUCUUCUCAAGCUAGAUCUUAAGGUAGUGAUCGUAGAGCGGAGGAAGAAAUCAUUGAAGGCGCAGAACUCAUAAGAUCUCAAAAGUCCGCUUUUAUCUAUAAGCUUUACUCUUCUUUGAAAAGGGGAGAGGGACUCUUGAAAUAUAUCGAUGAAUUUUUGAAAGAUAAAGGGUAUCGAAAUGAAACCCACUUUUUGCGGACAAUGGAACGAUUGGAGAUUGCUCCUGCGGGGUCGGCAGAUCGACGCAUUUGCAAAUGUUCCUAGUGAUCCAUGUGUUGGAGGUCUUAGUCAGCUGAUGGAAUGAUGAUGACAAUGUACACUCAUUCAAGCCUAGAUGGGUGUGGGCGAUAUCGAGCAAAUGACAGAUUUGUUUCACUCAAAUGAACACAGACGACUUUACUCUAAGUUGCUAAAAAAGGGGUGAUCAAUCCGAGGAGUGUAGACUUUGAUUUUCUUGAUUCUAUGAAUGUGAAGCUGCGAGAGAAAUUCUCUAAACUUCAGCUUGAGCAAUUUUGUUCUGAGACGACUAAGGUAUAUCCAGAAUUUACUGCUUACUUCUAUUCUAAUCUCAGUUUCUUGGAUGCGAAUAGAUUUUCGUUUAGUAUUCGAGACCAAGACUAUGUUGUUGACAUGGACACAUUGACGGAUGUGAUUGGAGUGGAGCGAGGGGCUUUCCAAUUGAUUAGUGUGUCUAUUAGUCGUGCGAUAGUAGAGCUUGUUCGGGAUAGAAUGGUUAAAGGAAGAAUUUCAUACUUGAGGAUGAAUGCCUCUAACAUUUUGCUUCACAAAAUCAUGAUCAAUUGCCUCAGACCCAAGUCAACCUCGAAGACAAACGUCUCCAACUCAGAAGCAAAGUUGAUGUAUGCCAUUAAUGCUGGCAAGAAAUUCUCUCUACCUCACACAAUCAUGUUUUACAUGUACAGAACGAUGGCGAAAGACAGAGGGCAACUUCCUUACUCAGGACUUGUUACAAAGCUUUUCAAACGUUUCAAUAUUCAGCCUCCCAGGAUUUUGUGUGUUCGAUCAUGUGAUCAAAUGGUAGUGGGACUAAAAAUGGUUUCCAAAAUGUGUUUGAAAGAGCUGGACAAAGUUUUGGAGCGAUUGAAAGAGAAAACCCCUGUCAAGUCACACCAAGGUUCUUCAGUGGCAAAGCGGAAAAGGAAGGAGCCCAUGACAGUUCCAUCCAAGAAAAGAAGAGCACUUGUUCUGAAGGAUGAAGAGAAUGAGGAUGAUGUUACCAUUUCUGCUCUUGCACUGAGAAAUCUUCAAAGUGAUGUUCCAGAGACUGAGGAGAGAGAGGAUCAAGACAAAGACGAAGAAGAAGAAAUGAGUGGAGAGAGAGAAUCAAUGCAAAAAGAAGCAGAGGAAGAAAGAAUUGCAGAAGAAGAAGAAGGCAAAGGUGAACAGGCAAAAACAGAGCAUGAAGCGUACUUCUCACCUCCUGAGAGCAUUGAAACAGGGGGAGUUGCUGAUAAAAGAGGUACAUCUUCAACUGCUGUUACUAAUGAAGGUGUUAGUCGCUCACCUGCAGAUCCAGAAGACAUCUAUGCUUCUCAAUUCCCAGAGGAAGGUCAUGAGGUUUCAUCGCCAAAUCUGAGUGAUCAUGCUGGCUUGCUAUCAUCUGCAAAUACUCCCAUUGAUGGUGCAGAAGCCAGUACUCAGACUAAAAAUUCAGCAAACUUUUGCAGAGUUCUUGAUGUUCUUAUGGAGAUGCGAGGACAGAUUUAUGCCCUAGGAUGCGAAGUUCAGAACUUGCAGAAUGCAGGUCAAGCCUCUUCAGUUUCCUUGCAUGAUCAAAUUCAUGCCAUUGCCCUUCAAGUUCAAGCAAAUGCCAAUGGUGAAGAUAUGGCUCAACUGAAGGAGGAUUUGAAGAAGCUGGAAGGGAUUGUCCAGUCAAUGGGAGAUUUUCAGCUCAUUCGUGUUCCUAGGCAACCAUGAUUUCAUUAUCUUUUUAUCUCUACCUUUUUUAAUGCUGACAAAAAGGGGGAGAGAUGGUGCAGAUUUGAGACUUGACUUGUUUGACUUUACUUUUUGAAUGAAUUUUUACUUUUGUUUGGUUGUUUGGUUGUGACUGGAUUUGGACUGUUUGAUCGUUUGUUUAUUUUAAGCACUACUGGUAUUUCAUGGUAUAUCAUGGCAAAGAUAGAAGUUUAUAUACAGAACUAACUUUUUCCUAUGGAUUCAGAUUCAAUGCUAUCUUUACUAAGUCAAUUAUCCUUGUGAGAUAUCCAUGUUUGCUUGAAUACUGUUUUGCAGGUAAAAAAUAUCCAAAUCUGCAGAAAAGUUUUGUUACCAUAAAAAAGGGAGAGAUUGUUGGAGAAAACUUCAUUGUGUGUUUUGAAGCUGACAAAACGUUUCAAUUAGUCUAGUCUGAAGACUUGCAGACUCUUUAGUCAAAGUCUGAAGAUCACCGAACCACCAGACUCAAGAUUCAAAGUAUAUCCUCAUCGACAGUUUCUAGACCGUCGAAGAAGUCUUCUAUAGAACUGAGUAUUUUGUUAAUGAUUUGAUUCUAUCGACUGAAGAAGAUCUCUCGGCUGGAGAUAGCAUCUCAGAAUCCAUUAUUCAAAUUGAGAUUGAUUCAGGGAUUUUGGAUCCGUUAAUUGGCGAAGCAUACUUGGAAGGUUCUACUUAUAGAAACCUAGAUCCUGAUUGUAUGGGCGAGCAGGAUUGGUGGGCUAUCGUCAUAUUCCUUAAAUAACUCGAAAUCUCCCUAAUUGAUUCUGUCCAACGGGUAGAUUGGAAGAACUCAUUUGGUAAGUGUCAAUGGGUAUGAAGGCAUGGAGAAGUAUAUAAGGAAGACGCUCUAGUUAUUUGAGUGUGUGCGCGAUAGAAGAAUUCCAAAGUCUGAAGCUUAUUAUUCUUUGACAAUUCAAUUGUUGAGCGUAAACUUGUACUCAAAAAAGAGUUUGUACUUCUGUGAGACCUUAAGGAAGUGUAGCAGAGUCUCUACACUGUGGAAUUAAGGAAGAGCCAUACUGUAACAACUCUUUUAAUUCUUAGUGAAAUCCAGCCGGUGGGCUAUCAGUGCGGAAGAGUGGACAUAGGCUUGGAUUAAGCCGAACCACUAUAAACCCCGUGUUCUUAUUCUUUUUCCUAAGCUCUUUUACUUUGAUCGUAUUUUUAUUUGAUUAUUAGAGUCUAAUUUCAUUUUCAUAAUCUAUUGCUAAACAGAGUCGGUUUAAAAGUAAAAUUACUCUUUACUCUGCAAAAUUUGUUUUCGCACCUAUUCACUCCCUCUAGGUGCUCGUACUAACUUUCACAUUAGGAAGUUUGGAACUACUAAGCAUACUCCACACCAUAUCCAAUAAAGUUCGAUUUCUUCUUUCCGCUACACCAUUAUGGAGAAUCAAGCAUAAUGUAUUGGGCAAUAAUCUCAUGCUUUUCAAGAAACUUUGCCAAUUGACCCAAUGCUUAUCCAUAUUCAGUGUAUCUAUCAUAAUAGUCUUAAUCUCUAUCUGAUCUCACGAUCUUAAUUUACUUACCACAUUAUUUUUUUACUUUGGUUUUAAAUAUCUUAAAAUUAUCUAGCAUUUCAUGCUUAUUACAAUGCAAGUAGAAAUACAUGAAUCAUGAAUAAUCGUCUAUAAAAAAGAUGAAAUAUCUCUGAUCACUUGAGUCAAUAUCUGAACUACAAAUAUUCAUAUGUAUGAUAUUUGAUAUUUUUGCACUCCUCUUGGUAUCUUUCUUUGACUUAUUGGUCUGCUUUUCCUUUAUGUAGUUCACAUAAGUAUUAUAAUCAGUAAAAUCUAAAAUACUAAGUACUCCAUCAUUUACCAAUCACUUAAUUCUAUUUAUGGAGAUAUAUUCCAAUCUCUGAUACCACAAUACAGAGGAAUCAUCAUUCACAACACCUCCCUUUAUGCCAGUAUUAUCAUGAACGUGCAUUGCAUUAUAAAUAACAUUAUCUUGUAAAUAAAUUCGAAAGAGACCGUUAGAUAAAAUACCAUUCCCUACAAUUUCAAAUUUAUACGAUAAACUGAAUGUUGAACUUGAAAAUUUAAAGAAGUAUCCCAAUUGUACAAAUCUUGAAAUUGAAAUUAAAUCCUAGAUAAAGUACGAAUUUAAAAUGUUCUUUCUAAUUCAAAGUAAAACCACUAUUGAGAACUAAUCUAUAUGUCCCAAUAACUUCUAUACGCGAACACAUCUUGUUUUAUGAAUAGAUGCUUGUUUACUUCCCACCGGUUUCCGUUGGUUCUAGAAACCAUGCAAGAAACUUGAAAUGUGGAUUGUAGAACCAUAAUUAAUCUACUAAGUGUUAUGAUCCAUAUCAACCAUAUUAGAUUCAUAAUAAACACAUUAGAGUUGGUUAUCUUUCUUUUUGAGCCAGACUUUAAAUUUGGCACAAUCCUUCUUCAUGUGCCUAUAAAAAAACACUUAGAUUACUUCUUAAUGCUAGCUUGAGGAAGUAUUUUACCUUUUGCAUGCCUAGCCUUAUGAAGUAUUUUACAUUUUCCCUUUGGCAUGCAUAGCCAUUUAUACUUAUCUCGUAUUGCCGUAUGAGCAUUUUUGCCCUUUUUCCAUUAGCAACCUCCCUUUCUCUUAAACACAUAUGAUCAUAAAUUCAUUGAUUGACCAUUUAUUAUUAUGUGUGUCGUAAGAUAUUUUGAAAGGGGCAUACUCUUAUGGCAGAGUGGUCAGGAUAUAGUAUAUAAGAAAAGAUUCUGAUAUCUCAAUCUCAAUAUUUUUCAACUAAGCUGCAAUGUCCCUUAUCUUCUUGAUGUACUCAUGCACAGCUUUUACACUAAUAAGUUUUAAUGAUGAGAACUUCAUAAUUAGGGUCAUGGUUUACGCUUUCUCUAAAGAUUCAAAUUGCACAUCAAUAGCUUUAAGCAAUUCUUUGGCAUUGUUAUACUGAAUAAUUGAAUUAUGAAUGCUAGCAUAAAGUUUUUUUUUUUUUUUUUAUGUACAUCAUAUUAAGGCGGUUGGACCGUUCUCAUUGUGCAAAAAGAGUAACUUCAGUUUGAGUGCUAGUGUUAGUAGGAGUAGAUGAUUCGUUUGAAUGUAUAGCAUAAUUAAUAUCUAUAUACUUCAAUUGAAAAAGGAUUAAUUCCCUCCAUUUUUUUUUUUACCGUUCAACUCAGGAACAAUUAUACCAAAACUAAUCAUAGAUGGUAAAAUUGCAUUAUAAUCAAAGGAAACUUAUAUCUUAUAUUUGAGGUAAAUAAACUUAAAUCAUGUUUUAUCAAUGUAAAAUAUGUUAUAAAAUAUGAAUCACAUAACAUCAAAAAACUACAUGUGGGCUAAGUUUUCAAUUUAAAUAGAUUCAUAAUUACUUUAUAAUGAAACUAUCGAAUUAUAUUCCAUUCCUCAAUCCUUAUGGGUAAAUUAAGAAAAAUAAAAUGAUAUUUCAUCCUAAUUAAUCAAAUUAAUAUAAUGAAAAUUCUUAUGGGAUAAAAUUCAUGAUAUUAAGGUGACUAAUCACAAUUAAUGUUUUUGAUUAUAUGUGAUCCAAAGGCUUUUAAUGUAUAUAAUUUAAUAUAAUCAAAGAUGUUGUGGCUAAAUUUAAUUAAUUAAAUAUAUGCGGAUCACUAGACAUUUAAUUAUUGUAUAAAACAUUCAUUAAAUUGCAUGUAAGGACAAAAUAGUAAAAUUAAUUUGUCCAAGUGCAGAAAUGAAAUUAACAGAUAAGGGCAAAAUAGUAAAAUAAGCAAAGUGGAGGAACACGGGAGUGUGGGCGUACACACACUCUCAAGCGCUUGAAGCCUCUUUUUUUUUUCUUCGCCGUUUCACCGUGCCUUUUGCCACCCGGUUCUCCUCCGCUAGCCCACCUUAGAUCAAAAUAAGUGAUGGGUUUCGGAGACCACGCUAACACGACCACACAGAUCCAAGAUUUGGCGAAAACAGCCAAAAACUACUUGAAAUCAAGCAAAAUUCUCCAAAUCGCUAACCUUAACUACCACGACUUUUGCUAUGCAAUUUGUCUUCGACAAUCACCAUAAUGCCGAAUUACCUUAAGGCUUUUGUUGCCUAUGGCGCUUCGACGUUAAUCAUUCAAAGAUGGGUGGUAAGUUGCCAAAAUUUUGCUCAAAUCACCAGUCAAAUUUUGACUAGAAAAAAUUCUUUUAUUCAAUCAAAAACCCCACGAAAAUCAUCAAGGUAGGGAUGUAAAUAUGCUCUGAUACCAACUGUUAGAACUUUUAUCGAAAACCAUAAUCUGAUAAUCGAGAUCAAUUGCGGAAACGUGUAAAUUCUGUACUAAUCUACAGGCAUUGAUGAUAUUGAGAACAUAUACGCAGAACUUGAACGAUCAUAAAUAAACACUUCUAGCCAAUUGCCCUCUCAGCAUUGAUUUUGUGUUUUCCAAUUAUCAGAUAAUCAGAAUAAUGAGAAUAAUGAGAGGGUUUGACUUAAAUGACCUGUGAUAUCCUGGAUUUUCACUUCUGCUUUCAAUUGAAUAAAUUGGGCAUUUCAUUGACACGCCUAUAGUGUUGUUCUCAAAACUGAUCACUCGUGAGAUAACUAGACUAUCUGGGGAAGUCAAUAAGAGAUUUUAAUGCAAUAGACUUGGGAAUUCGACCAGGAAUUGACUACUCGACUGUGCUCAUAUGCAGAGAUCAUUUCGGCACUGCAAAGAUCGAUUAGAAAUAAAACAUAGGCUGGUUCGAUUGAGAUGUGUGGUUAAACAUGGGUGAUUCCACUAAAUUGUAAAAUUAUCGUUAAUCAGCACUAGACUGAUUUUUCUGUCAUUUUGGUAGCCCGUGUCUGUAUUUGAAACCUCAAGAUUUGCACGACCACUGAGAGUCAUCAUUAUGUCGAAGAGGUUCAUUGUGGUUUGAAGAAAAUUGAUCACGGGUUAUUUGCACUAAAAAUUUCUGAAAGCUACCCGAUAGCUUAGGUCACUCUAAAAUCGCGCCAGAUUGAAAUUAACAACAAAUUUGAAUAUGAUUUUAGAAAUUGGAAGUUCUGUCAUGUCACAAAUCAUUUUAGGAACAUCAACUUAGUCUCCGAAGAUUUUUCUGCAAAUCGAGAUUUUGGCGGAAAAAGUCAAGAUAUGACUGUUUUCGAUCGGAAAAUUCAGAGGAUUGUUUUUUAUCACGAAAUUAAGAUGCCAGUAGGUUUUAUUGGCGAGGAAAAAUGCUAAUUUGAUCGAUGAUUUGAUGGUUGAAUUUUUUAGGGCCAAAUUGAUUUAAUUUAAAAAGGAAUUGAAGUGGAAUUGAGGGAAAAUGUUGUAAAAUUCGUAUGUCCCAUUGCCCACAACUUUUGGACUACUUCAAGGCUUCUAGAAGAAGAGUUGGCUGCUGGAAAUUGGCUGAGGAAGCCAGCUUACAUGGUGGACCAACUCAAGGGAGCAAACGGAUAGAAGAGAGGCCAAGAGGGACCCUCCACCAGCCAAAGUUGUCCCCCUCCCUCUCUCCUUGAAGCCGAUUGACCAUUCCCUUCAUUCAGCAGCUUGGAGCUUCCAAAAUCAUAGAGAAACCAACCAUCCUGCUCCCCAAGCCGUUGAGCAGCCCGUUGAAGCCGCCACACGCCAUCUAACCGCCCGUCGAGCCAGCAACCCGCGUUUCCUCGCUGUCUAGUCAUGCACCUAUUCGCGCAUCUCCUCUACCCGUGCUAGCCACCAGUGCCUUGCUCACCGUCUGCCAAAGCUGUUUGAGCCGCCAUGAGGCCCUACCUGGACCCGCCUGGACCCGCAAUAGUCCCUCUGACCGUCCUUGUUCGUCUCUAUCUCAACCAGCCUUGGAGCAGCCUUGUUCAAGCCAAGACCAAAACCGAGAAGCUUGGGAUUUCCAGCCACUAUUUGGCCCGCUUUAGUGCCCUUCCGGACCUCGAAAGGUGCACCCGCUUUGGAGUUUGUGGACCGCUUUCGUACCCCCGUCGUUUUGAUCCGAGCAAAUCGUUAAUCAAGUAAAUUUAACUCACUAAUCCCUGUUUAGUAAGUUAAUGACGCUUAAGGGUUGAUUAGUUUAGGCUAAGCUAGGAUUAUGUGGUUAGUUAGAAUGGAUUAGUGAAUUAGUUAAUCUUUGAUGCAUGUUAGGUGGUUAGAUUAGUAUAAUUAGCAACUAGAUAAACCAUAAUAUUUAUUUAGUGAGAUUCGGGAAUUUUCCGAAGCUGAAUCGGCAUUAAUUAGGCUUUACGGGCCUAAGUAAGCAUUAUUGGCAUUUAUUAAUUAACUUUCGUAAUUAUUUAUUUAUUUAUUUAUUUUCCGGAAAUUAGAUCGGAAUAGCCGAUGAUUAGAAUUUUAUGCCGAUUGCAAUGGUAUGAUUGAUUUAUUUAUUUGACUGUUAUUUGAUACAAAUUGAGUGUGAAUUGCAAUUUUGGGAUAUGUAUCCCAAAAUUUAUUAUUUUUAAUAUUUGAUUAGAAAUUAAUUGGGCGUCAGUUUACAACGCAAAAAAAUGUUUUUAUGGAUUGCAUAAAUGGUGGGAUUUUUGAAAAGGAAAAUAUUGUAUUUUGGCUAAGGCCGACCGUGUACCUACACACGAUUAUUUUUAUCAUAAAAAUGAUGGCAUUCUCAGAUUGUGAGAACAGUAUACUAUGGGCCCAUUUGGUUAGACUUUGGGGAAAUGCCCUUGGGAGAAUGCAAAUACCUUUGAGGUAAAGGGGUUUUCCGAAAUGCUAGACUAUUUGGUAAACUAUAACUGAAAAGUGUUUUAGGGAAAUCCAAGACUGUUUGGUAAACAUAUAUUUGAAAAACCCUUUAGUGUGAUCAAAUUAAGUUUUUUAGUUUUAGUUUUUUUUAAUAUUGCAAAAAAGAAACAAUGACUAUAUAACAUUUUACAUUUUUAUGUUGAGAGUAAUGUAAAAGAUAGAUAUUAGUAAAUUUAUUUAAAAAUCAUAUUAAAAGAAUUUGAUUAUAUAUUAGAUGCAGACCUUAGCUUUUGGCAUAGGGUUCUUUUAGGUUUGUUUUCAACUUUGAAUAAUUUUUUUUAAUUAUUGUAGUAUUAAUUAUUUUCGUUAAUUAAUUAUCAUUCUAGUGUAUUGAUAAAAGUUGGGCUAUUGAUUGUCAAAAGAUAAAAAUAACAAAAAAAAAGGUGAACCCAACAUUUGCAAAGGGUUAUUAUUAUUAUUUUUAAAAAUAAAAAUAAAAUCUGAUGAAACUCCAUUGCCGAUCAAUGGCGGAUGGGGUGUGGGGAAGAUGAUCGAUUUUAAAAAAAGAAAAAAAGAAAAAGAAGUCAAAGAAUUAAUAGUAGAAAUGGACUUGCAUUUCCAAAAUGCUGAAAACCCAAAGCAGGUCCUCACCUGCUUUAGCUUACUAGCUUUGAUAUGUCAGCUUAGCACAACCAAUAUACUGGUAUACUAUAUUAGCCCAAUGGUUUGAUAUGUCAGCUUAGCGAAAGCAAUAUAUCUGAGCAGCUUUUGGUGAGCAUUGGCAAGUGUACUAUAUCAGCCUACUGGCUUUAAUAUAUCAGUUUAGCGAGAGCAGUACACCUUGACAACUUCUAGUGAGCAUUAUUAGUGUACUGCGUCAGUUCGAUGGCUUGGAUAUAUCAACUUAGCGAGAGCAGUAUACUAUUUAUUAGUUUGGUGCGAGUUAUACUAUUUAUUUUCAGCCUAGAGUGAGCAAUCCUAGAUAUGAUCGGACUUUAUAUAUAGUAUUGAAUGGCUUGACUAAGAGAUGGUCUUAAUGACAUGGAAUCGACUAAGUUGAUUGAUCAAUGAUUCGAUCCGAUGUGAUGACGUGAUUUAUUGAUGUGAUUCAAUGAAUUUAUGAGUUGUGCAAGAAGGAUCAGAGGCCAAGGUAAGUCAUUUGACUCGUGUUGUGCUUAGGCAGCCCUUGGGGCGUAUUUCCUUUUUAGUCGGGUCUUAGGGGGUGAACUUACUGAGACGUCAUAUCACCCCGUUAUGGGAUAACAUUUUCAGGUUCUUAGAUGGCAGCAUCUCUUGAACAUUUUGGUCGACCUAAGAAGGUCAUGGAGCAGAAGCGCUUUAUCCCGCUGCAUGGGAACCCAAGGGGAUGGGUGUAUAAGUUGGUAAAAACCAUGGUUUGGGUUGAUGAGGCCUCACCCCAUAAGGUACCUCAUCAAUACCGAUCAUGGUAUUAUCAAGAGUGGGAUGGAUAGAGAGAGGGUCCCAUACCUGAGUCUGAGGUCCCUAGGUAUGUGCUGGAGGUUCCCCAGCUUAUCGAACGAUUAGGAGGACAUCUAGACNNNNNNNNNNNNNNNNNNNNNNNNNNNNNNNNNNNNNNNNNNNNNNNNNNNNNNNNNNNNNNNNNNNNNNNNNNNNNNNNNNNNNNNNNNNNNNNNNNNNUGCUUCCUGAGAUGUCGCUAUUUAAUUGACCAAGCCAGGAUGAGCACAUGCUCGGAGGAUUGAGGUGUGACAUGACCUAUUUAUAUGUCAAUACAAAUCUUAAUAGAUAUAGUCUUCCAUCAAGACUAAUUCUAGUGGGUAAGGACAAUCCCAUAGUUAUCAGCAACUAGAUUUGCAUAAUAAAUUGUCAAUGAAAUAUAAUAUAGGUAAAUUUAACUAAAUGCGGGAUCAUAUUAAUUAAAAUUAUAACAAAUUACCUUGAUAACACUUCCCCUAUUAUGUUUAGAGGUAAAUCAUUGUCAAAACUGGAAGUUUGAUGAGAAUUGAUCAUAUAACCACGACAUGACAGAAAUUACAAGCGGACGGCAUCUCUUUUAUUCUUUCUCCUUCCAAUUUCAUCUUUAUGGUUUUGAAUUUCAAAAUGAAAAUAACUAUUUGCAAAUGUAGCUUAUUUUCCCAGGGUAAGUUUUGAUCAUGAUCUUUGAAUUCAGUGGAUUUUGCAAUCAAACAGCCGAACUUUGAUUUCAAUUCCCUAACCCAAUGAAUUUCCAUUUUCUUUUUGCCCUCAAUACAUUUUGACGCAAAAGUAUAGGCCAAUGUUUCCGGUGUCAAUUGAUAUGUAAUUUUCGUGGAUGUUUGUGGAGUACCCAUUGGACAAGAGGAGGGGACAGGGAAGGACGUACGAGGCUGAGCAGACGCAGGAACCGUCCGACCAGAAUUGGUGGUCGGGGCCAAGCCGGCUGGACAGCCGGUAGUGGCAAGAGCCAUGCGCACCUGUCGGUCGGCCAAGCUUAAAAGUGAGAGAGCGGUGUGAGUUGAUGAGGGGUUCGGACAGAUUGAAAUCGGUGGGAGAGAGUGAGCCUAGAGAGAGAGAGGCAGAAGCGUAGAGAGCGAGAGGGAGAGCGGGGAAUGAGAAGGAGCCUUGGCCGAUACCGCGGCCGCGCACGAACCCUAUCCGACGACCACGGCUGGUCGACAUCCUCAAGCCAAAUAGCUAAACCUUUCUUUUUUCCUCUUUUUCUGCCCUGUUUUUGGGCAUGACGGGCCAAAUCUCGCGAUCGUCCGGCUCACGCGAACUCUGGCCCCGACCGUCCUUUGUUUGGUUGUUGUGUGUGUUGUUGUUCAUUUGGCGAGAGUCUCGGCCCAGGUUUGAGUCACGGUCAAACCGAAAACCACUCGUUUUCGUAGCGCACUCCACCUGUUCGGGUCAGAUGCCUGAAGGAGAUCCGUUUUCAAUUCGCCAUUUUUGGUCGGGAGCAUUCUAUACUGAGCCCCACCUUGUCGAGUUGCUCCCGAGGUGUCGGCCCUCCCGGGGCGUCGACUGCUUGGCCAGUUCAACACGUCCGCACCAUCCCCUCCACUGUUUUUUUUUUUAGCCAAGGAAAGGAAUGUCUCGGUCGGCUACAUCACGAGUCAGGACCGACUGAGGACAGCCGCCAAGGCCAAGGCGUCUCAGUCAGUUGACCGUGAGGUGGCUGGUCCGCGGCUCCCAUCCGGUGGUCUGCGGAAGCCCCCGACCAUCGUGGCUCGGGUAUCCCACGAGAGCCUGCCGCGGUGUCACUAGUCCCAUUAGGGCUGAUCACCCAUUCCGUGUCACCUAACGCAACGCCUAGGUACACCGCCCGUUCGGGUGGAGACGAGCAGCGUAUAGGCUACCAAAUUACUAGUUGGAAAAGUUGCUCCCUUUCUCAUCAAGCCCAUAUUUAGAGGUUCUCAAUGGCAGUUUUAAGCCAAUCUUGUUCGUGUUCUAUUAAUUUUAGGUCUUUCUUAAUAAAUUCAUUUCUCGACAAGAAUAGUCACUCUUUCAAUGUCAUCUUGUCAUAUCCGUACUAAUAAAACAUUUGGUGUUCAUGUCAUAUUUAUAUUUUGAUUAAAGAAAUGGGCUCAAGAGGUGAUCAAUGUUAACGAUCCCUCACAACAGAAUGCUCAUGUUGAUCAAUUUGUUUUAGUGAAUUAGAGAUUGUCCUUCACAUCACGCUUAGAAUAGUCGACCAAAUUUUACUGGCCCAAUUGUUCAUUUUGAGCUUUUGGGUCGUUACUUUCCCUCAUAGCCAGGGGCAUUUUUGGAUUCAUUGCCAUAAUGCGAUUAUCAUUUCUCUUAUUAGUCAUCGACUCCACCUUAGGGUUUUGGAGCAGAUCCGAAAACUAACCAUGGCGACUUAGCUCCCCUCGCUCCCUCCUCUCUUAGCGUUAGCAAGCCCUCGCCUCCCGAAAGAGAGGAUGUCUCCCCACGAUAAGCACUAGCUCUUCUUCAUUUUGAAGCCAAGGGACCUUCCUACCAAGUAUGAAAUCAUUGAAACUUUGGAUGGUAAGUGGUUGGAGGGUGCGGUCUUAUUUGUUUGUCAUGUUUUAUGAGGUAAUUUUUUUAUUUGUAGUCAUUGAUCAUCUUCAUUUAUUGCUGUUCCAUUUAUUAUAUCUAACCACGAUUGCUCUUAUAGUAGCGUAGGAUCUACCAACUUUCAAUAAAAUAUUACUUCUUCCUCAGAUUUGGAGGCAAAAUAUCUAGGAAGGAUGUUGUCAAACUCAAUGGUAAAGCUUUUUGUUUGGUUCUCUUCUGAUUUCGGAAAGUUGUGCUAAUGAGUUUUCUUUUGCUAUAGAGACACAAACACCUUGGAGAUUUUAUUUUUUUUGGUUGGGGAACACCUUGGAGAUUGAUAGCACCCUUUUGAGAUAUUCUAGCUUCAAAUCAAAGGAAGAAGUAAUCUUUGGUGGCAGUUCGAUAGAUCUUAACUUACUUCGCUUCUUCUUCACUGUAAUAGCAACAAAUUGUAGUUAGACAAAAUAAAAGGGACAACUAUAAAUCAAGAUGAUCAAUGACUACAAACAAACAAUUUACCACAGAACAUGACAAACAAAUAAGAUCACACCUCAAACUACUUACCAUCUAACAUGCGCAAAGUAUCAAUGAUCUCAUACUUAGUAGGAAGGCCCUUUGGCUUCUACAUAAAAAAGAACUAGUGCUUAUUGUGGAGAGACAUCCUCUCCCUUGGGAGGGGGACACGUUGCCUUGAGGUGGGGGGUUUUGCAUCCCUUGGUUAUGCAAAGAUUACAUGUCCCGACACAAAUGCCUCAUCGUGCUCAAAUUACUGGGUCGGUCAUUAAGAGCUUUCCUCUCGUCGGCUCAAGCAUUACUUCUCACCCAUUCUCCAUGGGACUUGGUGUCCCAAGGAACUUUUUCGUCCAUGUUGUGACCUACCCGCCUCGAGGACCAAUUCCAAUGGAGUAAGUUCAGACAUAUUUGUUCAUAAAACCAUCCAAGUAGGCAUAUCUAUAAGAGAUGACUCAAAUACAUUGUUUAGUUGGUGAUCCACACUUGCCUCAUUAAUUAUGAAUGGGGGGUUCUUUCAACUUCAUACCUCGCAUGACGGGUAUUUAUUUUAGAGUUCUUUAGACAUCCUAAAUAUCAAUUAGGAGUCGCCACUAGCCUCGUUUACGAGGAUCAACUAGAUUACCCAAUCAAGAAAUGAGAGCAUUUUAUCGAUUCCUACGGAACCGAAAAUCAAUAAGUUUAGGGACUCGGAUUAUGCUAAUGUUUUUAUUAGCGCAUUUUUUGUACCUAAUUAGUUGAGUUUUCUAAAUGAUCAUGCAUUUGUUCUUUACCAUUUUCAUGAUGUUUAGAAUCUCAUUAGGUGAUCACGCGUGAAUUGUUCAUUAAGGAAUCUCAACUAAUUAUAAUUCUAGCAUUUAAGAAAGGAAACAAGUGAAAAAAAGGAAAGUGCAUUGCGUAAAGUAAACUAUUCAAAGUGCAAGAACAUAGAAAACCUACAACUUAUCGAGUAUUUAUUACAAACUUGAAUAAAAACCUAAAACAUGUUUAGGUGACAAAUUGGGUACAAAAAGAGAUCAAAUUCAAUGAUAAGAACCACGGCCACCUCCUCCAUAGUUUGCCUCAGUGGUGUUAACUUUGCACUUGAGCUAAUCGAACUAUAAUAGCAAACAAGUCGUUGAUUUGAUACAAUAGCAAACAAGAACAAACAAGUUGUUGAUUUCAAAACAGGCCUCCGGAUCGGCCUUUGUAUUGCAUACAUAACGACCACCCCAAAUCACUUAAUUGGUUAAUUUGUGGUUAAUGAUAAACGGUCAUCACUUGUAUUCACAAAACGGUGGUCAAUCUUAAUUAACCUUAAAUCGCUCAUGCACCAUAUCUAGCCAUUCCUUCAACAAGUACACACAUAUACAUGAAAUUGAGCAUGUAUUUAGGUUAAUGGGUCUUGUUUCUCAAAUAAACAAACAAAAUUAAGUGAAUUAAUAAUAGAUCACUUAAUUAAUUCACUGAAAAUGGGUUGAUUUUGUUUAAAAGUGAUUCAUUAAUCAAAUAACGUUUAUAUCGAACUUUUUUUUGUUUAAAAAAUAUUUAAUUGUUGAAUUUGGUAAAUCUCACGCGAAGUACCACAAAUUUAAAAUGAAAUUUUGUCAAAUUCAACACAUGCUGCUGGUGACCAACCGUGAGCUUGACGGUACUCACCCACCGGUGAGUUUUGUGUUUCCGGGGAAAACGAAUCUUUGUCAUUUUUUUGGCUCUAUCUACUCCCACGCGCUCUGCUACGCGUGGUUCAAGACGGCCCAAUCAACGCUCGAGAAGCUUCUAUAUUCCUACUGCCGUGACGGACACGCGCUGCUGUUCCGUGGAACAGAGCAGGCGUCGGAAAUCAUUAGCUUUGUCGCCUCCUGGGGCAUCUCUCACGAGAUCCACGGGAGUGAUUGAAAAAAUGAAGAAAAGAUUUUGUUGAUAAAUCCCUUACUAGAAUAAUAAAAUAAGAAUAUUAAUUACUAAUUAGAAAUAAUGUCUGAUAAGGAACGUAAAUAGUCAAUUAGAAAAACAAGGAAUGAAUGUAAAUAUGGAUUACACGUAACAUUAAAAAAAAAUAUAAAUCAAAAGCAAUAAACUUUUCUUAUUUGGAGCAUAAUCUAAUAUCGAAAUAGCAAUAUAUAUUGAAAAUCGAAAACUCCUCUUUACUUAAAGCUUAUGGGAUAUGCUAUAUACAAACCAAAAAUCUAUCUUUCUUAAAAAAAAAUAUCAAAAAUGGUGUUUGAUAAUAAUCAAAAUGGCAACAUAUAUAACAACAUUAUAUUGACAAAUUGAUAAGACAUUUUACAAUGGGGGUGAAAUUGUCAAAUAGAAAGCAAAAUCUUUAUUUAUUGUGCGAUUUUAUUAAAGAUCGAAUGUCAGGAUCUCAUGUAAAUCCGCUAUUUACUAUUGAACCUAGAGUAAUAUGUACUUUGUUAUAAGAUUUAAGGUGAGUGGCUUUUACGAUAAGGGCGCAAUAUCACUCAAAAGUUUAGUAUGAACAAAUUGUUGCUACUGUCUACUGUCGGUGAGAACAUUUGUGUGCACAGUAAUCCUUGAAAAGACAGAUUCUUUUUUUCUUUUUUUGUGUCACGAAAUAAGUUGUUGCAUUUGAGCUGUGCAGGUUGCACAAUAAUGGGGACCAUGGGACCAUGGGACCAUUUCAGAACAUAGAGAUGCAUGUCAACUAAUCAAAUCAAUGCCAUAACGGGUUCUACUUUUUCUGCACCUAAGGAAGCGAUAAAAGGCGAGCGGAGAGGGAGAGAGUAGUACUUGGACAAGGAGCAGUCGCCGAGGGGCUACCACUGAUACCUGGUGAAGGUGACGUUGGGGCGGCCGUUCCAGAGGCAAGCGAACUCACGCUUGAUAAAGGGGCAGACGGAGGAGUUGUAGAGAAGGUAGGACAGGUUCGCCACCCAGCUCCCCCGAAACACAAUGGGUGCGUUUGGUUCAAUUUUUUACAAUAGGUUUUCAGCCUCCAAAGCCCAUUGAAAAAAUACUAGACUGUUUGGCAACUAUUUUGAAGUAAUUACAAGUGAAAGUUAGCAUUGGGAAAGCUGAAAGCCCCAUGCUAGUAGGGACUAAAUGUAACUUUGAGCUUUCAACAUUUAGUCAAAUGCUGAAACUUAUUUUUUUCUCCCAAAAUUAUUCUCACUCAUUCUUCAAUUUUUUUUUUUAUUUUUUUUGCCAUAGUUAUUAUUUUUUUAAAUGCCAAAAUAAUGAUAAAAAAAUAAAAUAUAUAUAAAUGCUAAAAAAAUUAAAUAUAUUUUGUAUAUAUUUUAAAUUAUUUAUAUAUUUGAUUUUUUUUAGCAUUAUUGUCAAAAAAAUAUAUUUAAAAAGUUGCAUACAUUAUUUUUUAUAAUUUUAAACAAGUAAAAAGUAAAAAAUUCCAACGAAGGGUUUGGUCUUUUUAGAAAAAAAAUUAUAUAUAUGUAUUUGAUUCCUUCGCAUUAAUUUCAAAUUUAUAUUUAAAAAUUCGCAUACAUUAUUUUUUUCAAUUUUAAAAAAUAAAAAUUAAAAAAUUUCGACGAAGGAUUUGAUCUUUUUUUAAUGUGUGUGUGUGUGUGUGUGUGUGUGUGUGUGUGUGUGUGUAUUUGAUUUUUUUAGUAUUAUUGUCAAAAUUUAUAUUUAAAAAUUUGCAUACAUUUUUUUUCAAUUUUAAACAAUUAAAAAUUAAAAAAUUUGAUUAGGAAUUUGGUCUUUUUUUUUUAAAAUUAUAUAUAUGUAUUUGAUUUUUUUUAGCAUUAUUGUGAAAAUUUAUAUUUAAAAAUUAUACAUACUUUUUUUUUUUCAAUUUUAAGCAAAUACAAAUUAAAAAAUUCCGGUGAAGGGUUUGGUCUUUAAAAAAAAAAUAAUAUAUGUAUUUGAUUCUUUUAGUAUUAUUGUCAAAAUUUAUAUUUAAAAAGUUGUAUACAUUAUUUUUCUUUUCAAUUUUAAACAAAUAAAAUUAAAAAAAAACUAAUAUUAAUAACCUAAAGAGUUUUUCAAAUGUGUUUUCUACCAAACGACAUUUUUUUUCAAAGUUGCUUUUCAAAGUAUAGUUUACCAAGCAGUCUUUAUAUUUGCCUAAAGUCCUUUAGGCUAAAUUGCUUUGCAUUUUUCCAAUGGGCUAAAUGCACCCAUCACACAUUCCCCGGGCUGCUUCCGCACCCCAUACCAUCAAUGUCAAAAGAGCCAAUUUCCAGUGAAAAGAAUAAGAGGAGCCCAUCUGCAUUGCCUCUGUACCCACCAACCCCAACCCAUUUUGCUCUCACUGAAACAUAGCAACCCAAAAGGCUCUUUUUGGAGAGAGAGAGAGAGAGAGAGAGAGAGAGAGAGAGAGAGUUUUUGGAUUCUGGGUUACAUUUAACGUAGGUGGGCGUGGGGGUGAGAGAAAACCUGAGGUCAUGGGUCCACUGAGAUAAAGGGCAUUGUUGGAUUCUCCUUAAUGUACCUUCUUUGUUAUUCUUUUUCUGGUUAGCUACUUCAAAUACAGGAUUUGGUUAAGCAAUACGUGGAGUAACUCUCAAUAUAGUAGUAAAAGCAAGACGUGUAGGCGGAUCUACUUAAAAUACAGGAUUUGGUUUCCAUUUUCGGUGGGGAGCGGGGCUAGGGAUUUAUAUAGGAUUUAGGAAGUUGCUGCAGAUAUCUCUCUCUCUUUAAUUAGCUUGGCUUUGCUUGGCUGAGCUGUAGUUGUACAGAGUAGCAGCCAAUCAUCGCCUUUGAUGUUGACACUUCGAAUUGGUGGGGUCAACCAAUUUGCCGUAGUCCCCUUGGAUUUCAAGGAGAGCAAACGAGGCCCCAACUUGUUUAAUUCUCUUUACAUUAACAUAAGACCUUUUUGGCGACCUAAAAAUAUGUCCUUAAAAGAUAUUAACUGAGAUUUAGUCCACACAGCGAGAUCCCUAAAUUUAAGAAUACCAAGAAGAUAAAGCCAAGUAUAGAAUUUGAUAAAGAUACUGACCAAUUGAGGAUACGGGAUAAUGUGGGCAUUGACACUCAAAAAUAAAAAACGCAUAUAGAGUCUGACGUCUCUAUAAAUCAAAUGGACAGGAAGUGAAGACCCUGCUGCCUUCCUUUGGUGAGCCUACAUGCUUAACCGUCAUCAAGAAUCCAAGGCAAGGACUCACAACAGGGAGACAAUUAAUAGAAAUGUAGUGUGCUGACGAGGCAGUAAUCUACCAUCCGUAGGAAAGAGUGACUAGACGUGCAGGUUUUUAAAGAUUUUUUUUUUUUUUGGUGGAUGUAAUAUUAUGUAUUAUCAUUUCUCACAGAUGAGAUAGAUGAGGCGGAGCAUCAUCCAUACUAAAGAGAGAAAAUCUGGCACUUAAAAUAAUUCUUGAGGAGCAACGUACAACAGGCCUAGCUCGGGGAGUAAAACACGUCCAGAGCAAGAAUCCGCAACUUCGCCAUUCAAACAAUGAAAAGCUUCCAUAAUAGAUUCCCACCUGGCAGUGGCAACCAUCCACAUCAUCAUUGCAUGAAGAAGUCCCAACAUCGUCUUUGUCUGAUUAACAAUAUCGAAAGAAACGGCACGAAUACAACCAUCAAACAACAAGCCAUCGUCUUUUGACUUUUCCCAAUAAGUUGUUUACAAUACACAAUUACUGCACCGCAUAAUAGUCGUCCUAUUCUUCAUAGUAUCUAUACCUUCAGUUUCAAAUGUGAACAAAAGAGAAACUUAGAAGCGAAAUUUAAGAGUUCCUUUUGAUGGAUUACCAAAUAAAGCCCUAGUUCUUUCAAACCAAAUUAACUCGAAACAUAGCAAACGAUUUCUUAUUUUCUGUUCUGCCAGUAAUCAGUAUCCGGAUUUAUCGGAUAGAGAUCAUUAGCAGAUGUAGAAGAAGCAGUUCCAGUCCACGGCCCAUCAGUGAGCGUGCUUUUGGUGAUAUUCUCAUCAACUGCCUGAUCUUCGUCACCUUUGAAAUGCUUCCUCAUGGCCUCAAUUGUCUCCUCCGUUAUGAUAGCACCCUCAGAGUCCAGCACUGGAACAGCAGCCUUGCCUUCAAGCAUGCUAACCACAGAUGACAUCGGUGGCCUGAGUGCUGGAGUCACAUUAGUACACAGCAGAGCUACCUUUAUCAUUGCCAGCACCUCCUUUUCGUCAAAAUGAGAACCCAGCCUCUGAUCAACUAGAUCCAUCAAAUUUCCUCUCUCCUUCAAAACUCGUGCCUAGAAACAGAAAUGGAAAGGAAGAUAUUUCCCUCAAGCUACAGGUACUGGUCAGUUGUAGAAUAUGCUCAGAACACUAAAACAGGAAGAAGGAGAUAUAUUCUGCCCUCGAUAAUUUCAUGACAAAUGCAGUUGAUAAACACCUGCUAGUUUUUCCUUUCCGUUAUAAGUUAUACUUGGAAGGAAAAAAUCGAACAAGUCAAUACAGAUGAAACAUGAUUUCUUUUCCAAUUUUAAAUAGAAGUUAGUAAACUUAAACACUUGUUAAUCACUUACUAACAUUCACCGGUCACCAAAAAACUACCACCGCUGCUUUAAAAUUAUCAACUCUUAUUGAGUUUGACUGGCAGGAAUUAUUUGUCAGUUUGUCAUUACAUGAAACAGGAGAAUCGUCCAUCAAUGGUUUACACCAUUCAUUGCCUCUUACUCUCAAUUCAAGUUUAACAAGAAUUACCUUAUUAUGCAGCUUAGGUGAAAAUCAGAUUUAACAGGGACUAAUAAUGAUGGUUUUAGCCUUUACCAAAAAAAAAUAAUGAUGGUUUUAGCUAAUGAUUGGCUUACUCAAAGCACAAUAAAAUCUAAUUUUUGGACUCAAUUACAUGGAUGUGAAGAAGUCAAAUCUAAAUUGAAAGUAUAUCAAUAUUUGGGUCAAGCAUGGUCUUGAAAACUUUUUAAAUCCAAUACUAAUUGUCAAAACUGCAAAGUACUCGACCAACUUGUUUGGCGCUAAUGAAACUACAGGGAGUAUGAAUGUCACGCAUAAAACUAUGAAGACCAAAACAAAACCAACCCAAAUUUUAAGGACCUCAAAUUUCAAUAAAUAGAAUUGUCUUCAAUCCAAAAAAGAAUCUACAUGAUCCCUUCUUUCAGGAGGCAGCCCAUUGUUUCGAGUUUCAAUAUGUCACUAGGUAAAUUCCAGUUUCAGUUUCUCAGAACCAGACUAAUCCAUGACCACCCCCACCCCAAGUCGCUCAUCUUGAGCAUGAACACCAUGGGCCGGCUACUGCAAGGAUUACUUGCUCCUUUCAAAUUCAGUAACAAGAAUAAUUGGAUUAAUUUUAAAUGACAAAUUGCACUUAACGGCAUGACAAUUCGUUAAACAGGUUUCAAUAGCUGGUAACUGUAACUCUCAUUUGCAACCAUUAAAGUGCAUAUGAGGAGUUCUAUACUAUGUUCACACUUCCUUAAUCCAUCUCUCAACCAGCACAAGCAGAGAUUUCAAUAUCAUAAUAAGAAACUUUUUAAUGCUAGAGUUAAUUACCCAAUCGAGUAGAUAAAAGCAUUUCUCCUUCUUCUGGUAACUGGUGUUGCUCCGGCCACUAACAACUUCUAAGGCAACAACGCCAAAACUAUAGACGUCGGCUUUUUCAGUGAGGUAACCAUGCAUUGCAUACUCUGGUGCCAUAUAUCCACUGCAUAACAAGAAAAGAGCUGGUGUUUGCAAAAUGGCAAAUGUCUUAAAUUGCACUUAAUAUUUUCUUCCAAAGACCAUCCCUCGUAUCUUCCUAAAAUACAAAAUAUGGAGAUAUUCCUAAUCAUGACACAAUGGUCUCAAGAGUCAAGGAAAAAACAAGUGCAUUCUAGAAAUUUUUCAGUAGGAUUCCGCUGAGAAUAUGAAUCCUACUGAGAAUAUUGAAAAAAAAAACAAAAACAAGACAUUUGUGGGUUUUAUAUAACUUUCAGGAGACAUAUAGCUCCAUAGUUGGAAAACAAGUGCAUCCUUAUAACUUGGAAAAGAGGCUCAUUAACUGAAAAAUGAGUUGGAAACUGGCUGAGACAAGGUCUGAAUACAUAGGCAGCCGCAGUAGGAGGAUUCCUAAAGCCAAGCCCAGGGGCAAGAAAACUUCUUAAAAUUGUUGUUGUCGACGUUGCUGUAGCAAUAGAAAAACAGCCUUACAUUUUCUCACUAGCUUUCUAACCCUUGUCAUUCAUGUGCCUUUCUUUGUAAUUUUGGUUUUAUUCUUUUGUAAUUCACUUGAAAGUGCACCAUCUAUGUUUAUGUCAUGUGAAAUAUAUUCACGAAAAAUUGAACUUUUCAUGCAAAAGAAUAUAUAUAGAUAAUUUACAUCGAAAUCCGUAACGUAUAGUAGUUGUUCUUAUUCAUCAAAUUGUUUUACAUUAAGUAGAUUGUCAUUGGAAAAACAUAAUAAAAACAAUUAAAUUACAUGUCAACAUAGGUUGUUAAAAAGUAUCGCGUCAUAAUUGUAUCGUAAUAUUUUCAUAUGCUCUUUGCAGGAGAGAAUAUAUUAGGUAGGGCAUACUGGAUUACCUUCCGAAAUGUUUUUCUUGACUAUUCUUAAUGUAUUAAACGAAGUGUGUAGAAUACAAUCAAUCUUUUGAUUAAUAUCUUAGGUAGGCGGAUAAAUUUUUUCCAGAAACUGUAUUAGAUCAUCUAAGUUUGUUGAGAUAAUGAAAUUGUUUAAUGUUAUACUUAUUUUUCGUUAAGCAAUUACUGUUAGAGUUAGUUCUAUGUUUUCCCUGAUCAAUCACACUCUUUUCAUGAACAGGUUGACUUUCUACACAUGUCAACGCAAACUUUUGAAACAUUUGAACAUGCUUAUUAUAUAUUUUU
RNAcentral lists this long non-coding RNA (167171 nucleotides) under Eucalyptus grandis. RNAcentral's name for it is "long non-coding RNA (EGRA_LNC003622)". Lineage: Eukaryota; Viridiplantae; Streptophyta; Magnoliopsida; Myrtales; Myrtaceae. The record is from RNAcentral.